This 109532-nucleotide long non-coding RNA is filed under the name Malus domestica (apple). Its description in RNAcentral is "long non-coding RNA (MDOM_LNC008886)". The record is from RNAcentral. Lineage: Eukaryota; Viridiplantae; Streptophyta; Magnoliopsida; Rosales; Rosaceae.
UAGGUUGUUGAUGAAAUUUCCAACCCCCUAUGGCAAUGGUUACAUCAGAGGAGAUCAACUUAGUGCACGGUCAUGUUACAACACUUCGGUCAAGCAACAACACUUGCCUAUGCCCAAGGAAACCUUUUCUAUACAUGACCAGGUCAUAAAGACUAGCCCGGACGAAGCCAACUUGGAUCUUCACAGUAGCAACAGUCAACCUGAUGAUCCUCGAGAUGACUCUUUGAAGAGCUGGAGAAGGUUUUUAUCUCAAAAAAUUAUCCAAAUCGCAUGGUGAAGAUUGACACUACCUUGUCACCACAUAUUCGGUUGGCAUUGAUCUCUUUUUUGCAAGAGAACACUGAGGUUUUCGCCUGGUCAUACGAGGACAUGCCAGGCAUCUCGCCCAAUAUCAUCUGUCAUCGCUUAAAUAUUGACCCCAAGACCAAACCAGUGAGACAGAAGUGAAGAUCUUAUGAUGUUAAACGGUACGAGGCAAUGAAGGCAGAAGUUGAAAAACUCAAAGGCAUAGGCUUCGUUCGCAAAGUCAAUUAUCCAAUGUGGGUAGCAAAUGUUGUCCUUGUUAAAAAGAAUCUGACCAAGGAAAGUCUCCUGCUCCAAAAGGUCUUGUGGAGAAUAUGUGUCGAUUACACCGACCUAAACAAAGGAUGCUCGAAGGAUAGCUUUCCUCUUCCUCUCAUAGACAGACUUAUGAACUCUACGGCAGGGUGUGAACUCUUGAGCUUCAUGGAUGUUUACUCAGGAUACAACCAAAUCCUCAUGAACCCUCCGGACCAAGAACACACAACCUUCACUACUGAUAGGGGACUAUAUUGCUAUAAAGUCAUGCCCUUCGGCUUAAAGAAUGCAUGAGCGACUUAUCAGAGAUUAGUCAAUUCAAUGUUCGCUGAACAGAUUGGGAAGAGCAUGGAAGUUUACAUUGAUGAUAUGCUAGUUAAGAAUAAACAUGCUGAGCAACACAUCACCAACUUAUCUGAAACUUUCACCAUUUUGAAGAGGUAUCGAAUGAGGUUGAACCCCAACAAAUGUGCCUUCGGCGUAGGCUCUGGAAAAUUCUUAAGCUUUAUGAUAAGCCAACGAGGCAUUGAGGCUAAUCCUGAGAAGAUUAAAGCAAUCCUUGAAUGAAUGAACUGGUAACUUCAAAAGACAUCCAGAGCCUUACUGGUAAGGUGGCAGCCUUAACUAGGUUUAUCUCGAAGGCCACAGAUAGAUGUGCUUCUUUCUUCAAAUCACUUAAGGGAAGUAAGAAGUACAUUACAUGGACUGAUGAAUGUGUCGAGGCAUUCAAAAACCUCAAGGACUACAUGAGUAAAGCCCGUCUGCUCUCUAAACCUGAAGUUGAUGACAUUCUUAUUAUCUAUCUAUCAGUAUCAUCUUGAGCAGUAAGUUCCGUUUUCAUUUGAAAGGAUGGUAAUGUUAAAUGGCCUGUCUACUACGCUAGCAAAGCCUUAAAAAAUGCAGAGACACGAUACUCCAACAUUGAUAAAUUGGCUUUAGCAUUGGUCAUGUCUGCUCGAAAACUUCGUCCUUACUUCCAAGCACACUCCAUCAUCGUGCUUACCAAUCAUCCUCUUCGACAGAUACUCCAAAGUCCUGACACUUUCGGGCGAAUGAUCAAAAUGGCGAUAGCAUUGUGUGUGUUUGACAUCUCUUACCAACCAAAGCCAGCUAAGAAAGGCCAAUCAGUGGCAGACUUCAUCGCCAACUUCACAUAUCCUGUUGACAUUGUUUCUAUGCCCAAAAAAAGUGGUUUCAUUACCUUCGGAAGCUUAGAAAAUAGAACCAACAACCCCAGCAUGGAGUCUAUAUGUUGAUGGCUCGUCUAACCAACAGGGUUGUGGAGCAGGACUAGUCUUUACGACCCCUGACAAAGUGGCGAUGAAGUAUGCUUUUCGUUUCAAAUUCAAGGCGUCGAACAAUGAGGUCGAAUAUGAAGCCCUCCUAGCAGGCUUACGUUUGGCCAAACACCUUGGGGUUAAACGAAUUGAUAUCUUCAGUGACUCCUAAUUGGUUGUUAACCAGGUCACCAACAACUUUGAUGUUAAGGAUAGCUUCAUGGCAGCAUAUCUGGCACAAACACAAUUGUUGCUCAAACACUUCCACUACCAGAUCACCUAAAUUCCUUGAGCGGCAAACAAUCAUGCAGAUGUUUUGGCUCACCUCGCCUCAGCGGUGGAAGACAAGAUUAGGAGAAAAAUUCAGGUCGAAUUGUUGGCAGCACCAAGCACCAUGGCUGCGGAAGUGUGCAACUUACAACAGGGGGAUAGUUGGAUUACCCCGAUUUAUAGAUUCCUUGCUCAUGGCACCCUUCUAGAUGAUAAAGUCCAAGCUAAGCAGAUUCGAUACAAGGCUACCCGUUACUUGAUCAUUAAUGACCAACUCUACAAGCAGGGUUUUAACCUGCCAUACCUAAGAUGCCUUACGCCCGCGGAGGCGAAAACUGUCAUUCGGGAAAUACAUGAAGGAGUCUGCGGAGAUCAUGAUGGAUUUCGAUCCCUACCACACAAGGCUUUUUGCCAAGGAUAUUACUGGCCAACACUCUAUCAAGAUGCCAUCAGAAUAUCUCGCUUAUGUGAUAAGUGUCAACGCUACGCAACUAUUCCUUACUCUCUUCCCGAGCCGCUCACUCCUAUGAUCAGCCCUUGGCCCUUCGCCCAAUGGGGACUUGAUUUGAUUGGCCCAAUGCCUACAGGGAAGGGCAAGGUCCGCUAUGCAAUCGUUGCAGUUGAUUACUUCACAAAGUGGGUUGAAGUAGAACCUUUGGCAACUAUUACUGAGGCAAAAAAUAGAAGACUUCGUAUGAAGGAACAUCCUUUGCAGAAUCGACAUUCCUAAUGCGAUAGUCACUGACAACGGGCGGUAAUUGGACAACAAUAAGUUCAGGAUGUUCUGCUCUAAGUUCAACAUCAACUUAUGUUUUGCCUCCCCAGCUCAUCCCCAGUCUAAUGGAUAAGUUGAAGCCAUCAACAAAAUAAUGAAGCGAACUUUGAAAACUAGCUUGGACAAGGCUAAAGGUUGUUGGCCAGAAUUUAUACCCCAAGUUCUUUGGUCAUACCACACUUCGUAUCGGACGUCAACAAGAGAAACCCCAUUCUCACUUGCCUUUAGUACAGAGGCAGUUGUCCUAGUGGAACUUGAGCAAGCAAUGUUUCGAGUCAAGAACUACAUGCAAAGCAAAAAUGACAAACAACUUACCCUUAACUUAAAUCUAGUCGAGGAACACAGAAACCAGGCUCACUUGAGGAAUGUCGCCUAUAAGUAGCGUAUCUCCAUUUACUAUGACUCAAGGGUCAAACCUCGUUCUUUCAAAGUGGGGGACUGGGUAUUGAAGAAAAGAUUACUCUGCGACAGAGUCCCGAGUGAAGGAACACUUAGUCCAAACUGGGAUGGACCGUUUGAAGUUGUUGGCAUCGGUCGCCAUGGCUCCUACAAGUUUAUAAGCUCCAAUGGCAAGACCCUUGGCCAUCCAUGUAACGCUGAUCACUUGAAGUACUAUUACAAGUAAACUCACAUUGUACAAGUGUUAAGCUUCAGCCGUUCGACAUCCUAUGUAACGAAGACCAUUUGGCAUGAAUUCAAUAAAGAGGUGAUUUAGACAACUCAAUCCUAAUCCUCUUACAUUCCUAGCAAUGAAACACUCGGGUUCAAAGCUUCAACAUGAAUGCUCCCAACAGGAAAUAAAGUUUAAGUAUAUGUCAACAAGACUAUACAAAUACGAACAACUUCACAGUGUAUUCGUUCAAUCUGACCCAAGUUAUGGCUUAUAUCAAACAAAGGAUUUGCUCAAAUAUAGCCAGGCAUUCAUCAAUGAUGGUGCAAAUACUUGGUAAUUAACAUCAAACUAUACGGCGUAAAGUUGUAAGCAUCCAUAAAUAAAAAGCUCUCAGGCUUACAACAUGGCACAUGCCAUACAAAUAACAAACUAGUACAUCCAGAGUACAUGGCACAUGCAUCAAAAACAACAAACUAGUACAUCUAGAGUACAUGGCACAUGCCACACAAACAACAAACUCAUACAUCCAGAGUACAUAUAGAAAAAGAGGGCACUACGAGUCAUCCUCAUCUGAGGCCGAACCCUUGACAAUAUCACUUUACGUUUCAACCCCAUUGCCAUCACCACCUUCCUCAGCAUCCCCAGGACCAUCCUCACUCUCCUGAGACUGCUCACUGAUACUAGCCUCAUUAUCAAAGUCAUCAUCACUACUAGGAUCAACUGCGAUGACGAAAGCUUCACCUUUUUGUCGGUACUCAUCCAUCUCAUCACGGUACUUUCGGAUAAUUCUUCCAUUGUCGUAACGCUCAAUGACGGCCAUCCAUUUCCUUUUCUCAAAAUUAGCCGCCCGGAUGCAGUGAGGUCUAAAGGCAUCGUGAAAGGCCAGGGAACCUAAAAACUCAUGCACAACAGCAUCCCUCUCAGUUGGGAUACUCCUCUUCAGCCCAAAAACCUCAACCAAGGCACUAUCCAACUCCCCUUUAACCUUGGAAACCUCAAGGAUGGUUGUCUCCAACUGUUCCUUAGUCGUUUCCAAUUGUUUCUUGAGCCUCACGUUCUCACCAUUCCGCCUUUUCAAACUCUCAAAGUUUUCAUCCUUAAGGCGGAUGGCAUCAGCCAAAGCUUUGCUCAUUUUUUUGGUGUCAUUCACAAGCUGCUUAUUCUCUUUAAACUUUACCUUGUACCGCUCGACCUCUCGUAAUCUGUCAUUGUACUCGGUCAUGACCUACAUGACAAGAUGAUUGUCACUACCAAGAAAAAGAGGGGAGAAAGCAAAGAAAUGACAGAGUAACACUUACAUAAGAAGAUAGCCUUAUCAUCCGGUCACGAUCUGAUUCGUUCUCAUCUAGCGGCUCACCAAGCUCAUUAACAGUGGAUCGACGUCCUGCCAGGCAAUUAUUGACAUACCUAAAACUACUUGGCUGUAUGGCAACUUUCAAGUUCUUCCAAUAAAUGUUGCCAACCUCUUCCUUGUACUUUCUUUUAUGGCUAGAGCUAGGGCCACCUUCUUGGUCAGUAGACUCCAUGGUUGGAGAAAAUAUGGGAUUGAUGGUAAAAAGAGGAGGCAACAAUCGUCUUUCCUCCUAUACAACUAUGGCAGCAGCACACCCGAUGGCCUCAGCUUCAGCCUUUCUUGAGGCAGCAAUCUUGAGGACCUUCUCUUGUGACUUAGGUUUAGGGGUUGGCCUCACCCGAUGCUUACGAGCUCUCUUGUGAAACAAAAUGUCGUCUACGGGAACUAACAUGGGUGCUUUCUCUUUAUUGGCACUAGUCUCCCCUUUCUUGCCCACUUUCUCCACUGAACAAGAAAAAUUAAAGUAAGGAAUGCAACUUUGUAAAAGAAAGAGGGGACGAAAUGAAAGACACAACUUACUUGCUCGUCUCUGGCACUCCGACACUAGGGGUUGGAAACUAUACUUUCGAAAUAAGGGUCGUAGCUUGCCCAAAUGUCUAUCCUCUUUAGGCACCCUCAACAUCUUCUCUACGUCAGCUAGCUUCCGUCCGGACAGCUUGAUGGUUUCUCGCGUCACUGCACGGAGAAAAAUGUUAGAAGCAAGAGAAAAUCACAACAAAUAGCAAAUAAUGCAAACAAGGGAUACAUUACAACCUACAGUCUGGAAGUGAGUAGGAACACGUCGCUCAGGCGUUACACCUUUAGCAUACUCCCAAUCAUUUUAAAGAAAGCACCAACAGUUUUUCCAAGUGCAAUACACAUUUUUCUUACCAAAGACAAUACGCUCUCUCUCACUCCAACAUGCACACUCGGUAUACCUAGUGCAUGCUUUCACCGGGCGCAUCUUAUAGCAGUAGCGCCACUGAUGAAAGGAAGGCUCACCUAACCCACAUUCCAUCCAAAUAAUAUAAAACCCGAUCAAGGUAUCCCAAAAACCAGGGUAGAGUUGGCUAGACGCAUAUCCAAUGAAAGACAACAUCUGUUGCAACCACGGGUGCAAAGGCAGCUUCACCCCUAAAAUCAAUAAUAUCUGGGUAUAGAACAUAACAUGACCUUUGGGCGGUUUAUAGGACAAUUCUUCAUGAUGCACCAAACGCAUUCCUACACUACGGGGGAUACAACAUGACUGCCUUAGGGCCUCAAGCUGUUUUUCGCUAUCUAACAAGUUUUGCACUAAAUGGUCUGCUGUGAACUCAAAGCGAAAUAUGGGUAUGGCGUCACAAACAACCCCCUCACCCAAUCUCGAAUUUUUUUUGUACAAGACUUCAACAAAGGCCCUGAAGACUCCAACAUUGCAAGCUCAAACCUAGAGUUAGAGUUAGGGGAGCCCUCAUCACUAGGACUUCCAAACUCUGAUAUCUACAACAAACAAAAACAAACUUUAUCACUGCAUGAAAGAUCAAAACAUAAGGAAGUUCCUAGGGCAUGAAAAAAAACUCAAUCAGUUCAUUAUGUUCUCAACCAAAUACAUGAACACUCAAACAAUUCAACAAGAAUGAAAGUAUGCGAUCUAGUAGAGAAGACCACCAACCUGAAGAUAGUGCAAAGUAAUGCCGGAAUCUCUGGAAUCUCUCACAACUAUAAAAGCACUCUGUCUCCAAAAAUCACUACAAAAUGAGCAAAUGAAGACAAUGAAAAGAGUGUAAACUUAUCAUUCUUAUAGGGUUCAACAUGGUCAAAUAAAUUCAAAAUUCAAAAUUCAAACCAUGAGAAAACCCCACAUGGAAAGUCUUCAAACUUCCACACAAUCUAGGGAGUUUUCAAAUUUCAAACUUGCAGCACCCCCUCCCCCUCUCAAGAAAAAUGGGGGGGGGGAGGGGGUGGGAGGAGGUGAACACAUUAGAUUCAUCAAAGGAGUUCAACCAUAAUUCUCAAAAGCUUCACACACUCUUGAUCAAGACAGUGUGAAGCAAAACCAAUUUAUGGUGCCAACAAGAGCUUUAUCAAUAGAGGGCAAUCACAAUUCUCAAAAGCUUCACACACUUUUGAUCAAGACAGUGUGAACCAAAACCAAUUUAUGGUGCCAACAAGAGCUUCAUCAAAAGAGUUCAACCACAAUUCUUAAAAGCUUCACAAACUCUUGAUCAAGACAGUGUGAGGCAAAAAACCAAUUUAUGGUACCAACAAGAGCUUCAUCAAUGGAGGGCAACCACAAUUCUCAAAAGCUUCACACACUCUUGAUCAAGACAGUGUGAAGCAAAGUCAAUUUAUGAUGCCAACAAAAACUUCAUCAAUUGAGGGCAACUACAAUUCUCAAAAGCUUCACACACUCUUGAUCAAGACAGUGUGAAGCAAACCAAUUUAUGGUGCCAACAAGAGCUUCAUCAAAGGAGUUCAACCAUAAUUCUCAAAAGUUUCACACACUCUUGAUCAAGAUAAGCAAAACCAAUUUAUGGUGCCAACAAAAGCUUCAUCAAUGAAGGGCAACUACAACUCGUAGAAAGCUUCACACACUCUUGAUCAAGAUUGUUCGAAGCAAUUUCAAUUUAUAUGGUUCAUCCAAACCUUCGACUACUACAAGGUGUGGCUUGCAUCACAAUCUCUUACUCAAUUUUGUGGAAGUAAAAUUUGUAUAUGUUGUCUCUCCCACAUUUUCAAAUUUCUAAUUUCCCAAAAAAAAAAAGGAAAUUGGGAAAUUCAACAAAGCUUCAUCAAUGGAGGACAACUACAAAUUCUCAAAAGCUUCACACUAUCUUGAUCAAGAUAGUGUGAAGCAAAAUCAAUUCAUGGUACCCAACAAAGCUUCACCACAAAAGCUUCACCAACAAAAACUUCAUCAAUGGAGGACAACUACAAAUUCUCAAAAGUUUCACACUAUUUUGAUCAAGAUAGUGUGAAAAUCAAUUCAUGGUACCCAACAAAAGCUUCAAAUCCGAAGCUUCACCUACAAAGCUUCAACUCCAAAGCUUCGCCUACAAAAGCUUAAACACAAAAGCUUCACCCACAAAACUUCAACUCCAAAGCUUCACCUACAAAGCUUCAACACAAAAGCUUCACCCACAAUAGCUUCACCUACAAAAGCUUUACCCACAAAAGCUUCACCCACCACCAAAGCUUAAUAUAAAAUAUAUAUAUAUAUAUAUAUAUAUAUAUAUAUAAAUUUUCAGAAAUUUAAAAAUUCAAAAAUUCAAAAAUUCAAAAAUUCAAAAAUUCAAAAAUUCAAAAAAUCGAAAGAAAAAAAAAAUUGCCUAGGCCUCAUCUUCUUUGGGCCUAACAACUUUCAUAACAAAUAUAUAUGAAGGAGGAGUUUUGGGCUACCAUGUAAAAAGGAAAUGCCUCAUUCGUCAACUCCCUCGACCGGAGACUUGGGGGACUCCUACCAUAUGUUACUGCACCUUGAUACUCGGAAGUCUCACGACCACUUAGUGACUUGGAUUUUUCAAGUCUCCAAUCGAGAAGUUUUCCUCACUCGGGAAAUUAAGGGAGCACUACCUCAACAUACAUGCUUCACUCACAAAGCUUCAACAUAUAAGUUUCAACAAAAGAAAAAAAUUCAAAGAACUUAGUGAAGAAGACUUUGGUGUAUUUAACACAAUACGUUGAAAUGAAGCAAAACUUAUUUAUUAACAUCUCCGAUAAGUUACAAAUAUGUACAUAUACAUGAGUCAAAAUAAACAAACAAGAGAGAACUUUCAUAAAGGUUGCUCAUGAAAAGUCUCAGCAGUCGGCAGAGCCCUAGAAAGAUAAGGCAUCAGAGGGUGAUCAUUCAGAGCCUUAGUACUGGACAGAACCCCAGAAUGAGGAGGCAUCGGAGGUUGAUCAUUUGGAGCUUCAUUACGCGGUACAACCCUAGAAGAUGAAGGCAAUAAAUGCCUUUGGAACAAACCCACAAACCUCUGAUGAUCAAAUAAAAUCUGACCAUUAGAUUCAUGCAUCUGGUCAAACUUACUUUUCAUGUUUGUAGCAUAGUCAUGUGCGAGCAUGUGCAACUGUUUAUUCUUAUGCUUGAGCCCUCUAAUCUCCUGUUUGAGACUUAUCACUUUAGCCGCCAAUGAUUCAACUUGGCGGGUUCGAGCAAAUAAAUGUUGGGCCAUAUUAGACACAGAACCUGUACACUGAACAUUAAGAGCCAGAUAAUCCUUAAUAACCAACUCAUCAGACCGUUUGGAAAGUAGUCUGUUAUCUUUAGGAGUGAGAAGGUUCCUGGACACCACCGCAGUGGUCAUAUCAUUCUUCAUCACAGAGUCCCCAACGGUAAGAGUACCAGUAGAGGAUAAGAAGGAUUGGCGCCAUAUGUUGUCUUGAGAAGGCAUGGCUACCUCUACACCAAAGUUCAAGUCAAAAUGACGGUUGGAUGGGCCAAACAUUUUCAGAAAUGAUGAAGGAGAAAUGAGGUCCAAUAAAUCUCUAAAGUACGAAAAUAAAGGGAAAAUUCUUACAAGCAAUAACUCUCUAAACGUACUUCUUACACACAAUUGGUGCCCUUAUAAAAGAAAAGGCAACAUGGCCGUUUGUUCAAAAAUCGAAGAGGCAACACUCUCCGGAUUUCGAGAAGCAGAUUUUCUUGAGUAAAAUAUGUCGACAAUUCCCACACGCAACAUCAGCACCUCAGGUACUGCAGAUAACUUUACCAAAGAUCUCUGACAAAGUUUAGACACAUAAAUUUUGAAGGUCCAGCUACCCUACCAUUACCCACAAGGGUAAAGAAACAUCACCACUACUUGAUAACUGGAAAGUCCUUGUGUGUGCCAACCUCCGUGCUCCGUGGCAAGACCGACUGGCAAAAAUGCCCAACCUUUACUCACAUCGAGAAAACACUCCCAGUAGGAUUACUUGCUCAAAAAUCGAAGAAGCAUUGCUCCCCGAAUCUCGAGAGCCAAACUCCCACCAAGAUGGCUUCCUAAAAAAUCGGAGAGGCACCACUAACUGACUAUCGAGAGCCAGACUCACAACAGGAUUGUUUUCCCAAAAAUCGAAGAGGCACCGCUCUCCAAAUCUCGAGAGCCUGACUCCCAACAGGAUUGCUUUCUUAAAAAUUGAAGAGGCACCGUUCUCCGAAUCUCGAGAAUCAGAUCCCCGACAAGAUUGCUUGUUCGAAAACCGAAGAGGCACUGCUCUCCAAACUUCGAGAGCCAGAUUUCCUUGGAUAAAGCUUAUCUGCAAUCGUCACAAGCAACAUCGGCUUUCCAGAUACUACAGACCACUUUUUCGAAGUGCUCUGAAAAAGUUAAAACACGUGAAUCUUGCAACUCCCACUACAUUGCUAUGACUGAGAAGGGUAAAGGAAUAGCGUUACUACUAGCUAUUGGGACAAUUUCUAUAUAUGUCGACCUCCAUCCUCCACAACCAGGCAUACCUGUAAAUAAAAAAAAAUGCUCAACUUUUAUUCACAUCCAAGAAGGCACUCCCAAUAGAGUCUCUCGAAAUACUCAGCUUCUUCCCCCUCCCCCCCCCCGGCGAUAAUACUUAUGCAAACAAGUCACACCAAAGUAAGAGUAUCUCAUAUCAUGAGGGUUAAAAGAAAAAGUAUCUCAUAUCGUGCUUUUUCCCUGUAUUUUCCUUUGCCCUUACUCUUACCUGCAGGACAAAGAGAAAAAACAUAAUCAGUCAGAACCUAAAAUCAAACUUCCGAUCUGGAACUGAUUGCCCGAAAUAUUUGCAUGGUUGUUUGCCUAACAUUGCUCUCGAGUACUCAUCCUCAAUUGUUGUCAAGGUCAUAAAGUCCUUCGGCAAAUACCUCAGAACAGUUAAUAUGAUAUUGACGUUUCACACUGAAGCUGCCACGCAUGGAUGAGUUGCUGAGAAGUAGUGCUUUGAAGAACCAUUUAAAUGCAAAGGUUGAAUUCCAUUCCUACAUCGAGGACAAAUGUUGUAAGAGAUUGAAACAUAAUGAUCAAUGAUGAGCUAGAACAUAUCACUACAACACGAUGCCCUUCCUGCAGAACCACACAACCCAGACAGAGGAGUCUAAAUCAAAUCCAAACCCAGCAUCGCUGCCCUAUCCGAAGAACUUGAGAAUCUUCAACAACCUUUUGCUGACACCAUCACCAAAUAGCAAAGCUUCGCCAUACCACACCCACUACUUUAUCAACAGCAAAAGUAUCCCAUAUCAUUAGGGUCGAACGUACUCUAGAUUUGAUGGACUUGUUUUGACCCUUAAAUUCUUAAGUCGGCCUUAUACUUUGGAGGAAACCAGAAAACCCUUCAACCCAAUUCAAGAAUAAGCUUGUGGAAAGUUACUUCUUCAAAAGUAAAAGUAUCUCAUAUCAUAUCUUCUCCAUUUGCUUCUCCUUAUCCAUGUUGCUGUUUACGACACAAUGAGAAGGAGAACAAUCAACCGGAAGCCGAAGUCGAACCUCUGAUCCAGGUUGCUUGCUUGGAAGUCUGAUUGCUUACCUUGUCUGUUACCUCAUUCGGCAAAUCUCCUAACUCGGCGACUUGGAUGACUCUUACUAUAAGGUUUGUAUCGCACUUGACCAAGCCAGAAAUUACAAGUAAGCUUCAAUUGAUACAUUACCUUGUGCAUCUUCAUCGAUUAAAGAUACCACCCUUGGAUGAAGGAAAAGUACUUCCAGAGAAGAUGCCACAUCUACAUAUAAGACAGAUAAGGCAAGUGAAAAUGAUACCACACUUCGGUACUUAGAAGUUUUGUGAUUACUUAAUGGCUUGGAUCUUGCAAGUCCCCAAUCGAGAAGCUUCCCUCACUCGGGAACUUAAAGGAGCACUGUUUGUACCAUACUUGACCAACCCCGAAACUACUAAGCACCGGUCAACAUUAUACCACCAAGGACCCACAAGAGUCUCCCUCCAACCAGGAGACCAAUCAGCGACACAUGUCAACAUCAGAGACCAAUCAUAACGCGACACGUGUCGAUAUCAGAGGUCAAUCACAACACGACACGUGUCAAUGUCAGAAUGAAACUAGAAACUCACUUCUAUAAAUAGAGAUCAUUCUCUCACAAUAUUUUCUAAUGUUAUUUGUACUAAAUCAUUCGCUAGUACUCACUAAAGGAGAGCUUGAACCUAUGUACUUGUGUAAACCCUUCACAAUUAAUGAGAACUCCUCUACUCCGUGGACGUAGCCAAUCUGGGUGAACCAUGUACAUCUUGUGUUUGCUUCCUUGUCUCUAUCCAUUUGCAUACUUAUCGACAUUAGUGACCGGAGCAAUCUAGCGAAGGUCACAAACUUAACACUUUCUGUUGUACCAAAGUCCUCACUGAUUUUGUGCAUCAACAUGACUCAUUUUGAUGGAAUUCUGAUGUUGAUGAAAAAGACCAUAUAUGCAUGUUUUGACUAGUUAAGAGACUAAUGGUCAUGGCAAGUGGCCUUUUACCACAAUGGUGGAAAGGUGUUGAGCCUUUCCAUAGCAGCAUUGGUUCAAAUCUUGUUCGGUGUCCAACAUCCUAAUCUAACAAAUCUAUCAUUUGACAAUAAAAAAGAGACUACUGGUCAUGAAUUUUUAGAACAUCUCUAAAGAAGAUGUCAAAUUUGAAACAUCAAAUUGAUAUUUGAUGGCUUAUGUGGCGAAUUGACAUUUUGUACAAUUUUUUUAUUCACUCGAUAUGUUAAAUGAUAAUUCCAUUCUAAAUUUUUUUUUAUCACUUUGUAGGGUCCAUUUAUUGAGGCAACCAAUCUAAUUCUUAGAAUACACAACAACAUUUAUUAUAUGCAUUAAAUGUAAUAAAAAAAAAUACUAAAUGCAUUUGACAGUAGAAGACUUUGCCUUCAAUUGACUCAACGCCAUGUAGGAAAUUGAAGGCUCAGUUGGAGAGAGUGUGCUGCCAAUUUUUACUAUUAUAUACUUAUACGACAGUUUUGACAUCUCCUUUAGCGAUACUCUUAGUUGAAGAAUCAUUACUCCAUUGAGUUAAAGUUGAUGAACUAUUUCUACAAUUUUCUCGGAUUUCAUUUGUUGUAGAAGAGAUCUAAUGUAAGUUCCAGCUAUGUGAUGGUUAGCCGUCCAUAUACACAUAGCGACACUGUGAAAGUGAUAGUGUAAAGGGAUUACAUUUGAGAGAAACUCUAAUUUGUGGAACAUUGAAUUUGUGAAACAUCAAAAGCUUGAGAGAAACUAUUUUUUUAAUUAUAAUUAAGAUAAAUAAAAUAUAUCAAAUUAAAACUUUAAAUAGUCCUGGAAAACCCUUGAAAGAAAAACAAAACAAGACAUUACAAAAAAAUUGAAAAUUAAUUUUAAGACUUAAAAGGUGUUUUUAACCUAGGAAAUUUUUGAAACAAAUUGAUCCUAUUUUGCAACGACGAGUUGGACUCAUCUCUUUUUUUCCUGUUCAGAAAGGUAUUUUGAACCAUCACUGAAACACUAUUUACACUAAAAUUCACCUUUUUGAUAUGCUCGUUCAGCCUUACAUCAUACACAAGUAAUAUUUAGUCAUUAAAACCUACAUAGUCUAUAUUUUAUCAACCAUCACGCGUGAAUGACUGAGCUUUACAAAAUCAUGCACAAAUAGAGACCAUUUUUUAAGUAUAAUUGGUUUGUGUCCCUCCAUUCUUGGAGGGUGGGGAGGGUUAUGCAUUUGCUGGUUAUUUUAUGUUGGGGGAUAGAAACCCAAUUGGGGUUCACUUUCUUUUGGGAUUUGGACAAAUGCAGACGGGGGCCUCAUGUUAUGUUCUCAAACAGGAAAGGGGUGAUUCAAGUGGUCCCAUUUGGCACUUGCUGUAUAAAAAUAAGAUGCUGGGGAGAGAUGGACUGAUGGAAGGGAAAGCUGAAUCUUUGUGUAAUCAGAUCUCAAACCUACGAGUUUUCAUUAAAGGGAGGGCUCUAUGUCCUUGCAUGUGGACCAGGACAAGGUGAUGUAAUUUGUCUAUAAAUGAUGAAACAGUCGAGUUGUGGGAAAUAUGUAGAUCGAUUGACAUGAAACCUUUUUAUCUUGUCCAAACAGUCAUCAAAUUCUAAUAUGUUGAAAAGCUGUGUGGAGAAUGGAUAUAAUUAGAUGACUAGAUUUCUUCAUAAGUAAUCCAUUUACGUACCUUAGUUAGUGGGGUGUAUAUUGUUUUUCUGCUUCUUCAUAAUCCCAAAUGAUCGUAUAACUAAUAUGGUCAUUGUUUGUACCAUACUUGACCAAUCCCGAAACUACUGAUCACGGGUCAACAUUAUACCGUCAAGGACCCAGAAGAGUUUCCCUCCAACCAGGAGGCCAAUCACAGUGCGACACGUGUCGACAUCAGAAGUCAAUCACAGCGCGACAUGUGUCAACAUCAGAAGCUAAAUGAAACUAGAAACUUUCUUCUAUAAAUAGAGAUCAUUCUCUCACAAUAUUCCUAAUGUCAUUUGUACUAAAUCAUUCACUUGUACUCACUAAAGGAGAGCUUGAACCUAUGUACUUGUGUAAACCCUACACAAUUAAUGAGAAUCUCCUCUACUCCGUGGAUAUAGUCAAUCUGGGUGAACCAUGUACAUAUUGUGUUUGCUUCCCUGUCUCUAUCCAUUUACAUACUUAUCCACACUAGUGACCGGAACAAUCUAGCGAAUGUCACAAACUUAACACUUUGUUAUACCAAAGUCCUCAUUGAUUUUGUGCAUCAACAGUUAUGAUAAGCCAAUGUUCUUUGAUCACAAACUGUUGAGAUGUGAGUGAUUAUGUGUUGACUGGUAGCCAACAAAAUACACUAAGAUAUUAUGAUACAUUUAUCGACAAUAUAGGUACUCUUUAUCAACAAAAUAUGACAUCCUGCACUAUAUGUACAAGACUAACCAUGACUCAUAAAUCCUAAAGCUACAAAGCAAGGCGCACCUCUUCAUGUGGAAACUUGGCAUACCAAUUCAUCCAAAUUACAAUAUGUAGUAUCGUUGAGUCUAUAUGUUGUAAUGUAAGUGAAUUGGUGAUAUAACGUGAUAUUAUUACUGUCAUACUAAAUUUUAUUAACAAAAAUUAAGAAUAUUGUUUUGUCCAAUCAUAACUAUUUUUGUUGACGUUUGCAUGGCACAACCAAAAUCGUAUGUCACGUUGCACUUAUUCUCUAAAGCAAACCUAACUCACUUUAAACUCCUACUGCACUCUCCACGUAUAUUUCAAGUACUUUUUAAGAAGUUAUUUGUAUCAUAUAGAAAACCUUACUCAGAUCGCUACAAUUAGAAGAAAUUAUUAGGUAGUAUAUAUAGGGGUGUGAUAUCCACACAUCUUUUUUUACUUCUCACACACCCUUCUAAUUUUUGGCCGUCGGAUCGGAUAAAAUGAAGAAGAUCAACGAACAUAAAUUAACAAGGGGUGUGUGAGAAGUAAAAAAGGGUGUGUGGAUAGCACUAUCCACACAUCCCUUUUUACCACACAUCCUUUUUUACUUCUCACACACCCUUUGAUAAUUUAUGUCCGUUGAUCUUCUUCAAUUCAUCCGAUCCAACUGUCGAAAAUUAAAAAAGUGUGUAAAAAGUAAAAUGGGAUGUGUGGAUAUCACACCCCUAUAUAUAUUUAUUUGAUGGUCUGAUGGAUGAUGGAUCUCUGUUCGCAAGAGUAAUAAUUCUUCACAAGUUCGCAUCAGAAACAUUGUUAUCAUGUCCUUUAUCUAGUUGUCAUCAUCAUAAGUUAAGGAAAUACCAAAGUAUAUUAGCUUUAGAUACGUUUAACAAAACUAUUCUCUUUUUGGUUUAUAUAUAACCGCCCAACAGUACGUAUUAUUAUCUUCGAAUAUCAUGUGUACGCGUACAUUAGAAAAAUAAAAAGUAAAACAAUUGUUUCUCACAACGGAAAUUCCUAUUGAGUAGUUCGAUAUGUUUGCUCGUAUUAGCAAUAUUAUUUGUUAUCUGGAAAUAGUUGAUGAACCAUUAAGUUCAAUUGAAAAAAAAAAAGUAGGAAGAAUUAAUAGUGGGUUUUACAAAUAUGUUUUCAAUUAAUCAUGAACAGAAACUCAACCAGUAAAAGAAGGAAUGAGUAGAGGAGACUGAUUGUGCCAAAUGAUCCUCCUACUCCAAGCUGCACUGGUUUGUGUGCGUACUCUUAUGAAUUGCAGACUUGCAGAGAGUUGUCCAGCUGCUCUGGCGUAUAUACGUACUUCAAGCUUCACUUACACCAUGUAUGGUAGAGAAUCCCACCACAAAGAAAGAUCACACAACACAAAAAAGGGAUCAUCAAUCAUGAUUGCUUAGAUGAUAGAGUGCCGUGUACAUCAUAAGAUAUAGUUUUCUUUUCGUCCUUUGUGCGGUUACAAACUUACGAGUUUUCGUACUCGAAUUUCAUGUAUUUAUUAAAUUUUCAAGACAAAAGUAGAGCCUUGUACACUGAAUUUGCAAUUAACAAGUCAUUAAGGUGAUCUUUAGACAUGCAGAGGUAAACUUAGCGUCGAAUUUAAGCUAUGUUUUAGCUCUUCAAAAAUUAGAUUUUGUAAAGAAUAGUUCAUGUCGUCUUCAUCUCCAACAUUGGAUGGCUAUAUUUCAAACCCCUUAAUAUAUGUUAUAUUGUAGUGCUAAGUAAAAAUUAUGAUACAACACAUUAUAGAAAUAUAAAUCAAUUUUAAGGAAAUAUGAGGGAGGCUUGUAGGCUAUGACUCACUAAUCAUGAUGCGGGAGCCAAGGCUUUAAAAAAUUAAAAAAAAAUUGAAAACUUCUCGUUGGCAUUGGAAAUUCAAAUAAUAAAGGCAUUGUAAUUUAUUUUAAUGACAUAGGAACUUGUUAAGUCAUUUCUAGAGAGUUUUUUAGGAAGUUGUGGUCUAUUUAUGCUUCUUUAUCUUUAGUUCCUUUAAAUAUUGAUGUAUUAGAAGCCAUUGCUAGACUUGAAUGAAUUAAAAUAUAUUUUGCUUUGUGCAAUUGAAGUGAGUGAUUUCUCCUUCCCCAAUCAAGCAUUUGGCUUGGUCAUCCAUGAUUAACGACGUGAGAUAGCUCCGUUGCCCCUGGUUGAGCGAAUCCCAGGUUAUCUAUUCCCUUCUCCUCGAUACCCUUGGUUCUGUCCUGCAUCAAAUGGCAUUAGAGCAGGUUUUCCGCUGCAGUUGAAAAUCAUGGCUAUGAUUAUCAAUCCGUUUCAAGAUCACAUCGUUGAAGAGAUUAGUUUCAUCGAUUGGAAUUCACCACCAAUUUAUGAUGAAUACGUUGAUGAAGACGAAGUCAAAAAUCAUUUUGUGAAUGAAGUUAAUGACAUCGAGCCUUCCAUGCAUCAAAUGGUAAUCUGUUACUGCUAUUCAUCUUUUGGAUGCUACAAGGAUCUUCAAAGUACUCCAAGCAUGAUGCAAAUGGAGAUGCUUCAGACCUACAAGGAAUGGAUGAUGGCAAGGUGCUACUGAUGUCCCAAAUGAAUUUUGAAAAGAAUUUCAGACAGUCUACAAUUUUUGUGACUUCAACAUGGAUGGAACAAGGCGAUGUCCCUCCUUCCUCAAGCCCAGCAAUGAUGCUUAAAGAGGCCACUCAUGUGAUAAGUUGCGGUUAUGAAGACAAAACUGAAUGGGGUUUAAAGAUAGGUUGGAUUUACAAAUUUAUCAUAGAGAGCAUUCUAAGGGGUUUCAAGAUGCAUUCUAGUGUGGUUGGAGGUCAUUUUCAAUCAAAAAGAAGGAACCAGGGCCUACAACGUUUGAAAGAAUGGGGAAAUGGUAUUUUCAUGAAUAUUUUGUGGCUUGGAACACUUUGAUCGCCGUGAACUUCAUUUUACUAUUGUGGUUGUUGUGGAAGAAUCUGCAAGGUCAUCCCAAAGAUCGAGGAAGACCAAAUGGAACUUGAGGACGAGUUUUCUUCGAGAAUGGGAGAAUGAUGCGGGAGCCAAGGCUUAAAAAAACAAAAAAAUAAACACAAAUUGAAAACUUCUCGUUGGCAUCGGAAAUUCAAAUAAUAAAGGCAUUGUAAUUUAUUUUAAUGACAUAGGAACUUGUUAAGUCAUUUUUAGAGAGUUUUUUAGGAAGUUGUGGUCUAUUUAUACUUCUUUAUCUUUAGUUCCUUUAAAUAUUGAUGUAUUAGAAGCCAUUGCUAGACUUGAAUGAAUUAAAAUAUAUUUUGCUUUGUGCAAUUGAAUUGAGUGAUUUCUCCUGCCCCAAUUAAGCAUUUGGCUUGGUCGUAUGAGUGAAUCCACGAUUAGCGACGUGAGCUAGCUUCGUUGCCCCUAGUUGACGAAUCUCAGGUUAUCUAUUCCCCUCUCCUCGAUACCCAUGGUUCUGUCCUGUAUCAAAUCAAGUGCGAGAUUUCUCCUCUAGAUCAUUGAUUAAGGAGUUCAUAUUUCUCUGAGCUUAUCAUUUAUAAGAAAGAGAUGUUGUAACAAAGUAUCCUAAAAUGAAAUCCUUGGUACCGAAAUGAUUAGUCACUUCUUCAUUCAGUACAGUUUUUUUUUCUUUUCUUUUUUUUUUUUUGCUUCAAAAGGGAUCAUGGCUUCGCCACGGUAAUCUACCUUUUUGAAGGCCAGAAAGACUCACAAAGGCAUUUCAGCCUCUCUGGCCCAUCGUGCUAUUCACAAGUGCAAGGAAUUGAACCCAAGAGAUACCGUGUGAAAUACAUAUCUUAAAUUUAUCCCCAACCACUAGACCACCCUGUGGUGGUAUCAUUCAGUAUAGUUAAUUUGAUAUUUAAUUGAUAUUUCCAACUCAUUUAGUUAUAUACUUUAGUUUAGAUUAAAUUUCCAAACCACGUAGUUCUUUUCCCAAUUGACUUGAUCUGGUCACGGAUUAGUAAUAGAACUUUGAAAUUAUUGAUAAUUAUGUGACAGAGAAAAUCCUUAAAACAGCCCGCCAGAAGAUAAGUGCUAGUUAAUAGAGGUAGGAGCAAACAUUCAUGAAAUGAAAUGUCAGGUUCAUCAGUCUUCUCCCCCACUAUAACUAAUUGAGCUGUAUGUUGAUUAAUUAAGAAGAAUCAAGUAGUUAGGCCCUUCCAUCAUCUUCACCUACUACUAUAAGUUCCAACAAUUAUAAUACUAAUCUAAUUGGGCCAACAGAAAAUUAAUGUAACACCUCAUUCACAACGUACCAUAACUAAUUUAAUGUGAUAUUCUGCAUCCAAUAGGAAGUUUUCAAAUUGAAAUCCAACUUGCUUUAUAUGUAUAGGGUGAAAACGUCAAACAUGUUUGGUGGGUUUUAAGUCAGAUUUGGGUAUUUUAAGUUGGGUUAGAAGGUUUAUUAGUUUUCAGCCAUUAGAUUAAUGCAACGGGCGCGUAGAGUGGUUAGUUUUCUAUUACAUUUUUAACUAGUUAGCGCUUGAACACUCUUGCAUAAUACGUAACAAAUAUAAUGUUUGGUUCAAUAUCGAGGUUGAGGAUGAGAAUUAUAAAUUUUCCAGUUUGAGAUAUAUGGUAUUCGAAUUAAAAGUUUUCUAUCAGAAUUAAAACCAGAUCAAGGAAACAAGAAUAUAGUUGAUAGCCAACUAGGUUAAGUUGGGCAGUUUUGUGUCUUAGAAGAAACGCCGACUCUCGUUCACAUCCAUAUUGAGUUAAGAAAUUAAAGUACAAAAUGCCUAUGAGUCGAACAAAGGAACGUUGAUCUUGGGAAAUUUACAACAGGACGAGAACCUGAAAUCAUCAUUUCAAAUGUGUAGGUUGUUAUAUAUGUGCAUCACAUGACCUCUAUGAUAGCAGUGUUUAUCUAGGAUGCGUGAGAGUGUGCAACGGGCUAGGGCAGCUUGACCAUGCCCAGUUUAAUGUCAACCUAGCACAACACAUCAUGAUUUUUUGAGGACUAGGGCAAGCAUGGGACACGCCAUGGCGUGAGACACGAUUUUCGUUGCACGUCUCUGACGCGGGCACGAGCUCAUUGUGAGCUGGACUCGUGCGAAACCCUACCUACCUCCAAACUACAUGCAACUAAAACGUAGUUUGAAUUAUAUGAUAUCCAAAAUAUCAGAUUUAUAGGUUUACCCUCCCUAUAGCUGGAUGACAUCCCGACUACGGGAGAGGCAAGAAUUCAUUCCAGGGAUUUCAAGUAAUUGACCGUGUCAAGGAAGAGUUGGAGAAUAUUUGCCCCGGUGUAGUGUCAUGUGUGGACAUUCUCGUGGUGGCUGCGAUAGACGCCGUUCUGAUAUUCACUCUUAAAAUAAUUAGUUCUCCGCUUCAACUUUAUUUUACUUUACUUUCCACACACCAUUUCUGGCUUCGUCACUGUUUGGACCUGAUUUUACACAUCGGCCUAAGCAAUCGAGGCCGUUGAGUAAGCAUGGUUCUCAACCGUUGGAUAAGAAAGUUUAGAUAUUAUUGUUAAGAGAUAAUAUUAUGAUUUUUAAUCAUAAUAAUUAUUUUUUUUAUAAGUUAUCCCGGUUUUUUAUGCAAAAUAAAUGGGAUGGAGGCAAGUAGAGUUGUGAUGGGGACGUGAGCUUUGAAUCAUGUUGGUUUGUUUUGCUGGACAUGCAUGCAUGGGAUGUAAAGAUAAUGAAGUGAUAGGGGAUAAAUCCAAACAUGCCAAAACGUGUAAUUUGCAAAAGAAUUGUGCAAUAUGGAGAUUCUAUCCUAAUGCAUGGUUUUUUGGGUUUGGUUUUGUGCACGUGGCAUGCGACAAUGGAGAUGAUGGUUUUGCAUGGUGAUGGCAAUAUGGGUUUAAAGGUUUCUCAUGUUUUUUUAAUAAGAAGCCUAGGUGGGUUAGAUCUCUAGUGAGAUGUGAUAAAGCCUAGGUAGGCUUUAUUUAUCUGAAGGAUAUGUGCGGCGUAUUUGAUACGGGAUCAGGGUCAAUUCCACAAAAUAGAGUUGCAGUUGGACUCUACAAAAUUAUUUGGCCGCGUCACACAACAUUUGCUCCUAUAAAUACAGAGAUAGUGGCAACGGAAGAAAGACCCCUGCAAAUCAAUACAAAAUUGCCCUGCGCAAAUUCUCACAACUUGUGAUUUUUCUUUUUCCUUUUUCGCUGACACAUCUUCCGUUGGCGUCAACAGCACUGUGGAAGCAACCGGUGAUAUCUUAAGUCGGCAUAGAUAGCUCUGUCACCGUAGAAUCAAUCGGUCUCGCAGUAUCUUCCGUUGGCAUCAACAGCACUGCGGCGAGAACGGUUAAUUACCUAUCCAAGUCUCGGUCGAGAAGGGUUUCUGAACCCUUAUUGGUCGAUGUCAUCUCAUCAGCCUUCUCGGCGAAGUGAGGUGUUACACGUUAUUACGUUCGGCAUAUUGAAAGCCGAAUUUGAUAUUGAACUUCGUAAGAAUAGUAACCUUGUCUUCAGGUUCGAGAGCCCAAGAGGCCGAGACGUGUUCCUUUCUCGGCCGCAAUCGCAAGACGCAGAAGUCAGCCGCGCACCCAACGCAACAUCAACAAAUUUACUCCUUGGCCGAGCUCGGCCGACGAGUUGGCACGCCCUGCAUUCACCGAAGGACGUAGUUAGCUCAUUAAUUAUUCGGCCUGCACGCCACGUAGGCUUUGUAGUUUUUAGGGUCAACAUUUUGGCACGCCCAGUGGGACCCAGUGCUAAACUACGAAGUUCACAUGAUCUAUCUCGAUCCGGCUUCAAGGGAUGAGUGUUAUCGCCUAUUAAAGGAGCAAAAACAACUUCUCGAAAGUUUGAGAAGAAUUUCUGAAAGGCAAAAGGCCGAGGGGCAAAUCUCCACUCCGGCCACAACCAAUAUUCGGCCUAAGAAAAGUGAUAAUUUGGCCGAAGAACAAAGGCCACUUGUUGUUUCGGUAGAGACUGAAAAUAUAGUAGGCCUAGAAGAAAAAAUUCAAGUCCCUAAGCUAUAUACAAAAAUUGACUUGGAAAAAGAUUCGUCAAAAGAAUGCUCUAGUGACGAACGAGGCCGAAAUAUUGGCCUAGCCCGAGAAACUACGCCAAUUGAUAUGAUUAUUGGCAAUAAAGCCGAUAUGGAGAAAUCCUGUUCGGCUAAGUUAUUUGAAUUAAAAGCCGAAAUUAUGCUUGGGGGGCUGUUUGGACUCAAAUUUACACCAUCGGCCCAUGUAAUCAAGGCCGUUGAGUGAGCAUAGUUCUCGACCGUCAGAUGGAAAAGUGAAGAUAUUUUUGUUAAAGGAUAAUAUUAUGAUUUUUUAUCAUAAUAAUUAUUUUUUAAUGAUGAAUUAUCUUGAUUUUUUCCUGGUACAAGAUGGAUGAGAUGUAAAUGUAGUUCAAUUUGAUUUGGGAUUCUUGGAGUUAAGACGCGUGGUGGAUUGGGAGCAUCAGAGCACGUUAUUAAGAGUCCUAAUACACUACUGCAUUGUUGGCAAAUGGAAAUUGGCAGAGAUAUUAAUGCUUGCAUAAAGAUGAAGAUGUUAAAUUGGAGAUGGAUAGCCACGUGUGAGUGGAUUUGGUGGAGCCAUGCAUGCAUAUCAUUAUUUCAAGUCAAGAUGCUUAUCGGCACUAAUUGGUAUAUGCUAAUAUGCUAUUAAUUAGCAAGAGGUGGUUGCAUGUUGGUAAGUGAUAACAAUCUUUUUGCAUGAGAUUGUUAUGAAUGAGGACUUUGAUGUUGGCGGCAGCUUUACAACACGAGCCGUCAGGAUGAGGAUGAUACUUAUAAAUACAGAGUCGCAAACAACGGGUAGGACCCCUGCAAAUCAAUACAAAAUUGCCCUGCGCAAAUUCUCACAACUUGUGAUUUUUCUUUUUUCCUUUUUUCGCUGACACAUCUUCCGUUGGCAUCAACAGCACUGUGGAAGCAACCGGUGAUAUCUUAAGUCGGCAUAGAUAGCUCUGUCACCGUAGAAUCAGUCGGUCUCGCAGUAUCUUCCGUUGGCAUCAACAGCACUGCGGCGAGAACGAUUGAUUAUCUAUCCAAGUCUCGAUCGAGAAGGAUUUCUGAAUCCUUGUUGGUCGAGGUCAUCUCAUCAGCCUUCUCGGCGAAGUGAGGUGUUACAAGUGACUACAUUCGGCACGUUGAAAGCCGAAUUUGAUAUUGAGCUUCGUAAAAAUGGUAACCUUGUCUUCAGGUUCGAGAGCCCAAGAGGCCGAGACGUGUUCCUUUCUCGGCCGCAAUCGCAAGACGCAGAAGUCAGUAGCGCGACCCAACGCAACAUCAACAAAUUUACUCCUCGGCCGAGCGCGGCCGACGAGUUGGCACGCCCUGCAUUCACCGAAGGACGUAGUUAGCUCAUUAAUUACUCGGCCUGCGCGCCACGUAGGCUUGGUAGUUUCUAGGGUCAACAUUUUGGCACGCCCAGUGGGACCCAGUGCUAAUACUACGAAGUUCAUAUGUUAUAUCAAGAUUCCAAUCUGGCUCAACGUAGCUGAUUGUACGAGCUCCUGGAGGAAUUGAAAAAACAUAAUGAGGAAUGCAAAAAAUCUUUGGAAGCAGAAAAAGUUCUUCGUGGCCAUAAAGAGAUGCAAAAGUCAUUCGCUUGCAUGGUGAAAAUAAAAGCUCCUGUUACCCUGCAUGGGUAAAUGAAGACAGGGCUCGAUUUAAUGCCUGGCUAGAUGAAGAACGUUUUCCUUACGUUUCUGAUUACAGAUCAAUUCCAUUUGAAAAAUGGUUAGGUCCAAAGGCCGGGGGGCAAUUUUUCGCUCCGGCCACAAUCAAAAUUCGGCCUCAAAAAAUUGUUAAGGCGGCCGAAGAAAUACUUAGGCCACCUGUUGUUUCGGUCGAGAUUCAAAGUGUGGUAGGCCUAGACGAAAAAGUUGAAGUUUCUGAGCUAAAAAUCGACUCAGAAAAUGAUUCGUCAGAAGAGUGCUCCAAUGACGAACAAGACCAAUACACGACUUCAAACCAUAAAAUCACAUCGAUUGAUAUGGUAAUUGAAGACAUAGGUCUAGCCGAAAAAAUCACGCCAAUUGAUCUGAUUAUUGGUGAUAAAGCCGAUAUGGAGAAAUCCCGUUCGGCUAAGUUGCUCGAGUUAAAAGCCGAAAUUGGUGAAAUAAUUAUGCCCAGGGGGCAUAAUACUUGUUCCACACAUUCGGCGGCUGAAAAUGCAAAAUAUUUUGCCGAGUCAAAAAUAUUUGGGAAAAAUUCUUUAUUCGGCCUAGAGCGAAAUCAAUUUGAAAAUUUUGAUGCAAAAAGAUCUUGGCUUGGAAUAAAACAUCGUUGGUCUCCUCCUGAUUAUGGUUCGGCCACUUUUAUUUUCGUUUGCUAAAAUAUUAAAUAAAUUAUUUUCUUAACUAUUCGGCUUUUUAGGCCGAUGCAUAAACAUAAAAAGGGGGUAGUAUUGUUUUGACCGAUUUGUGUUCGGAUUUAAGAUUUAUUCGGCAUAUAACAUAUCAUGCAGAAAUUAAUCAUGGCAUGAACUGUUCUAGCACGAAGUGUUACAAUUUGGCGUCAAAGCAGGAGUUGAAUCAUGGCAUCUGCAAUUAGAGUCUCGGCCAAAAGAGUGGUUGCCGAGCCAUUCAAUGCACCUGGGAUUGGUUUGGCCGAAUAUAUAUAUAUAAGAGUUUAGCCGAACUCUCGACUACCUUACAAAAGCCUCGGCCAAAGCUGCAUAUAUAUGAUUCGGCCAAAACUGUAUAUAUAUAUAUAUAUAUAUAUAGGAAUUGCUUAAGGGGAGGGAUCCCCAUUUUUUCAAAAAAAUGGGGACACACUCCCCACCGUUGGAUUUGAAUUAAAUGAAAUCCUGUGGUUGAGAUUCUAUGGCCUGUGUUUUAAUCUCAACCACACAAUUUCAUUAAAGUCAAUCUAACGGUGGGGAGCGUGUCCCCAUUUUUUUUGAAAAAAUGGGGAUCCCUCCCCUUAAGCUCCCUGUAUAUAUAUAUAUAUAUAUAUAUAUAUAAAGAAAAUGGGGAUUCUCGGCCACAACUAUAUAUAUAUAUAUAUAUAUAUAUAUAUUGGGGGGGUUGUUUUUAAUGAGGGCAUUAGAGACUCGGUGGACGUCAAAUCUUGGUCAAAUGAGUGGGUCUGAGUUUCAAUGGCCAUGUGGGGUCGAGGGUUCAUGAUUUAUCUUGGUCAUGAUAGAUGAGUGAUAUUCAAUUGGAGGAAUUCAGCACAGUAUUUUGCCGAAUAAGUUUUUAUUCGGCGGUGGUUUCUCCAAUAAUUCUCGGCCAUAUGUUUUUCUCGGUCACUCGGAGGUAGUCAGUCAUCGGUAUUAUUAUUGGUAAAUCAGUAUUAUUGGAUGAUCAGACUUGGUGCAUACAGCUGAGCUAUCAGGGAUAAGGCCGAGUAAUCAACCGAGCUACCAAGAAUUAGUCAUUGCUGAGCCUUGCAUAUAGAAUGAUGGCUACGAACAAUUAAUUUCCUUAAAUAUUCGGCUUAUGAGCCGAAGUUCAAGGAAAUUGGGGGGCAAUGUUUGGACUCAAAUUUACACCAUCGGCCCAUGUAAUCAAGGCCGUUGAGUGAGCAUAGUUCUCGACCGUCAGAUGGAAAAGUGAAGAUAUUUUUGUUAAAGGAUAAUAUUAUGAUUUUUUAUCAUAAUAAUUAUUUUUUAAUGAUGAAUUAUCUUGAUUUUUUCCUGGUACAAGAUGGAUGAGAUGUAAAUGUAGUUCAAUUUGAUUUGGGAUUCUUGGAGUUAAGACGCGUGGUGGAUUGGGAGCAUCAGAGCACGUUAUUAAGAGUCCUAAUACACUACUGCAUUGUUGGCAAAUGGAAAUUGGCAGAGAUAUUAAUGCUUGCAUAAAGAUGAAGAUGUUAAAUUGGAGAUGGAUAGCCACGUGUGAGUGGAUUUGGUGGAGCCAUGCAUGCAUAUCAUUAUUUCAAGUCAAGAUGCUUAUCGGCACUAAUUGGUAUAUGCUAAUAUGCUAUUAAUUAGCAAGAGGUGGUUACAUGUUGGUAAGUGAUAACAAUCUUUUUGCAUGAGAUUGUUAUGAAUGAGGACUUUGAUGUUGGCGGCAGCUUUACAACACGAGCCGUCAGGAUGAGGAUGAUACUUAUAAAUACAGAGUCGCAAACAACGGGUAGGACCCCUGCAAAUCAAUACAAAAUUGCCCUGCGCAAAUUCUCACAACUUGUGAUUUUUCUUUUUUCCUUUUUUCGCUGACACAUCUUCCGUUGGCAUCAACAACAGCACUGUGGAAGCAACCGGUGAUAUCUUAAGUCGGCAUAGAUAGCUCUGUCACCGUAGAAUCAGUCGGUCUCGCAGUAUCUUCCGUUGGCAUCAACAGCACUGCGGCGAGAACGAUUGAUUAUCUAUCCAAGUCUCGGUCGAGAAGGAUUUCUGAAUCCUUGUUGGUCGAGGUCAUCUCAUCAGCCUUCUCGGCGAAGUGAGGUGUUACAAGUGACUACAUUCGGCACGUUGAAAGCCGAAUUUGAUAUUGAGCUUCGUAAAAAUAGUAACCUUGUCUUCAGGUUCGAGAGCCCAAGAGGCCGAGAUGUGUUCCUUUCUCGGCCGCAAUCGCAAGACGCAGAAGUCAGUAGCGCGACCCAACGCAACAUCAACAAAUUUACUCCUCGGCCGAGCGCGGCCGACGAGUUGGCACGCCCCGCAUUCACCGAAGGACGUAGUUAGCUCAUUAAUUACUCGGCCUGCGCGCCACGUAGGCUUGGUAGUUUCUAGGGUCAACAGGGGCAUAAUAAUUGUUCAGCGCAUUCGGCAGCUGAUAAAAAAUCUUUCGUCAAGUCAAACAUAUUUGGAGAUAGUAUUUUAUUCGGCCUUGCAAAAAUUCAAAGUGAAAGUUUUGAUACAAAAAGCCUUCGGCUUGGAAUAAAACAUCGUUGGCCUCCUCCAUUUAUAGUAGGGCCACUUUUGUUUUCUUUUGCUACAAAAUAAGAAUAAAUUAUUUUCUUAACCAUUCGGCUUUUUAGGCCGAUGCUUAAGAAAAUAAAGGGGGCAAUAAGAUGGUGCGGACUUAGAAAAACAAGAAAAAACAAGAUGGUGUACUCGGCAGACAAUUUUGGUCAAAUAAUGGUGUAUUUGGCAGACAGUUUUGGUCGAAUGAAUUUGCGAGAGCAUGCAUGACAAUUGUUCGGCAGACAGUUUUGGUCAAAUGAAUUUAUGGGAGCAUGCAUGGUUGCGAAGCUUGCUCAAUUCAGUUUCGAUGUGCGGUUUAAUAUAUAUAUAUAUAUAUAUAUAUAUAUAUAUAUAUAUAUAUAUAUAUGUCAGAAUGACCCAUCACAUGAAACAGAAAGAGAGACGCAUACGGAAAAGACAAAGGAAUAUUCAUGAAGUUAUGGUAGGCUUCCAUAUGGGCUAACAUUUUCGUUUGGUGAUGUAGUGAUCUGUGAAUUCCUAACAGCAUUAUUUGGCCGAAUACAAAUCUUUGGCCGAAUAAAACAUAGUUCGGCCGAAUAGAAUGGGUUAUAUAUAUAUAUAUAGGCUCUACAGCCAGUUCUUCUCGGUCUCGGCCCCAUUUACUCUCGAUCCCAGUAUUUUUGACCGAUACUAGUGUUUUCUCGACCCCGACAGUUGAGAGUUGGAGUAGUUCACGACACUGGCAGAGGGAGGUUAUGACAUUGGCAGAACAUAGGUGAUUUUAAUACCGAGAGACAAAAUUUGUUUCGGCAAUACGACGAAGUGUUGUUGGCUACGAGCAAUUAAUUUCCUUAACCAUUCGGCUUACGAGCCAAAGCUCACGGAAACUGGGGGGCAAUGUUUGGACCUGAUUUUACACAUCGGCCUAAGCAAUCGAGGCCGUUGAGUAAGCAUGGUUCUCAACCGUUGGAUAAGAAAGUUUAGAUAUUAUUGUUAAGAGAUAAUAUUAUGAUUUUUAAUCAUAAUAAUUAUUUUUUUUAUAAGUUAUCCCGGUUUUUUAUGCAAAAUAAAUGGGAUGGAGGCAAGUAGAGUUGUGAUGGGGACGUGAGCUUUGAAUCAGGUUGGUUUGUUUUGCUGGACAUGCAUACAUGGGAUGUAAAGAUAAUGAAGUGAUAGGGGAUAAAUCCAAACAUGCCAAAACGUGUAAUUUGCAAAAGAAUUGUGCAAUAUGGAGAUUCUAUCCUAAUGCAUGGUUUUUUGGGUUUGGUUUUGUGCACGUGGCAUGUGACAAUGGAGAUGAUGGUUUUGCAUGGUGAUGGCAAUAUGGGUUUAAAGGUUUCUCAUGUUUUUUUAAUAAGAAGCCUAGGUGGGUUAGAUCUCUAGUGAGAUGUGAUAAAGCCUAGGUGGGUUAGAUCUCUAGUGAGAUGUGAUAAAGCCUAGGUAGGCUUUAUUUAUCUGAAGGAUAUGUGCGGCGUAUUUGAUACGGUAUCAGGGUUUAUCUGAAGGAUAUGCGCGGCAUAUUUGAUACGGGAUCAAGGUCAAUUCCACAAAAUAGAGUUGCAGUUGGACUCUACAAAAUUAUUUGGCCGCGUCACACAACAUUUGCUCCUAUAAAUACAAAGGUAGUGGCAACGGAAGAAAGACCCCUGCAAAUCAAUACAAAAUUGCCCUGCGCAAAUUCUCACAACUUGUGAUUUUUCUUUUUCCUUUUUCGCUGACACAUCUUCCGUUGGCGUCAACAGCACCGUGGAAGCAACCGGUGAUAUCUUAAGUCGGCAUAGAUAGCUCUGUCACCGUAGAAUCAAUCGGUCUCGCAGUAUCUUCCGUUAGCAUCAACAUCACUGCGGCGAGAACGGUUGAUUACCUAUCCAAGUCUCGGUCGAGAAGGGUUUCUGAACCCUUAUUGGUCGAGGUCAUCUCAUCAGCCUUCUCGGCGAAGUGAGGUGUUACACGUUAUUACGUUCGGCAUAUUGAAAGCCGAAUUUGAUAUUGAACUUCGUAAGAAUAGUAACCUUGUCUUCAGGUUCGAGAGCCCAAGAGGCCGAGACGUGUUCCUUUCUCGGCCGCAAUCGCAAGAUGCAGAAGUCAGCCGCGCACCCAACGCAACAUCAACAAAUUUACUCCUCGGUCGACGAGUUGGCACGCCCCGCAUUCACCGAAGGACGUAGUUAGCUCAUUAAUUAUUCGGCCUGCGCGCCACGUAGGCUUUGUAGUUUUUAGGGUCAACAGUCACAUUUCAGGUGUCGGCUAACACUACUUAUUUUCGGUGUCCACUUGAAUAUAUGGGUCAGGGUGUGUCAUAAUGAACGCAGGCGAGCAUGGAUUCGCAACGGGGGUUCAAAAUCAAGUAGAUCCGAAUUGAAUCUCACAAAAACCCGACUGGAUUAUCAUCGGGAAGACUGUAGGCUCUCGAGGAUGGGUGGUUUCACCAGAAAAUGGUCAAACAAGGCCGGGGACAGGGACGACGCAAAAAUGGCAUCAUUUGGUCCUAGGGUUUCAGAAUAAGAGCAGCUAGGCUCCUUGUGGCUUGCGACGCAGCUUGGCGACUCGGCUUACACGCUUCAGGUCGUGGCUCGCGCGGGAGGUUGCAGCAACCCUAAUUUUCUUCUUUCUUUCUGUUCUCACACAAUCAUUAAUUCACCACAACAACAUAUAAGCAAAAUAAUAUUAUAAUUCGAAAAGCAUAAAAUUGGGUUCAUGCACUAUGUUGAAGAUUUCAUGCAAUUAGAGCUGGAAAAAAAAUCAAAAUUGAAACCGUAUUUUAGAAGUUACUUAGAUUGUAUGAUCAAAAUUUUGAGCUGUUUUGUAGCAGAAAAUAGCCUCUAGAUUCAUAGCGCAACGUCUAGAGUGUGCUGAUAACAUUUUGUUUCAUAUUUUACUAAAAGAAAGGGAAAUGGUGUGGUGAUAGUGGUGGAGAAAAAGACUCGGAAAAAUUGGUGUAUGUUCCCUUGUGCCAAUGCCUUUAUUUAUAGUAAACAGAAAGAAGAAGCAAACUUGCUCACCAAAAACACAUAGUCUAAUAGAAAAAAAAAAUCAUCUAAAUUACAUAGAAAUCCUAAUUCAAAUCUACCAAAAUUUACCGAAUUAUACUACAUCAAUAUUAAAUGUAACAAUAUUGACUAUGAUCCUACAGUUUUAUUUGCCAGUGUAUGUCUUUUAGCUAGCUUUAUAAUAACUUAUCAAUUUGAAUUUUUUGUCCCAACAAGUAAGCUAAUAUAUAUUAAAAAAUUAGUAUGUGUACACACACAAGAGAGCCAUAUAGUCUUUGGUCUUAUUGUCUCAAAAGUCAGAAGAGAAGACCCGAAGAACGAGCACUCCUCCAUAGUCCACAUUUCUCUACGGUCAUAUUCGGCGGACAAAAUUCUAUGCUCCAACGUCUUCGCUCUCCUUUUUUUUUUUUUUUUUUUUUUUUUUUUUUUUUUUUUUUUUUUUUUUUUUUUUUUUUUUUUUUUUUUUUUUUUUUUUUUUUUUUUUUAGCAAAUGAUAUUAUUUAUAUUAAAUGAUUGAGAUAACAUGUCAAAUUUCACACGUAACUAGCUAUAAUAAUGUUAUUUAAAUUCAUCUUUGACGAGAAUUGAAACUAAGACCUUACUUAUAAGUGAAAAUUAAUAUCAUUAACUCGUAGUACUAAAUAACACUUUAAUCUUUAAAAUUUACAAUCAAACUAGAUUUUUUUUCUCCUUUCUAUAUCCCGUGUUCCAAUUUCCACAUCCACACUUACAAAGUCGUACACGAUGACAUAGCACCAUACCCAUAUAUGGCAUUUGAUGUUUCUAGUCCUCGACUAACAUGAAACGUACAGUCGAUUCUUUCCCUUAGUCCCACUAGUCACAUGUGAUUCCUAUUCUUUUAUAAACAACUUUUUUUUAUUUAUUUUUUUUCAGCCAAAGAAGUUAAUUAAAAUUUUCAAACUGAAAAAUUAUUUAAUCAAUUACAAUAGCAUAAUAUUCAAACUGGAAUUUUUUUUUUUUUAGAGAAUGAUUUUCUACUCAAGAGGUGUGGGGAUUGAACCAUGCCACAUAAGGGGUUAGCUCUUAACUAAAUAUCAAACUCAACUCGAAUAUAAUACAUCAUCGCGAUCCAUAUGAGCAAAACCUGAGACGACUCACUUGAAAAUAGAGAUAAUUAUCACUAAAUCAUAGUACUAGCUGGUCACUUUAAUACAGUACUCACACUUGUAGGCUUUGGCUACACUAGCAUCAAUUAACUCUUGAUAUAACGUAAUUUUACUUCUUAAUAUUAUUCCCAAUUGAUUAACAAAACUACUAUAACAAAAACAAAUAAUAUAACUAAAAUAUGGACUUACGAAAAAUAAAAGAAAAUGAUUUUCGUACAAUUUUCCUCACUCUACGCAUCUCUAUUUAUUUUAAUCUAUCGAUUCUCAUUUAUUUCAUUUAAUUCAAAUACUAGAAAUAAAGUGGCAUUAAGACUAAGAAGGUACAAAUCCCAUCAGCUCAUGGGCAUUAGUGGAAUUUCGCCCUUCUUUAACUGCAUUGUCCCUCCAUAUGCAAGUUAAUUUCACGCGGAUACAAACCCAAUACUUAACUAAGCAACAACAGGCCCACAUUUGACCAACAACUAAUUUAGUCGUAUUUACAUACACACCCCUGUCCCACCACCACCAAGUCAAAACGACGACGUCACCUUCGUCCUCAAAAACUCCUCCAACCUCCACUUCCUUCCAAAACACAACAAACUCAAACCUCUCCGUCUGAGAAACUCUGGAGCACCAAACAAUCAACUCGCCACUAAAAAUGGGGAGGGAGCGGGACCAUCUCUACAUCACCGUUCCCAACCUCUUCCGCUGCCCCAUCUCCAUGGACGUCAUGCGCUCCCCCGUCAGCCUCUGCACCGGCGUCACCUACGACCGCGCCAGCAUCCAGCACUGGCUCGAAUCCGGCCACGACACCUGCCCCGCCACCAUGCAGAUCCUCCAGUCCAAAGACGUCAUCCCCAACCUCACCCUCCGCCGUCUCAUCAACCUCUGGGCCCAGUCCCACGGCCCUUCCUCGCCGGCCUCCUCUCCCUCUCUCUCCUCCCAGCACCUCGCCUCCCUCGUUCAAUUUCUCCGCAAUGAGAACGAGACUGAGAAAUUCAGCCAAAAUAUCGUAAACUCAUUGUCGAAGACUGCCGAUUUCGCGAGGGUCGGCGAGGAGAACCGGAGGUUUGUGGCGAAUUUCGACGGCUUCGUCUCCGCCAUUGUGGGGAUUCUGAACAGAGAAGGCGUCGAAAUCGAAGUUCUCGAAUCGGUAAUUAAGGUUUUGGAUUCGAUUUUGCCUCAAAGCGGAGUCAACGAGCAAUUGAGCCGAUUUAUUGCGAAGAGCAACGGCAAUUACCUCGCUUCAAUUCGAUUGGUACUGCAGAAAGGAAGCCUGAGCUCGAAGAUCGAAUCCGUCAAGGUUUUGGAUUCGAUCGCGCUCGACGCCGAGUCGAAACGAUUAAUCGCGGAGAAGGAAGGCUUAUUGUCCGUAUUCAACGAUCUGUUGAGCUUGGAAACGUGUCAGGACCUAUACGGCGCCGUUUUCUCAUGCUUAGCAUCAUUGUCCGUGAAUCGGUCGAUUAAAGCCGAGCUCGUCCGGUUCGGACUAGUCCGAGUUGUAACGUCAACGCUGCUAAAGCCGGACACUAGCACUACCCUUGCGGAGAAGUGUUUGAAGCUGUUAUCCACCAUUGCCACGUGCGCCGAGGGCCGGUCGGCGAUCAGCGGGGAGGAGAAGUGCGCGGAGGCGGUGGCGGAGAGGCUGAUGAAGGUGUCGAGGGGGGCGACGGAGGACGGCGUGGCGGUGCUGUGGAGCGUGUGCUGCAUGUUGGGGGACAAGAGGGCGAGGGAGAGCGUGGCGGGAGGAAAUGUGGUGGCGAAGGUGUUGUUGGUGAUGCAGAGUGGGUAUGGAGAGGGGCAUUUUGUGAGGAGGAUGUGUGGGGAUUUGGUCAAAGUUUUGAGUGUUGGGUUAGGGUUGGGGUUGAGGUAUGACACCAAGACUAUACAUAUCAUGCCUUGUUAGAAAUUGUUCAUGAUGAUAAUCUUGCUCAUUUAUUUUUUUUUUGGAAAUUGUGAAUUUGGAUAAAAAAUUUUAUAGAAACAAAAAGGAAAAUUCUUUUUAGUUUUGUAGUCAUUGAUCAUCAUUAUGUGAUUGAUGUUGUAUGAUUAGUAGAGAUAUUUUUGUGUGCUGUGAACAUGACCCGGUAUAUUAAGAAUAGUAUUACAAUUCGUUGGAAACUUUAAAAAAAAAAUUCCAAGAAAUUGUAUGUGCUGUGUUUCCGGAAAAAUUUCUUGGGUUUGUGGGGAUGUGAAUAUGCAAAAUUAUGUUGAUAAGAUGGCUUAAGUGAUUAAAAGAAUGAAGAAAUAAACAACUUUUUGUUAAUCUCAUGUUAAUCUUCUUUUUUGAUUUGUUGUUUCUUUUAUUGUUAAUUCAGAAAAGUUUCAUGAUGAAUUUGUUUGGACUUUGAAAAAGGAUUAGGGACAAGAAUCCAAUCCAUCGUAAAAGGGGCAAGUUUUGAUAUGAUUUGCAAGUUAUAACUUGUUAAGUAAGAGAACGUAAGGAGAUCUAUUGUAUACUUGGGUAAAUUUAAUUGGUCUUAAGUUCAAAUUUAUUUCUAAGUAAUUUUGGAGUAAUUGUGAUCAAAUAGUUGUAUGCUUUUUUUUAGAGUGGACUUACAAGUCACAGUUGUAUUGCCUCAACUACGUUUUAUACCAAUAAUACAAUACCAUGCAGAGAAAUUUACACAUAAUGUUGUAUAUUUGGCAUGAGACUAUCUUAGUGAAAAUGUAUCCAUGCCAUAGAAGUCGUCCUCUCUUUUGUGGGUGAGGUAGUUCUGGGCAAUGAACCUGUAUGAAAAAAUAUGAGUUGUUGAGCUAUGCACGAGUGUCAAACGUAACAUGGCUUAUUUUCGUAUCCCUGGUAAACAAACUACAAAAUCGUUGCUCUUAGAACAGUAUGUGUUUAAUUUCAAAAACGAGACAAAAAUGAUUGUAAAGAAAAAACACUAAAUAAGGAGACAAAUUCAGGCUAGUUUGCGUUCGAAUUUUACAGGGUAAGGCAACAACUUGGCUGUAGUAGGCAUCUGGUUUGCAAAAAUCCAGCAGAAAACAAUUGUAUGGACAACAAAUUGCGAUGCUCCGAUGCGACUCUCUAACAAUGUAAAGCUGUUUUGAAGUGGUGAAGGAACAAGGGUCAUGGCGCCAGAUAACCGAGUUGUAUCAGCAACCAUUUUUAUGAGCCUGCUGCCUCGGCUUCCAUGCUCGAUUCUGGUAACUUUGUCAUCUACAACUCGGACUCAAAUAUCAUUUGGCAGAGUUUUGAUACUCCAACCGAUACCAUUGUAUCUGGCCAGCGAUUGCUGGCUAGAAAGAAGCUUGUCUCCAGCAUCUCCGACACAAAUCAUGCAAGCGGAAGAUUUAGACCUUCAAUGUAGCGUGAUGGGAACCUAGAGAUGUACCUGGAGUGUCCAAUUAUAUUACAACCUGAUUGAUCGGUAUGCUUACUCAAAUAGUGGGACGUACAGGGCUGGAGACAAUGAGUCACUCAACGUUGAUCACAAUGGACAGUUAUAUCUCCUCAGUUACAAUAUAAGGAACGCUACGAAUCAGAAAGAGCUGUUUGACACACACACGUAUGUACCACAUGAUGAUUGACUUUGAUUGUAUUACUCCAGUUAUACUUCCAUACUAUUUAUAUUUAAUUUUAAAUUUUAAAUGAUUUUUAACCGCACGAUAUACAUGAACGGACAUAAUUAUGGGAUCCUCCAAAUUCCUGAGAAAAGGACGUCGAACAAGAAUCUUUGGUUGCUCCAUUGUCUCAUUUGACGGACUGAAAUAACGGAGCUAACAAACUGUAAGUACAAAGGACGAAAGUGAAAAGAAAAAGGCUAAAGGGAGGUAAGUGAUAAUUCGAUUUAAACUAACGGGACCAUGAGUGCAAUCUGACUCGCUCCUUAACUUGGAAAAGCCAACCAGGGCGUUCCAAGUGUGAUGAUGAACACGUGCCGAAACACCAUUGGAUUCUGGAGGGGAACCAGUGAGGCCUCCCGCAGCAAAGCCACACAAAAUGAUACACAAGCGAUCUGAGUCGUCGGCGAGGAUCCUUUUCCGUGAAAAAUCGAUCGAAGAAGCAAAGGCAGGUCACUGAAUAAAGAAAUAAAAACACAGAAGCUGAAGCUGUUGCGGGAAAAAGCUUGACCAAAUCAGGGUUCCCGAAUUCGAAUCGCCAACGAGGUUAACCAGAUUAGGGUUUUAACAAAAUUUUUAAGUUACUUUUACCAUGUUGUAAUUGCUUAAUUUUUUUUGCUGAAAUUCAGAAAUUUGCAGGAAAACUGAAAUGGGGGACGGCCUAUGGAACCGCCAGCAGCAGCAGCAGCAGCAGCAUCAACUGGGUCCCUCUGGCGGCGUGCAUAAACGACCUCGUUCCGACUACGGUAACUCCUCUGUGGCCAUUUCUCAUAGUUUUUUUCUUUAAUUAGAUGAAAUUGCGAUUGCAUUCGUUUGCAUUAUAGAUUUAGUUGUCAAACCAUUUAAUUUCUGACUUCUUGUUUAUAAUUCGAGCGAUAUUAUAAUCUAAUCGAAACUAUGGGGAGAGGGGGAUUCGAACUUGGGUGCAGAUGGGGAGCACACUGCUCGAGCCAACUUAGCUAGGCCAAAGUCUGCUUCUUCGUGUUAUAAGUGUUUUUACUUUAGUGGUUCUUGAUGGGUUUCGGGUUUCAAUGUAAAUUAUGUUUCAAAGUGGUGAAAUUUAUGUGAAGGGUCAAGGGUAUCUAGACAAAGGAUUCCAGUUCAGUUGUCUGAUGACUCUGCUUGUAUGUAUCUCCCCUUACUCUAGUAGAUAUGCAGAUUCUGGUUUUGUAGCUAGGUGUCUCUUUUCUUUUCUUUUAUAAAAAUUACAAUAAAUGUUUUGCUUCCAUAGUUCCAUGUGUACUCUUACAUCUUCGGGGUCUUCUUGAAGCAUAUAAUAUAGUCUUAGCCUAUCUGUUCCACUUACUACAAUUGCGAUCAACACUCAUACUCGUAUGAUUCCAUAUAAUAAUGUAUCUUCCACGAAAGCUUUACUAAGCAUAUGAUUUCUGUUAUUAUUUUCUUUGUAACCAGAUCACAGUUUUUGGCCUUCAUGUUUCCUUCGGUCCAUUGUUAAUGAUAUUAUUUACUGGAUUUCAUAUUUAGAGCAACUUUUGAAUGAUUUCCACAUUAGCGGUAGUUUUAGAAGUUACUGGUUGUUAUUAAGUUAUGUUCAAGGGGGGAAAACCUUGUUCGGUGUGUUUGCUAAGACCUGUGUGAAAAUGGAAACUACUACAAAAUCAUUCAGGUUUCCAAUUACAUUGCAAGGUACUUAAGAAUGGAUCUUUUCCUGAACCCAACCAAACCCCAAACCUCUGAAAUUAUCAAGUAGAUUCUUUCCUUUUAGUGCGGUCAGUCUUCCAAUCUAAUACUAUUCUUCAAUAAUUAUGGUAAUAAGAUCCUCCAUACAUAUUUAUAAUGCAAUUAUGUUUAUAUACAAAUUGAUGCAUAUUAUUGGUAUACAUUUUGAUAUAACCAAAUUCCCCUUUUUUUUCAUUUAGUUAUUUGUUUGCUGAGUUGUUCUUGUUAUAACUUCUUAGUCACUGAUCAAAAGCCUAGACUUGUAUAUUGUAUGUAGAUGUUUUGAUUGGUAUGUUUUCUUUGUACUUUUGAACAUUGGUGGCAGUUUUACUUGUUCAAAUACCACCUAGUUGUUAGUAGUGAUAUUGUUCAUUCCGCACCUUGGGUCUAACUCUGCACAUUAAAGAGUAGGUUUUUACCUUGUUAAUUGACGGGGCAUACUCUACUUCCACCUCAUGCUUCUCAAUUGGUUUCUUGAUUUAAGUUCUUCCAUCUGCUUUUUUAUUUUUUAUGCCUUUUCUCUUGUUCUAUAGUUGUAAUAUAUACAGCUGAAUUAGGGUCUAUUUGUUAAUGUUUUCUCAAUGUUGUGCCUUUAAAUAUAGGUAAAUUAUGCGCUUGGUGCAUUAAGUUUGUUAAACAUGGGAAACAUAUUCUGUAAAAUGAUCUCAACUUUUGUUCUUCAAGUUAGGAAACAACCAUUCCACUAUUUAUGUUGUUUUCAGGGGGAUUGUGAAACAUGGUGAGUAGUUAGAAACAAAAAAAGGAACCUUUCAACUGGAAUAAAUGUUUCUGUCAUCCUCAGAGGCUCUGUUGUUGGUCCUCACUUUUCACGUAUAUCUGCUCUCAAAAACCUAUACCAAAAAACCAAACACCCUAUCGCCUCUCUCUUCCUUUCUUUCUCCAUCUCUCUUUGCCUCCUCAUCUCUCCCACUUUCUCUCUACACCCUCAAAACCUGCACUCCAGCCCCACUCCGAACGCCUGACCCAUUCAUCGAAACCAAUAUGUGGAACCUCUUCUCAACCUCCCCCGCCCCCGCCCCCGCAAUGUUGUCGUCUCGUCUCUGAUUUGAAAACAUUUGGUUGUGGGUUGUUUUCAAUAUAAUAAGUUGGACGUGAAUAAUUGUUAGUGAUAAAUUUGGAUGGUAGAGUUUGGUAUUAUUUCAAUUUAAACUGGAGUGGUCAAGAAUUUGGUAGAACUUGUAAAAUGGAGAAACUGAAGAUGGUGAAUCAGACUUGGUUUCAGUUUAAACGGGGAUAGUUAUACCGUACUUGUAUGGGAUAUAGAGCGAUGUUGGAUGCAGCUUUAUUUUAUUGUAUCGGUUUUGUUUUGGUGUCGGAAUGGUUAUACUGUACUUGUAUCUGUUUCUUUAUCUCGUUUUGGUGUUGCUUUAUUUUUUUAUUGCUUUUAAAUCUGAAAUGGUUAUACUGCACGUGUAUUGGAUAUAGGUCUGAUGUUGGAUGUUUAUUGAUAUGAAUGUUCCAUUUAAUAGGGCUCUAACUCACAAUGGUUUUGGUUAGCUUUGAUGCGGGCAUGGGAUAAAUCAAUUUCACUAUUGUGCCGUUUAAAAGGGCUCUUAACUCACAAUGUUUUAAUAUAUUUGUUUGGUUCAUUGAUACGUCUUGUCAAAAUGUGUUUACAUUAGUUACGUGUUUGAACUUUGAUUAUAAUAUUUAGUUGAAAAUAGUUUUUCAAAAUAUUGCUGCCUAAUACAAAUUCAGUAAUUUAAUUUUUUUCUCAUACUAGCACUGAACACAUUUUCACUGUUUUUGUUUUUAGAAACAUUUUUUCAAACUAUUCUACCAGAUGCAUUAUCUAAUGUUAAAUUACAAGAAUGUUAUAUCAUUUUCAUUUUCUGAAAGGUUUUUAUGCAGAUGGUUUUGUAAAACAUCACCUGAUAGGCUCUUACUUUUCUGUAUUGUCAACCUGUCUUCAGGUCAAGAGAUGCAUGGUUAUUUUGCGCGAGAGGAUGAUCUUGGUGGUCCUAGGACUGUAAAGGAUAACAGAUCAAUCGGAUCAGCAUAUGACCGUUAUCUUCAGAAUGCGGUGACUUUCUUAAGCAUUUGAAACUAUGCCUAUUAUUAUUUGUGUUACAUCUCUCUGUUUCUGUACUAAAACAUUUGUCCUACUUGCUUCUAAAGGAAAUGGCUUCGUACACUUCUGGAGAAGCGAGUACUUUUGGUGGAGCUGGAAUGGGAAGGGCUGUUGGUGGUGGAAUGACAGGUCCUCCAAUGGCUGAUCAUUCUAUGAGGGGCCGUCCUGGAGCUAUGUCUUCUGAUGUACUAACAAAUGGUCGAAAUAUGAAUCUUGCUAAUCAGCUCCCAGUUGAUUCAAUGCCUAGGCCUGGACGUGAAACAGUUCCUUUACCUCUGGAUGCAUCCAGCACUUUAUAUGUUGAAGGACUUCCUCCUGACAGCACAAGGAGGGAAGUAGCUCGUAUCCUUUAUGAUGCUUAAGAAUUAUUGCAUAUUGCUUUCCAAUCUUAUUGUUUAACUCAAUAGUUUUUCCAUCGCUCCUCCUUUACAUAACUCUUAAGAUAUCUUUCGUCCUUUUGUGGGAUACAAAGCAGUGAGGCUUGUGAGCAAAGAGUCCAAACACGUAUGUGGGGGUGGAUUAUUGUAAACAAUUACUUUUCUUAGUCAUUCUGUUUUUCUUGAUCACUCUGACUUGAGAUUGUCGUUGUGCUACUUGGUUCGACUCUUGGGAAGUUUAUAAUCUUUCUUCACACUAAUAUUCCGGUUUGUCCAUAAUGCAGCGUGGCGGGGAUCCUCUUAUUCUUUGUUUUGUGGAUUUUGAAAAUCCAGCCUGUGCAGCAACUGCUCUGAGUGCCUUGCAAGGUGAUUGCUUUUUAUUGUCAUCAACCUUGGUGACUAUCAGUGUCAAAGAAAGCUUAAUUCUUUCUUUCUGUUUUUAUUUGUUUCCUUUAUAGCUUCACAAGUGUUAUUUUCUAUCAUACCUUAUUCAAUCAUGUAAAGGGUAAAUUUAUGUUAAAAUUCUUCCAUGCAUAGUAGGUGUAAAGAGGUUGAGGCAGUUCAUAAAAAUGUUAUAGAUGGCUUCUUGUGAUUUAAUAUUGGAGUUCAUAAUAUCUCUACACUACAUAUCGUGUAGAACUAGCUGGAUUGCUCAUUAUUUUCCCAUGUUUGUUGUUUUUGAAAAGCUGGAAGAUGCUGACAUUUGUGUUGCUGGAAGAUGCUGACAUUCAUGUAAUUCCAUGCAUAGUGUUUUAGUAUGUGUAAAGACGUUGAGGCAGUUGAAAAAAAAAAUGUUAUAGAUGGUUUCUUGUGAUUUAAGAUUGAAGUCCAUAAUAUCUCUACACUCCCGAUUGUGUAGAACUAGUAUUGCUCAUUAUAUUUUCCCGUGCUCGCGGUUUUUGAAACGCUGGAAGAUGCUUACAUUUGUGUUGCGUUUGCAGGUUAUGAAAUGGAUGAACAUGCUCCUGAUUCUAAUUACUUGCGGCUGCAGUUUUCUCGGUUCCCUGGUCCUAGGUCUGGACCUGGCCGUAACAAGAGGUGAUAGGCAUUAGGUGAUGAGAAAUAUCUGUUUUUGAUGUAAUCAAGAUUGCAUUUGCUUUUAAUACAUUCCAUAUAUAUAUAUAUAUAUAUAUAUAUAUAUGUAUUGCUCAGGCUUGGGCACACACCAACUGUAAGCACUUCUGAUGCACAUUGUUGUUUCGAGGUAGUGAAUCAGAAACAGUUUUAUAGUUGUGCAAUUAAACAGAGAUCUGAUUUUGCACGUCCAUGGUCUACAAAAUUUGUAAGUGUUUUUAGAAGUGGCAAGUUUCUCAGGCACAAACCCUUUAAAAACUAGUGUGUUUUUUUAGCAUGGAUUUGCAGGCUUCUGUUACAUAUAUCAUAUGGUAAGUGAUUUCCGCUCGCUUUUUCUCCUUGUACAACUCCUUUUUUCCUAGUUUAAGGGUUGGAUAAAUCAAAUCAAAGGAGAAUAAGUGGAAAGAAACAUAAGGUGAAUGCAGGAGGAGAAAAUGGGAACGUGCCGAUGACUACCGAUCAAACUCGUCUUUUCUUGUAACUUCCAACUGCAUGGAGAAAAGCAAGACACUGCGUGAUGAGAAUGGGCAUUGCAUGGUGUCAUGUCUUGUGGUGUUAGAAAUUUGAUCCGAGUCCUUCCCAUUUGGACUACAGUUAAGGACAGGCUCUACUAUGUCCUCCCAAUGCUAAGCACUAGGUAGUGGGCUGCCGACUAGUCUAUGUGCCACUGUACAUAUCACAUGGGCUUUCAACCCAUAAUCCUAUCCUGCUAGAGCUUCCCCCUACCCUUCUUGAAAUUAGUAUACCGUCAGGUAUGUUGCUGUCUCUCAUAUCACGUGACUAAUGAUUCGUUUGGAAUUACUUCUUUCAGAAACACUUAUACUACAAGUGUUUUUAUUGUAGACACGUUAAAUCUUUACAAACAAUCCAAGUGUUCAUUGAAAAAUAUUUGAAAGUGCUUCUUGAAAAAGCAUUUGGCAAGUGCUCCUCUAAAGAUAGUUUAUACGAGUCAAAAGAAUUUCUAAUAUUUUAUCUUUAUGCCAAUCGCAACAGAACACAUUUAGCUUUUCCAGAAUCAAUCCUAAACUAGUUCUAAGCAAAGAAAGGGCAAUAUAACAUAAGGACAACGAAGAAUCUCUCUAACAUUAAAGGUUAUGUUUGUUCGGUCACUAGACUCAAACAAAAGAGAAAAGUAGAAGUGGGCAAUAAAUUGGUUUUCGAUUACCAUCAAAUUGGCACAACAUUCGGCAUUGUUUCGCAAAAGACUGCUUUUUUUUCUUAGCAUUAGUUUUACACACACUCUAGUGUGUGGUAAAAACAAGCUAGGGUUUGGUUGGAGAACAAGUCUGAGCAGUUACAUGCCAUGUGGGCUGGAGGGUUUCGUUUGGUGCCAUUACUCUUUUUUCUUGUUCUAUCAUCCUUGUCGAACUGGAAGAGAAAAAGGAGGGGAAAAGGGAGUUUAGGGCAAAAAGGAUACUGAGUUUAUAAACCAGGAAAUGUCUAAGCAAUUUGUUUGUGCCAACGUGACUGUUAUCUAAAUAUAGCGUACUUGUGGUAUAAAAGAAAAAGGCAAAAAGGGUAACUGUAAAUAGUUGUUGUACUUAAGUGUAAAUUGUCCCACAACUUGUCCAGGGACCAGUGCAUAUAAGUUGUAGCUGCAAGUGCAAGGAGCAACCUCUGGAUUAGAUAGACGGAUGGACUUGGUUUGGUAUGAUUCCAAGUCGUCGUUGAUGUUUCUUCUUCUUUGUGGCCCAGCCACCCAGGACUAUAGUCCUUAUUUGGUAGGUAUUUAUUGCAAGGCUAACUAUAGGAUUGGAGAUAGACAAAGGGAGAUGGGACAUGGAGAAUGGUUUGCCAAGUUUGUUUAGAAUGGAUCGGGAUCAAUGCCCGUUGGAUCCCUAGUAAUUGAAUAUUAGUUAAAGAUUCAACGUCUAUGAAUCUCGGUCUAUGUUAUGAACUGUUUUUACAAUUUUCGUUCAUUGUGUAUCACGUAAUAUGCAUAAUGUUAGACAAUCCACUUGUUUUAUUUGAGACAACUGUAUUUGAUGCACUUCCUAAUUUCUGUUUUCUGACUUGCUUCAAUCUACAUUCUCUUGAUAUUUUUUUUUCCAUUUUACUCGGUUUUAUGAUAGUGAGAACAUUCAACAUGGCCUCUUCUUCCUCAAGUUGCUUCUUUGUGAUACGUAUAUCUGUUUUUGUACUAAAACAUGUAUCCUACUUGCUUUUAAAGGAAAUGCCUUCGUACACUUUUGGAGAAGCGAGUACUUUUGGUGGAGCUGGAAUGGGAAAGGCUGUUGGUGGUGAAAUGACAGGUCCUCCAAUGGCAUGAUCAUUCUAUGAGGGCCAGUCCUGGAGCUAUGUCUUCUGAUCUAUUAACAUAUGGUCGAAAUAUGAAUCUUAUUAAUCAGCUCCCAGUUGAUGCAAUGCCUAGGCGUGGACGUGAAACAGUUCCUUUACCUCUGGAUGCAUCCAGCACUUUAUAUGUUGAAGGACUUCCUCCUGACAGCACAAUGAGGGAAGUAGCUCGUAUCCUUUAUGAUCCUUCUAUGAUGCCUAAGAAUUAUUGCAUAUUGCUUUCCAAUCUUAUUGUUUUACUCAAUAAUUUUUCAAUCGCUCAUCCUUUACAUUACUCUUUAAGAUAUCUUUCGUCAUUUUGUGGGAUACAAAGCAGUGAGGCUUGUGAACGAAGAGUCAGGUUUGUCCAUAAUGCAGCGUGGCGGGGAUCCUCUUAUUCUUUGUUUUGUGGAUUUUGAAAAUCCAACCCAUGCAGCAACUGCUCUGAGUGCCUUGCAAGGUCAUUGCCUUUUUCUUUUCAUCAACCUUGGUGACUAUCAGUGUCAAAGAAAGCUUAAUUCUUCGUUCUGUUUUUAUUUGUCUCUUUAAAGGUUUGUAAAUUUUUUUUCUAUCGACCUUAUUCAACCAUGUAAAUGGAAAAUUUAUGUUAAAAUUCUUCCAUGCAUAGUAGGUACAAAGUGGUUGAGAUAGUUCACAAAAAUGUUAUGGAUGGCUUCUUGUGAUUUAAUAUUGGAGUCCAUAAUAUCUCUACACUCCAGAUCGCGUAGAACUAACUAGAUUGCUCAUUAUUUUCCCGAGCUUGUUGUUUUUGAAACGCUGGACGAUGCUGACAUUUGUGUUGCGUUCGCAGGUUAUGAAAUGGAUGAACAGGCUCCUGAUUCUAAUUACUUGCGGCUGCAGUUUUAUCAGUUCCCGGAUCCCAGGUCAAGACCUGGCCGUAACAAGGGGUGAUAGGCAUUAGGUGAUGAGAAACAUCCGUGUUGAUGUAAUCAAGAUUGCAUUUGCUCUUAUACAUUAUAUAUAUUGCUCAGGCUUGGGCACACACUAAUUGUAAGCACUUCUGAUGCACAUUGUUGUUCUAGGUAGUGAAAUCAGAAACAGUUUUAUAGUUGUGUUGAACGAUCUGAUUUUGCACGUCCAUGGUCUACAAUUUACUCAAGGAAUGUUUUAAUUCUGAAUUGAGAUUGUACUGUGCAUAGACUACCGCAAAAUUAGUACAGAGAUAGUUUCCCUAUAGAUUGUUUUCAUAUACUAGAGGACUUCCAUGGCCAGGGUAUCUUGCCACCAUAUUGUCCCCGUACAUUUUCCCUCCAUAUUAGUUAUAUAUUUAUCUGGACAUUCUAACCUAAUGAAGUCCUACAAUCAUCAUAACUCAUUUUACUUAGCUCAUGCUCCUUACAAUAUUUGAUGAACUCACAUAAGAAACUCAUAGAAAUUUGUUCCCAGUCAUUACCUUUGGACUGCAGUUGAAGCUUAUGAUACAUCCUCCCAAUGCUAAGCACUAGCUAGUGGGUUGUCGACUAAUCUAUGCCACCGUACACAUCGCAGGGGCUUUGAACUCUGUCUCAAUUAUUGUAAAGACGUUAGCCUCUUCAAUGAAAGAACCCAUAGUCCUAUGCUGCUAGAGCUCCCCCCACCCUUCUUGGAAUUAAUAUAGUGUUAGGACAUAUCGCUCUAUUUCUCACAUCACGUGACUAAUGAUUUCUUUGAAGUUACUUCUUUAGGAAACACUUAUACUACAAGUGCUUUUAUUAUAUAGAAUCUUUAUAAGCAAUCCAAGUGUUCAUUGAAAACGUAUUUGAAAGUGCUUCUUGAAAAAGCAUUUGGCAAGUGCUUCUUGAAAAAGCAUUUGGCAAGUGCUUCUAUAAAAGAGCUUAUUGGGUCAAAAGAAUUUCUAAGUUUUUUUUUCUGCCAAGCACAACAGAAUACACAUUUUAGCUUUUUCCAGAACCAAUCCCAGACAAGUUCUAAGCAAAGAAAGGGCGAUACAGCCUGAAGACAACGGAGAAUUUCCCUGACGUUAAAGGUUUUGUUUGUUCGGUCACUAAACCCAAAAAAAUAGAAAACUUGAAGUGGGCAAUGAAUUGGUUUUCGAUUUCCAUUAAAUUGGCACAACAUUCGGCAUUGUUAUGCAAAAAUAUACUUUUUUCUUAUCAUUAGUUUUACACACACUCUAGUCUGUGGUAUAAAAUGAGCUAGGGUUUGGUUGGAGAACAAGUCUACGUGGUAUCAUCACUUACAUUACAUGCCAUGUGGGCUGGAGGGUUUCAUUUGGUGCCAUUACUCCUUUUUCUGUUCUAUAAUCAUUUUGGAACUGGAAGAGAAAGUGGAGGGGAAAAGGUAGUUUAGGGCAAAAAUUUUCCAAUCAAUUUUUUGGCAGUGUGACUGUUUUCGAAAUAUAGAGUAGUUGUGGCAAAAAAGAAAAAGGAAAGGGGUAAUUGUACAUACACAUUGUUCCAAAGGGUCAGUUGUCCCACAACUUGUCAAGGGACCAGAGCAUUAAGUUGUAGCUGCAAGUGCAAGGAGAAAGUUGUGGAUUAGAUAGACCAAUGGAUUUGGUUUGGUUUAAUUCCAAGUCAUCGUCGUUUCUUCUUCUAUGUGGCCCAGCCGCCCAGGACUUUAGUCCUUAUUUGGCAGGUACUUAUUACAAGGUUAGAUAAAGGGAGAUGAUACAUGGAGAACGGUUUGCCAAGUUUGUUAGAGUGGAUCCGGAUCCAUGAGUGUUGGAUCUCUAGUAAUUGAAUCUUUAGUUAAAGAUUCAAUGUCUCAACGAUCUAUGCUAUACAUUUGUCUUUACGAAUUUUCAUUCAUUGUGUAUUACAUAAUAUUCUUGACCCUCUUAUAUGUGACUUCGGCCGACUUCUAUCACCCGAUAUCGUUGUGUAAUAACUUGAUGAGAUAGCCAAUGCUUAGGUCAUCUUCAAUGGAGAUGGCUAAAGGUCAAAAAGCUAAAAAAUAGUAUGAUUUGUUCAAAAACUCAUCUCCAACCAAUGUCAGAGCUAUAAUUAUAUGGAGCCCACCAUGCCAUUAUUUGGCUAGUGCCCCUUUCUUAGCCCCUUUUUGGGGCCUAGCUCCUCGAUUAUGCCAUCUGCAAUGAAGAGGGCUAAAUGUCUAAAAGCCAAAAAAUGACAUGAUUUACCCAAAAACUCAUCUCCAACCAAUAGCUAGGUUAUAAUUCUAUGGAUUCAACAGUUAGAUUUGGAAACAUCCAAUGUUAGUUUAAUUAAAUUAAAGUAUAAACUUAAAACUAAUAAAUUAUUAGGGAGCCUAUGUUUUAGCCCUUUCGGUUGGAGAUGGUAUAUGAGUAUGGCCGACACUAUUCAUUUAAAAAUAAUUUUUUUGUUGGGUUAUAAUUUUGGAUGAGGCUAUGUCUAGCCCUUUUGGUUGGAGAUGACCUUACAAUGAUUAAUUCAAAUUCAAUGGUUAAAUUUGAAAAUAUCCAACAAAACAUCCAACAGUAGUUUAAUUAAAUUAAUCAAUAAUUUUAAGUAUAAACUCAGAACUAAUAAAUUAUUGAGGGAGUUAUGUUUAGCCUUUUCGGUUGGAAAUGAUAUAUGAGUAUGGCCUAAUACUGUUUAUUAAAAAAAAAAUCUUUAGUUAUCUCUGCUAAUCAAUAAAACACUCAUUGUCAACCAAAAUCCUAUGAAAUUACCAGUUUAACCUUCUAAUUAAAACAAAACAUGAAUAAGAAAUAUGGGGCGGAAAUUUAAUUUUACACAAACAAAAUUUGUUGUUUUUUUUUUUCAAAACUUCAUCUAUAUAUAAUUCUAACAUAUCUCUAAUUAUAAAAUAAAUAAAAAAUAAAAAUAAAAACUUCCUACUCCCACAUUCUCUAUCACUCCCUUCCUCUCUUCUUUUAUUUUAAAACAAAAAAAAAAAUUUCACAUACUUUAUAUAUGCCCAUAUGCUAGUAAUUAUAAACGAAACUAUAUUUAACUAUUUCGUUGAAAAUGACCGUACGAGUAUGUAAAUUUUGAAAUGUGAGUUGUCGUUCACUACGCAAGCAAAGAUCGAAAGCCUUCAUGUACCGAGGGGUCCCACUCCUUGAAUCAGAAUAAAAGUGCUUUGAAAAAGUCCCUUUAAUUAUGUCCAAGUUUGGAUAAAAUUUGUCCAUGCAUGGCAUGCACUCACUGACUGAUCUCGUCGUCCUGAAGGGUAAGAGAGGUAAAUUCCAGAAUAACCCACGAGGCACUGUAUGAAGCCUGUCAAUUACAUCAACUCAUCAAGCUUUCAAUCUUUUCAUGGCAUGCCUAACUUCUGUGAAAUAUGCUCAACAUUUAACAUUUUGUAAACCAAAAAGAGAGUAAGAGAGAGAUGAUUGAAGUAAUAAAGUAAAAGCGAAAUGCAUGCAUUGAUAAAAGGAAAUUUUAACAAAAAAAAUUUCGGUACUGUUUACUUUAACAAAAAAUUAUAUUUUUACAUUAAAAAGUCAAUUCUAAUACUAUUCAUUUUACCCUUUAUUUGUUCUUUAUUGUUAAAAAUCAAAUUUUUCAAUCCAUUUUUAUUAGUUUUCCUUUGAUAAAAGGAGAAAGAUGCAUGGAGAACUGGUUUUUUAUUUUAUUAUUAUUUUUUUUACAAACAAUAAUAUUAGAGUGGAUUAAGUUAUUAGCUGUUAGCGAGAAGAGGAUCAAUAAUAAUCAAACUAGCACCCGGAUGUAUAAGCAUAAUUGUUUUCUAAAAUUGCAAUAAAACGUCACUUUCCAUAUAUAUAUAUAUAAAAAAAAAAAACUUAUUGUUCCUUGUAUGAUGGAUUGCAAUCUCAAUAUCGUUCUUAAUGGAACGGCCACAAUUAGUUGUUCAGGACAUAAACAAUAUGUAUUGUCUUUAUAUUUAGGAAAUUGGCUCUGUUAGCCUUAUUACAAACCCAACAAUUAAAAAUACUCCCAAAUUAUAAUCUCUAUUAGCCCUCUUUUCCUUAAAUACCACUAACUUGAAAGAUGAACUGUUAUUCUAUGUCUCGACGUUGGAUCUCGAUGGCAUCCAAAAGGGCCUCUCAACUCCCUUCCGACUGUAUCUCGACUGAAUCACGACGGCAUCUCAACGGCACAGAACUGAAUUACCCUUAUAUUUAUGAGUUGAUCAGACACUCCAAUUAAAUAAAAAUAACUAUAAUUAUGUCAAAAUUAUUUAGUCAGUCUCACGUAUAUAUAAUUAAUUCAUCAAACACAUAAACAAAAAAGUUCUUGUAUGUAUGCUAUACUUUGAUUUGUCUCAACAAGAAAUGACUCAGUCAUCUUUUUAUCUAUGUCCAUUGAGUUUAUGGAGGGCAACAUAUUGAGAUCUCAAAAAUCUUAUUCUCAUACAACACACUUUUUUUUUUGAACAAACGAUAUUAUCUACACUAAGGGAAAAUGGGUGGCCUAAACCUCACAAUGGGCUAGCAAUAAUGUGGUUCAAAUUCACAUUUGGCGAGAAUCAAACCUAAGACCUCUCACUGACAAGUGAAGAAGAAUAUCACUAGACCGUAGUCCUAAAAAAAAUAUAGAUCUUAUAGUCUUGCAGUGUUUUAGAUUAGCUAAAACGUUGGUAUCCAUAUUAACUUACCAAAAAAAAUAUGUUGAAUUUGCUACACCUGGAAUUUGUAGCAGAUUUGUCAUUUUAUAAAGGGGUUUUUAACUCAUUUAAAAAAAAAGAAGGGGUUUUUAACUUUAAUUCUUAAAAAAAAUUGAAAUUUAAUAAAAAUCGGAUGUUAGAUUACAUAUUAAUUAUUGUCCUUUAAUGUGUUAUUAACUCAAAUUAAUUAAUGUGUAUUUUAUUCAAUAUCUCACAUUAAAUAUUUGAAUUUAUGAAAAUGAAAAUUAUAAUAAAAUAUAAUUAAUAUAUCAAAAUUAGAAAGAAAAAGAGAAAUAAUUAAAACAUCAAAAUAUAAUUAAUAAAUGAAGUAAUUAACAUAUCAAGAGACUAAAAUUAGAUUUUAAUUUUACUCAUGUUUUUAAUUUAAAGUUAUUUUUAUCAAAAAUUAAAAUGAAGUUUCCUAUUUUGUAAAUUACAACGAUGAAAAAUGACGCGUUGCACGUAAGAAACAACAUCUAUAUUUUCUCUUUUGUUUAAUAUGCCAUCAAACAUAUCCAUCACAUUUUAAAUUUUGUGGAAGUCCCUCUCUCACAUUGAUAAAGUCUGGUUUGUGUUGGACAGCUGUCCAACAGACAACCCAAAAAUCUUCCAAAAACCAACAAACAUUUCUGACCAGUCAUGCAUACGUAUGCAUGGACCCAAUGGCAUAUAAUCAAAAAUUUUAAAUAAUGGGAUCGUAAUGUCAACUUAAAAAAAAGUUUCAUUAAGCUAUUUCAUCGAACAUUUAGUAAGCAAUUGUCAAUUCUUGUCAACAAUGCCAAAAGUUUAUGUUAAAAUAUAUCAACUACGAUAAUUUGUAGAGGCUUGUCGAGAGUGAUGUAGGAUACUACGAAGUAAUAUUGAGAACUCUUAAAGCUUUUCAACUAAAGUAUUUUAUAUAAAAAGAGAGAAAAGAAAAACAAAUAUGAUAGAAGAAAAUAGAAGAAGUAAGAAGAUGAGGUUGUAAGUUAGUUUGCUUUAGCUAUUUAUAAUGGUCAAAUAAAAUAUACAAACAAAUAUACAUGAGAUUUUUAAAGUUGUUGAGAUCAAGGAUAAUCAAUGAUCCCAUUCUAGUUUUGCCAUUGCAUGGGCCGGAUAGGGAUAUGGCUAAAAUAUAAUUCUAUUAAUUGCGUUUUGGGACUUUGUCUAACAACUUGGCUCUCUCUUGACUUGGAUGCCAUGGAUGGCUCAUGCAGUUUACUAAAACUAGUAAUGUACAAUUUUCAGAGACUAUUAAUUAUCAUCUAUCAGGAAAAUUUGAUUUCCAUGCUUGCCCUUUCACGUCGGUGACUUGGAGAUAAUAUUGUUUCUUGUCCGGAGAUGAAAUAAAAUAAAAAGACUUGCACGAUCAUACUGCAUUAUAUAUAUUACACUAUAUAGUCUAUGUUGGGAGUUAUAUAUUAGUUAAAGUAUAAAUAGUAGUCUGUUAUCCUAUAUUGAUGAAGUGCAUAUGUAAUACAAAUUGUAAUUCCUAUAUAUACUCCAUUUUGGAGAUUAAUGAAUAUAUGAGAAAUUCUCAAAUAUUAUCAUAUAUAUUUUUGGUAUUUACCAUGUUUAGUUUAAUAUAGCAUCAAAGCAGUUCGCUCUUGGUGACCUGUGUGCUUUAAUUUUGUGCCCCACAUUUGUCAUGAUUUCCUUCGUCUUGAAAAAAAAAAAGGAAAGUAAAUAGUGUUGCACUACAGUACAAACAGUGCGUAAACAGUGGUAUGCUACAGUGUUCAUGAACAAUAUUUUGCUACAGUGCCAUUAACAGUGAUCUACUACAUCACUUGAACAGUGAUGUGCUACAGUAUUAUGGUAAAUUGUUUUCAUUCCGCUGCCUAUCUUUUGUGCCUUUAUUGUUUGUGAUUUAAUUCAAUGGCUCAGUAUAAUCAUAAUGUUGUUAUGCAUCUUGGUGGAACAAAUAAAUGGAUAAUUGAUACUGGGACCACUAAUCAUGUGACUAGUGACCCUAGAAUGUUUGAUGAGUUAUGUGACUAUAUUCUUGAUCCGUAUAUUACUAGUGCAAAUGGAGCACAUUCCCCCGUGAAUGUUGAAGGCAUUAUCUCUCUUACUUCGACCUUAUCACUGGUCCAUACUUUACUUGUUCCUGAUGUUAAGUGCAAUCUUUUGUCGGUAGAAAAACUACUUGAUACUUUAUAUUGUUUUGCUCACUUCUACCCUACGUAUUGUUAUUUUCAAGACAUUCAAACUCAGAAAGUAAUUGGUCAUGGUAAAAGAAUAGAGGGUUGUACAUCUUGACUAUGGAGGAUACUGUUGUUUCCGGUUCAAAUAAUCAUCAAGUUUUAAGUGCUAAAGUGGAUGACAUACAUCAAAUUUGGUUGUGGCAUUGGCGAUUAGGACGUCUAUCAUUCAGUUAUAUGAAGCAUCUAUUUCCUGCUUUGUUUCGCAUUUGUAGUGAUUCAUAAUUCAAGUGUGAAGCAUGUGUCAUGGCUAAGAGUCAUCGUGCUUCCUUUCCCAUAAGUGAUUCUAAAGCUACUUUGCCAUUUGAUUUAAUACAUUCUGAUGUGUGAGGUCCGGCAAAUGUUACUUCUAAUGAAUUUCGUUGGUUUGUUACUUUUAUUGAUGAUUGUACUCGAUUAACUUAGGUGUUAUUGAUGAAGAAUAAGAGUGAUGUUCAUUUGCUUCUUCAAGAAUUUUGUGCAAUGGUGUAUACUCAGUUUCAGACCAAAGUUAAGGUUUUCAGGUUUGAUAAUAGAGGAGAAUAUGUGAAUCACACUUUGACAUGCUUUUUUCGUGAUCAGGGUAUUAUUCACCAGACGACUACUUUGUUUACACCCCAACAAAAUGGUGUGUCAGAACAGAAGAAUCGUCAAAUAAUGGAGGUUGCUCACUCAUUGAUGUUGGAUAAAUGUGUUCCUAAUCAUUUAUGGGGUCAUGUUGUUUUGGCUGUUGUAUAUUUGAUAAAUCGUGUUCUAAGUAGGGUUCUUGAUUUUCAGACACCACUUGAUGUGUUACAAAAGCAUGUUUAUCUUGUUUCUGUAUCAAAACUUCCUCCGAAGGUGUUUGGGUGUAUUGCGUAUGUGUAUGUCUACUCUUAUCAGCGGAGUAAACUUGAUGCAUGUGUUCUUCGAUGUGUAUUUAGUAGGUAUGCUAACAAUCAGAAAGGCUAUAAGUGUUAUCAUCCUCCGACUCAUAAAACUUAUAUUACCAUGGAUGUCACUUUCCACGAGGAAGUUUCGUAUUUUGUGAAGCCAUCUUCCGACUCUCCACUUCAGGGGAAAAAAGGGAGUGAAGUGCAUAUUUGAAGAGAUGGUAUGGAUGAUGUGUUACAGGCAGAGUUGGGGAUAGAACCUAUUAUGUUGCGUGAUACUGAUCAGUCGGUUAUAGAUAGUGAUCUGUCACCUAUUAUUCCUAAAACUAUUUUUACUGACGACAGAUUAGAUGUGCCCAACGAGUUGCUUGUCAGUAUGUCUGACGAAUUACUUUCUGAUGACCGAUUGCUUGCUUCUGGUAUGUCUAACGAGCUGCCUGAUGAUGGUUAGUUCAGUGAUGGUUCAUCCAGUGAUGAUUCUUUUAACAAUUUGGUACAAGAUAAUGACAUACAUGAGUUAAAUUCUGACGAUUCUUCUAUUUAUUAGUUGCCUCCACGAGCUAAUCGUGGAAAACCUAAGGUACAAUAUGAGCCUGAUAUGCAUGCCAAAUCCAAAUAUCCUAUCAACAAUUAUGUGUUUACUCAUCGUUUGUCCAAACCAUUUUCAUCUUACAUAUGUCAGCUAUCUAGUGUAUCAAUUCCAACAAAAUUGCACGAUGCCUUGUCUGACCCUAAGUGGGUUAAUGCCAUGAGAGUUGAGAUGGAAGCCUUGGAAAAGAAUUCUACUUGGGAUUUGGUUCAUUUACCAAAUGGGAAGAAAGCUGUUGGAUGUAGAUAGGUGUUCACUAUUAAGCACAAAGCAGAUGGUUCUAUUGACCGGUAUAAAGCCAUAUUAGUUGCUAAGGAUUAUACUCAAACCUAUAGGGUGGACUAUCAGGAGAUUUUUGUUCUUGUUGCCAAACUUAAUACUGUGUGUGUUCUUCUGUCCUUAGUAGCAAACCAGGAUUGGCCUCUGUUGCAGUUUGAUGUUAAGAAUGAUUUCCUUCAUGGUGAUCUCAAGGAGGAAAUUUAUAUGGAUCUCCCACUUAGUAUUAGAACAUCUCCUGAAAAAUGUGUUGUAUGCAAGUUGCAAAAAGCUUUGUAUAGUUUGAAACAAUCUCUUAGAGUGUGGUUUUGGAGGUUUACAAGUUCAAUGAAGAAGUUUGGGUAUGUCCAGAGUCAUUCAAAUCAUACUUUGUUUCUAAAUUGUUUCUAAAGCCACAAAAUGGUAAGCUAACUGCAUUGAUUAUUUAUGUUGAUGACAUGUUAGUGACUAGUGAUGAUCAAAAGGAGAUACAACGCCUUAAAAAAGUACCUAGCUAGUGAAUUUGAGAUGAAAGAAUUGGGUGAAUUGAAGUAUUUUCUUGGAAUCGAGGUUGCACAAUCCAAGCAUGGUAUUUUUCUGUCUCAACAGAAGUAUGUUCUUGAUUUGUUAGUUGAAACAAAUCUGUUAGAUUGCAAACUUAUUGAUACUCUGAUUGAGCAAAAUCAUCAUCUGGGCUUAUUUCCGAAUCAAGUUCCUACUCAUAAGGAACGGUAUCAGAGGCUUGUGGGGAAAUUAAUUUAUUUGUCUCACACUUGCCCUGACAUUGCUUAUGCAGUUAGUGUAGUAAGUCAGUUUAUGCACUCACCUAGUGAAGCUCAUAUGGAUGAAAUAGUCCGUAUUUUGAGGUGCUUGAAGAUGGCUCCUGGCAGAGGCUUGGUUUUCUCCAAGAAUGGUCAUUUGAAUGUCGAAGGGUAUACAGAUGCAGAUUGGACAAGUUCUAUCACUGAUUGGCGGGUGGUAAUCUAGUUACUUGGAGAAGUAGAAACAAAAAAUGGUGGCUAGGUCAAGUGCUGAAGCUGAGUUUCGUGGUAUGUCUCAUGGUGUAUGUGAGUUGUUGUGGUUAAAAAAAUUGUUGAGAGAUCUUGGAUUUAAACCCAAUGGUGCUAUGAAACUCCAUUGUGAUAACAAGGCUGCUAUUGAGAUUGCUCAUAAUCCAGUGCAACAUAAUCAAACAAAACAUGUGGAGAUUGAUCAACAUUUCAUCAAGGAAAAUUUGGAUGCUGGAAUUAUUAUGUUUCCGUUUGUGAGAUCUGAAGAUCAACUCGCUGAUGUACUUACUAAGACUGUGUCUAAUAGUGUGUUUUCCAACUCGCUUGACAAGUUGGGCAUGCAUGACAUCUUUGCUCCAACUUGAGGGGGAAUUUUACGAGUUAUAUAUAGUUAAAGUGUAAAUAGUAGUCUGUUGUCCUACAUUGAUGAAGUACAUAUGUAAUACUAAUUGUAACUCCUAUAUAUACUCCACUUUGGAGAUUAAUAAAUAUAUAAGAAAUUCCCAAAUAUUGUCAUAUAAAUUUUUGGUAUUUAUCAUGUUUAGUUUAAUAGUCUAAACAUCAGGAAAUACACCAACCCUAAACCUAAUGGAUUUUAUGAAGCCGCUGGUUUGGGUACACAUUAAUCUAACCUAAUUGCUCUACCACAUUCUAAACACAAAAUUUGUUAUAAAUAGGAUGAUUAAAUUUAUUUUCUCAAGCGGUAGAGUAGUGAACCUCACAGCGACGACAAUCUUCCACCCCCAAAUUCGGGUUUUUUUGUACUAAAAUGGUCUUUUAUGUAUAAGAACUUUACGAUAAGUUUAUUAAAAUUGGCUCUGUAUCUACGAAAUCUCAACAUCCAUACGUUACAAAAUGGAUUAGAACUCCUAGGAAAUAAAAUAGAACAUAUGAUGAUCCCUUUAAAGGGCCUUAUAAUGGGGAAGACUUCUCACAGAAUAUAAGAAGACGAAGAGGAAAACUAAAAACUUAGAACUUCAAGGAGAUGGACUGGAGCAGGGAGAAUGGCAAAGAACCGGAACCCAGAAGACCCGCAACGAAAAAGAAAACACUGUACUUUUUUUAGACAUUUUUUCACAUUUCUUCUCGGCCUUACAGCCAAGUAGCAUUUUCCGACCCCAAAUAAAGAUAGAAGGAAAAAACCAAAUUAAGGUAAAUAAAUUUUCUAUAGCAACUUGGCAAACAAAAACAUACUAGAAGAAAACAAGGAAAAUACAAAGAAAUUAAGGAAGUAUGGGAAACAAAAUAAAUUUAAUACGGGACCAACGACAACGGUGCAAAUGUAUAUUGUUCAGGAAAUAAACUUUUAGCGAAAAUGUGCUGCAAAAUUGACCAAUUUUGCUUCAUAUUCACACUCAAUUUUUUUAAGAAUUAAUAUCUGUAGAGUUUAGACCAAAAAUAAAAUAAAAAACAAAACCAAAAUGCUACUCCACUUUCUUGGUACUUAACUCAGCUCUCCACCUCCUUCCAAUCUUACAAGCUUCUAGAUUUAGAUUUGUCUCAAAUCACAUGCCAACUAACCUGCCCAGCUCAAUUUUAUUUUUUCUUUGGAAAUUCCAGUGCGUCUCUACUUUUGUUUUUCUAAAUCUUACUUACUCCCAUUAUAAUUGGAAUUUUAUAUAUUUAUAUGGAUGCUUUGUCAAGAUAUGAGAGAAAUAGUAGUGAUUCAAAAAGAUGAUUAGGAGCCAAAAAUAUUUAUUAUUUUAGAUUGGUGUUUAUGUUUUUGAACAGUUAAAAACUUUUUUGGUCAUUGUGUUUAUGUUUAAAAUUUAUUUUGGUCACUGUAUUUUAUUUUCUGCUAAUUUAGUUACUGUGUUAUCACAAGUUAGCAAUCUUAGUCCUUCUCAAUCAAACGUUAAAAAAAACGCACAUGACAUGCAAGUGCAGGGGUAACUAUGUAAGUGAAAAUAUAUCUUUGCCCCUGCACGAAACUGUCACGUGCAUUUUUUUGGCGGUUGACUUAUGGUAACGCAGUGACCAAUUUGGCAGAAAAUAAAACACAAUGACCAAAAUAAAUUUUAGAAAUACACACAGCGACCAAAAACGUUUUAAUUUAACCCAUUUUUAACAGUCCAGCCAGCUACCAUGAAAGCUACAACAUGAAAGCUGACUGUCAAAAUUUUGUUUAAAAAUUCAUACACAAUAAUCGUCAUAAGAACGUGCAAUAGGUACUUUGAAUUCUUAAAUAUACUGCAUGGUUACCCUUUCCUUUUGUUUUAUACAGAGAAAUCUUGACAGGCAGUCAAAAGCAAAAUUAUGUUCUUCUAGUGAUAUCUGUGUGCUAAAAAGGAAGUACGUAGCUACGUUCAGUCUUCACCUAACACUCCUAUUUGCACCUAAAAGAUGUGGAUAACAAAGAUUUUGACCAAAAUCACAUUGACAAGUACUUGCCAAAGGAUCACGGAACCUAUGAUUGUAAAAGAUAUACGUGUUGGGCCUGACCGACGUUAAUUAGUUGUUCAUAUUGAUUUGAGAAAUUUGAUUGAAUGAGGAUUAACAAAUCACAAUUGCUAAAAUAUUAAAAUGUAUUAACUGCGACAUAUUGGUUAAAUAAUUAUUGCACAUCGAAAAAAUAUUGACGAGUAAUUAUGAAUUUUUAUUUUCAUUAUUUCAAACAUUUUUAUAUUAGAAAAGCUAAAGAAAAUGAUUUAAAAACUUUGAAUUUUAAUGAUACGUACAAAAUGAAAGGUAAAAUAAAUAGUACCAGAAUUAACUUUUUGUUUAAAUUUUAUUUUCUAUUUGGCAUCAACUUUUGGUUUAAAUAUACUAUAUAACCCUCACAAAAGAAAAAGCAUGGUGUACUAGUAGCUAAAAGACAUAAAAAAGGUUAAUCUUAAUUUAUUAUUCUAAAGUUUCUUAGUUUUCAAUAUUUGGUAUAUAAAGUUUUUUUUAUUCUAGAGUUGUACAUAAAGUUAUAAUUUUGGGAUACUUUCAUACAUCCAUUAAGGUUGCUGUUAAAUUUAUCAUUAACUGAUGAUAUGACAUUUAUGUUGACAAUGACACGUAGAUAUUAAAAAUUAAAAAUUAAAUUAAUAAAAUAAUAAAAAUUAAAAAAAAAAAAAAAUUGGGCGUCUUCACCCUCACCCCUUCUGACCCCCCUCCCUUCUCUCCUCUGCACCCACGCUUCCCCCUCCCUCUUCGACUCCACCCAACGCUGCACUCCGAGGAUUGUUGCCAUCCUUUCAAGCCCAAUUUCGCCCCCAAAUAGGCCCGGGCAGUACUUGGCCAUAAACUUCAAGUCGUAGACCCUCUCGAACAAACGACCUGCCAUCUUUGCGAACUCAGUGGGGGAGCUGAGGAUGGUCUUCCUCGUCACCAGCUUCAUUACAUAGGCCGAGUCGUAGAGGCCGUGGAAGCUCACCCAUACGAGCUGCCCCCUGUGCACCCUUAAAAUCUCAACGAAACCCUCCACAAAAAUAUCCGAAUCAAUGCCGAACUUCCCAAAUUUCUCGAGAUCCAAGCCAUUCGCUUUGAGGAGGGCAAUGGAUUCUGGAACAUGGGGGUCGGUUUCCUCGUCAAAACCCCGAAAGUUGAACUCCCAGGUGCCGCCGACGUUGCCGCGGUCGUCGAACAGGGUGAUACCCACUUGGAUGAGAUUGAGAGAAUCGACAUUAAGGGCGAUAUCUUGGUAACGGAGGCCCUUGGAAGUGCCUCUGGGGGUGUUGCGGAGGAACCCCGGAAAUUCGGUGUCGAACGAGACGAUCGGAAAACGGCAGAGACACCGAUCGACGGAGGGAAGGGGAAAGGUGGGUGCAAAGGAGAGAACGGGAGUGGGGUCGGAAGGGGUGAGGAAGAAGAUGCCCAAAUUUUUUUAUUUAUUUAAUUUUUUUAGUUUUUAUUAUUUUAUUUUUUAAUAUGCACGUGUCAUCAUGUCAUUGUCCACGUGGAUAACACAUCAUUAGUUAACAGUAAAUUUAAAGGCAACCUUAAUGAAUGUAUAAAAUUGUUCCAAAAUUAUAACUUUAUGUACCACUCUGAGAUGAAAAAAACUUUAUUUACCAAAUAUUGAAAACAAAAAAACUUUAAGAUAAUAAACUAAUAUUAAUCCUAAAAAACUACUAAAGGAAAGGGUGAAAGAAAAAAUUAUUAGUUUGUGCUGUUCUCAUGGUAAUAGUGGUUUUUGUAUUGUACGAUCAUGUGUUACAUUUUAUGCAUUAUUAUGUGGAUGAAUGAAUAAGUUAAUUACAUCGCAUGUCAUAGGGUGAAUAUUACAUUAAAAAAUUCUUCAUUCUUGUUAUUCGUCAAAUUAAUGGUUGUGCAUUUGUAUGAGGACCUAGAUCUGUUGAGGAUGCAGAUCUUCACUCGUUGAAGGCCAUCCCUAUCUAUCUACUACUACUCUUUGGAAAAUAAUUGACUACAGAUGAUUGUACAAAAAAAUAAUUAAUAUUAUCUGAACAGCUCACCAUGCAUGUUCAGUAAAGUAAAGCGGAUUUGUUUAUUCAUUGUCUAGUUCAAACUUGGGGAGCAUUUUCUCAUUCUUGCGGUGAUCAGAAUAAUGUGAUUUAAGUCCAGUUAAACAUGCUUAAUUAUGCAUUUAAGCAUCUUUUAUUUAUUUGCUUUCAUUAUUUUUUCCUUCUUAAUGUGUUGUUAUUGUUUGGAACAACAAGUAAGACAAAUCUAGCCAGUUAGCAUUCACCGCAUCACCGCAUAAUGAAAGAUUAUUCAUAUUUGGAAAUGAAUAAUUAAUUAAAAAACUGUAUUAUUAAGGCAAAUGGGCACUUAAUAUUUGUAUCUUAAACCUUCCGAGUCGGAUAUUCGAGUAAAUUAGUUAAAAAGCUAUGCAAAAUGUGAAUGUGACAGACUACGUAGUAAAGUUUGGGUUAAGAGAGAGAGAGAGAGAGAGAGAGAGUAUUUCGCAGCCGGCUGGUCCCUAUGUACGGGAAGAAUCAUAGAAAGUUAGGUAACUACACACAUUUUUCAAAGAUGUCGAUCAUGAAAAAUAUUUGAUAACAAAUUCAGGGAGGACAUACUGCUUAAAUUAUUAACCUAGAAAUAAAGUUCGAUCUCUUGCUUUAACUUUUCUGCUACGUAGCUCUUAUUGCAUUAAACAAAGCCUUAUUAAAGUAAAGAUGGUCACACCCUUAGCCCUUUAGGUGAUACGUUCAGGGAAAUGGUUAAUGUUUUUACAAGCUCUUGUUUAUUUUUAUUUUUUAAUAUUUUCAGAUAUUUUUACAAUCUUUUACUGCGCAGUAAUAGAGUGUAAAAAUCAUAUCUAUGUAUUUAUUUAUUAUUAACUAUGUUUACAAUGAACCUUCUAUUCCAUGAAACAAGAUAUAAAAAUAAAAAUAAAAAGGAGAAGGGCAUAAAUUAACAAAAUUCGGUCAAAGGCCGCAUUGGUCCAAACAUUAAUUGAUAAUCUAUGACAAAUAGUCUGGCCCCAUUAGCAUUAUUUUAACAGUAAUAUUGUUUUUUUACUAAGAUAAUUAAUAAUUGCCAAGUGAAAAUUUGGCAUGAGUACCAUUGUGAAGGGUAAAAACCAAAGCUAUAUAAAGGGUGAGGAGGCUUAGCUUCAGAGGCAGACAACCAAAAACCCAUUCUUAACGAAGGAUGGGAAAAAUGGUGCCUUCACAAGUGACCUCUCUUGUGGUCACUCUCCUAGUGGCAAUAGUCUCUCUCACAUUGCCUUCAGAAACUUCAGCUAACUACCCUUACACCUCUCCACCACCACCGGCCUCUCCUCCCUACCAUUACAAGUCACCACCGCCUCCUUCUCCUUCUCCUCCAGUGCACUACUCACCACCUAAGCAUCCCUACCACCCUAAGUCACCACCACCUCCUGUGUACGCACCACCUAAGCAUCCCUACCACCCUAAGUCACCACCACCUCCUGUGUACCCACCACCUAAGCAUCCCUACCACCCCAAGUCACCACCACCAUCACCAAAGCCUUACCACUACAAAUCCCCACCACCACCUCCUGCUCCAGUGCACUCACCACCCCCACCUAAGGAGCCAUACCACUACAAGUCCCCACCACCACCACCCAAGAAGCCCUACCACUACAAAUCUCCCCCACCACCUCCUCCUCCAGUUCACUCACCACCACCACCCAAGGAGCCUUACCACUACAAAUCUCCACCACCACCACCCAAGAAACCUUACUAUUACAAGUCUCCUCCACCACCACCAAAGAAGCCUUACCACUACAUGUCUCCUCCCCCACCGGUGUACUCACCACCUCCACCAGUGCACUCACACCCACCACCAAAAAAGCCUUACCAUUACAAAUCUCCUCCCCCGCCAGAAUAUUCACCAGCUCCACCAGUGCACUCAACCCCACCACCAAAGAAGCCCUACCAUUACAAAUCCCCACCACCACCACCACCACACAAGAAGCCUUAUUACCCUGUUCACUCACCACCUCCACCUAAGAAGCCUUACCACUACAAAUCCCCACCACCACCUUCUCCUACUCCUCCUAAAUACUCACCACCUAAGCACCCCUACCACUACAAGUCUCCACCACCACCACCAAAGAAGCCUUACCAUUACAAGUCCCCACCACCUCCUUCUCCUACUCCCCCUAAAUACUCACCACCUAAGCACCCCUACCACUACAAGUCACCACCACCACCACCCCAAGAAGCCUUACCACUACAAGUCUCCACCACCACCACCUCCUCCAGUUCCCACACCAUCUCCACCCAAGAAACCUUACCACUACAAGUCUCCCCCACCACCCCCUCCAGUCUACAAGUCUCCUCCACCACCAGUUUACUCACCACCACCACCACCUAAGAAACCUUACAAGCCACCAACUCCUCCAGCAGUUCACCCACCACACGGUUACAUCUAUUCCUCACCCCCACCUCCUCACCACUACUAGAUAUUGAAAGUUUAAUUGCAUCAAGCUGGUAAGCUUCUCCAUUCUAUGCUAUUAUUCAUUAAUUAGUUAGUACUACUGUUGUCAAUUUGGAAAUCACCAUACAACCAAAUGCACACUCUGACGAAAUAACAUAUAAAUUCUAAUUGAAUAGUCUUUAUUUCCAUUUUUGGCUAAUAAUCCUUAUUAGCAUAUGGAUAAUGUAUUUCCAACAUAUCGUUAUUAACUUAUUACUCAAUUAAUAUUUCUUUUUCUUUAAAUUCAGUAGCCGUGUGUAACAAAUAGACCAAUGGCAGAGACCCAACAAAUAACAAUAAUAUGUCUUUGCAGGUAAGGGAAGAAGAAAGGUCAGAAUAAAGAGGGGCUGUUGAAGUCGAACAGCGCGCCUUAUUACCACACAAAGAAGAAGAGAGAGAAAAAAACGAGUCUCCACGCAGCUGCUGAUGUGACGUGUUUUAUGUAUGCGAUAUUCGAUAGAGGUUCAUAUUUUCCUUGGAAUAUUAGACAGUUGUAGGGCACUCAUGUUCCAUGUAUUUUAUUUCCUGUUUCUCAAAAGAGAUGGUAUAUGUAUGUUGUUUGUUUCAACCUUCUAAUGGAGAGGUGAUCAUCAUAAUAAUAAAAUAAAUACAUUCCCCAAAUUUUACUUAAUUUCUCAUAUAUCUGAUAUGUUUUACUCUCUUAAUUAAAGUUUCCUAAUAAUGUUAUAAAAACCACGUAUAUCACAUUGGUGUACCAUUUAUUCUCACAAGUAAUGUCACGUCAAUUAAUGAGUUUAUCUCAUUGAAUAGUAAUUGACUUGCUUACAUUAUAUGGUAAUAAUGUGGUGUAAAUAUGUCGCAUCGUCCUUAACAUCACUCUAAAUUUCUUGGUAAUAAUAUAUGCGAGCAGUGUUAACAAAUCAAAGGAUGAGAAAGAAGAAAAACUAUUUGCAAAUUCUUAUUCUUAAUAUUUCAUAAACACAAAAUAAAGAAGACUAUGAAUUGUUCAAAUGCAUACUAAGUGAUCUAUUUUGGCAAAUCAUCUUAGUAUUGUAUUAUUUUCUUCAAUUAAGUGAUCUAUUUUUUUUCAAUUUGUUUUCCAUAUUUCAUGGCUUAAAUUUGUGAUUACUUUUUCAACAUAAAUGUCAAAUACUUUUUCUAAAAGUUAAUGUUGUCUAUUAUUUAUCCGUUGCUGGGAAAAAAAGUUAAAGUGGUAAUCUUAUUGAUAAAACUUAGUUCACUACACUAUAUAUACAAUUGUCUUCCGGUAGACCAUCAUGGAUAAAAAAUCAAAAGGAUUAUCGAAACCCCAAAAAAUUCUCACUAGUAGAAAGAUUGUUCAAAUUCUACAAUGAACCACAAGAAGUCUAACUCACUUGGUCAUUGCUGAUUGACUAUCAUUACUAGGUUAAAGCAACAUUUUAAGUUUUAACCUAAAUAGGAUCUCAACAAGCUAGGGUUUGAGAUUAGUGUUUUAGGUGACGACAGAGCUCUUUCCUUUCUUUAUGUUAUCCAAACUCUUUUUCUUUUUUCAUUUUUAUCAAGAAACUGUAGGUCUCAAUCAAAUUUAUGGAUUAUGGAUUUUAGUUAUGUAUUCUUAGUGUGGAAAUUUGACUAUAAAAUACGUUGACACUUGUCCUUUAAACUAAUGCAACCGAACAAACUUGUAGUUAACAAUUUUAUUAAGAGAGAUUAUAUUCACACACUUCAAAUUACUUAUGUCACACCUUUCUAAUUUUUUAAUAUUUUCUACACACCACUAACACUUGAAAGAAAAAAUAUUAAAAAAAUUAAAAGAGUGUGGGGCAAGUAAUUUGGGGUGUGUGAAUAUAAUCUCUCUUUCAUUAAAUCAUAACAUGGUGGAGUGAGUAAGUGAUGAGGAAAGACAAUUACGUCGCUCAUAUGCAAAUGAGUGGACAAACCUUCCAAUGGAUGCAACGGUGGUCAUGAAUUAUGAUUGUGUGUAGGGUUUCGAGUUACCGACGUUGACUGUCAUGCAAAUUGAGUACGUAGCCACUUACACUUAAUGGCAGAGGUCGAUGAUUUGCGCUACGGAAAAUGGUUUGAUUUGCUUAUACCAAUUACCAAACAAAGCAAAUAUAUUCGUCCUUUUGGUUUGGUUGUCAACUGUCAAGUAUGCGUUAGAAUUUUUUAAUUUGGGUUAAAUAAAAUAAAAAAACAAUACUCAAAACUUUUUGGGGAUGAGAUCUGAGAAAUUUAAUUUUUUCCCUUCAUAUAUUAGGGAUGAAAGUUGACUUAAUCACACACAAUGGAUCAUACCAACAAUAAUUUAGUAUCGAAUUCAUCAUUCAUGAAAAUCAUAUUUGAGCCUAAAUAAAAAUAAGCAUGUUAUGGGGUCAAUCUACUUUUAUUUACAGAAAGUUGCACGACUCAGGCCCACCAACUUCAAAGCCUAAUUCAAGAUCAUAUCACAAAGCUUGGGCGACCUUUUUGUCCCCCUCCUAGCUAUUCGAGGGCUUGGGUAGAUCUCUCUAUGAAGUGCGUCCACCACGCAGAUGACCAGACCCGGGAAUAUCUCGCCUCCUUAAAUGUUGAUGUACGCAUCAUCUAACAUGCUAAUGUCACCAUUGCAAUUAUGAAAACGGCCAUGAAAUACAGUUUAAGGCCACCAACCAGAAAUUAUAGUCAAUGUCAACUCACCGAUCUACCCAUGCUCCAUCUUAGCCAUGAGAUCGAGGUUGCUCUUGCUUCAUUGCCUAUAAAUAGAGUGGGAAACCUUCAAACUUAGGACCUUCGUCUGAUCCAAUCUCUACAAUUAUAUAAAACCUCGAUUGAUUCUUCAAUCAACCCAACUUCUUUCAAAGUACAAUCCAAUUGCUCUUCAACUACAAUCACAAAGCCUUCGUUAAAAGCAAACAUUGCCUAUGUCCCUGAGAUCUUAAACUUUUACAGCUUUUCCAACCCGUGGUAUGAUUCGGUUGAUGUGUCAAUCCAACCACCCUGAUUUCCUCUUAGAGGCACAUGUUUUGGACUAAGUCCAAUUUGAUACCAGAGACCUCAGUGGACUCCUCUAGCAUUAUCUAUCCCUUCAUGGCCUAAAUCUUGUAAGAGUUUUUACAGCUUUCUUUACAAUUUUACUCAAUUUUCAUUUCAAGUCAUGUAGCUCGGCCCAUCGGCCAAGAUUUUACUUUUAUAUAAUGCUUGUAAUGUUGACUUCAUUAUGAAAUAAUUACAUUUUGUUCAUCACAUUAUUUUCCAUUUUCCUUUUUCAUGUUUUAGGCAAAAACACAAAAAAGUUACAUUGAAUUUUAAGUCCUCAUUCACUCAAGGCAUAGAAAAAAACUUAAACGAACUAGCGUCUCAUUCAAUGCACAACAAUUGGUUAAGAAGUCAGAUCUUUGCGCAACUUUCACACACAUCCAAAUACAAAGAUUGUCUGUUGACAGCCUCCAACAAUAGCACACCCAUUCUCUCAUUUUCUCGAGCCACCUCGUGACAUUGAUAUAAAAAAUAACACUCGGGGAAAAUAAAAGUUACAGUAGUAGUGAAAGAAAUUUAGUUGUUGUAAUAACUGAAUUUUGAAGGGCAUAUUAAGUAAUAAAAAUUAUGAGCAGAUAGUAUUUGCCCCAUUUGGCCUAGUGUCGACCAAAAAUGUACCUUCACCUAGAAAAGGAUUGUAGAAAGUGAAGUUAGUUCAAUAAUUGUCCUCUUUUUUGUUUUCUUUUUCGAUAUUUUAAGUGCUAUAUUGAGACUUUGGGGGCUUUUUUUUCCCAAAGCUCUGGCCUAUUCCGCGAAGAACUGAGAUUGAAUGGAGACUUUAUCAUUCUCACUAAUAUUAUAAGAAAAAUUGCACAAUACCAUUGUAUUAUUAAUUUGAGACAAUGGUAUUAAUUAUAGACAUUACAAUAGUGUCAAGAAUAAUGCAAAUAACUCAUUCUCCUUUGUUUAUUAGGUCGAAUUUCACUAGCUACAAAUAAGUUUAGCGGGGUGUAAGGAUGGAGACUUUAUCAUUCUCACUUAUAAAUCAUCAUAUAUUUAGGUGUGGGGUAAGGGGUUGGGGUAGAUUAGGUCCCAGGUUCGAGGCCUGGUGGGGUGGGGUGGGGUUGAAAAAAAAAAUCAUAUAUUUAGGUGUGGGUUUGGAAGGUAGACUUGAUUCCGCGGUGUUUUGAGGAGGAGGAGGGCAAUCUUAUUCUUGGUUUACCAAUAAGUUUAGCAGGGUGUAAGGAUAGAGUCAUAUGGCACUAUUCAAGAAAAGUUGCAAAACCACUAAAACUUUAUUUUAAGAGUCAAAUCUACUAAAUUCUUCUCCAAGAGACUUGAUAAAGGACUCUAUAUAAUAGCAAGUUGCUCUUUAAAUUUAUAAGUAAUGCCUAAUGGGGCUUUUAAGAAAAUAUUAAUAUUUAAAAAAAAAGUAUUAAUUUUUGUUUUAGACAUUGUAUAAGGAAAAUGAUAAGCAUACAUCCUUUUUAGCCUCGAUCAACACUUAUAUUUAAUCUUGUUCAUUAUUUUUGUUUGAUUUAUACAAUGCGAUGGUCAAAAAAAUAAAUAAAAAAUAUGUUUGAGAAGUUAAAAAUGAUGUGUGAAAAUCACCUGCCAAUAAACAAAUCUAUUAUUAAAACUAAUACAAACUUUAAAACUAAAACUCAUGAUCAAUUAAGAAACGCUCAAGUCAAAUUCAUAAUAGCCAUAAAACAUAAAACACCUAAAUUUACUAUGCCAAUUCAAUCAACAAUCGUAUUAUAAAUAUGUUAAAUCCUUACAUGAAUGGAAUUGUUAGCCCAUCAAUCCAAGUAAUUGAAUGAUCUUUGGAGAUUUACUUAAGAGCAGUAUUAAUAUGAAUUAUGAACUUAUGAGAGAGAAAUAAUCUAUUAUUCUUUUCUCUAUUAGGCUAUAUUAUAUUUAUUUUGUUAUUGAAGAAAUUAUAUAUUGUAUAAUAUUUCCAUGGGGUGCAAAAACAUCGGGGCGCCUUUUUUUAGUUGGGGACCUUGUGCAAUGUCUUAUAUUCCUCCCCUUCAAUCCGGCACUGACAGGAAGGGAGAGAACGAUUUAAAAAAUGAACGGGUUGAAUUUGAAUUGAUAAUAAUUAGUAAAUUAUUUAAACUUUGUUAAAUAGAAAAUAUUGUUGAAAAUGAAAAGUUAAACUGAGUAAUUAAAAUAGUUUUUUUGACACUUUUCACUUGCUUGUUUAACAAAAAUUUAGAGCUUGUCUUUGAGAUACUCUUACUCCUUUAUUUAAAGGACUCGGCUUUUCUAUUAUAGCUGUCGUAUUCAAUAUUGUUGCAAUUAAUGAACUUAAAUCAUUUCGUUAUGACCAAAUUAAGAUAAUCAUGGACAUGUAGAUUAGGUAGCUAAUUCUGAUUUUGACUCGAUCACAUCAAGGUUAUCGUAAUUAAUGUCGGUUAAUUUAAUAUGCGUCUCUGAUCUGAUUACAUUACCAUGGUACGUAAACAUGUGUAUCCAUCUGCAAGACUCAAGAUUUAUAAUUUUGUUUUGUUUACUGUUUUUACGAAGAUAUUUAUGAUUUGAUUUUAUAAUAAAUUUUUUUUUAAAAAAAAAAUCAGAGCAAAACUGCAUCAUGGCCAACAAUCCAGCCAGAUUCAGUUCAACUAUAAUUUUGGCCAAUUUUUCAAAGCUGAUGGAUGUUAGUAGAUUUGUGUGGGGAACACUGAAAAGGCUAGAUUAUGAAAUACCAGAAAAGUAUUGACAUUUCAAUUGCUUAAACCAACCAUGAUGAAGAGUUCUAUGAAUUAUUUUUCAAAAUUUGAUUAAAUUGUGUCAUCCAGAUUAACGAACAUUGUUUCAUUGAAAUUAGUUCAUCAAGAUUGCGUAACUGGGAUAGCUUUCACACUGUAUUAACAUACAAAGAGGCUCUACUUCGUUAGAGUGUUCAAACUGUACACGUAAUUUGACUGCCGUACACAUUUUUCUUAUAUCUCUCCAAUCAACUUUAUUUUUCCUUUUGAAUAAAUUAAAGAUAAAGAAAGAAAACCAUUUUGCCUUAAAUGGCAAGAGAUUGAUGAAAAUCUACUCUAAAGAAGGGACAGGAUAUAUAUAAAUUAAAAUUCAUCAUGUACAAAGUAAGCGUAGGACAUUUUCAUCAUUUUACUUUGUCGUGCCCAUAAUUCUUUGCUCUAUAUAUUUUAUCUUUGUUGGUGGUCGAUGCUUUGGUUGGCUGUCAAUUGCGACGGACUGUCGUAAAAAUUGUCGGCAACCAACCAUGUGUUCUUGCAUGCCCGAUGUUCUCGCCACCUCACGUGGAAAUUUCCAAUGGAAUGGAGGGCCAAAUUUCAGUUUUUAUAUCAAUUUGUUUAUGUUAAAAUUUUCUUGUAAUAUAAGUCAAUGGUUGAAUUUGCAGUAGAAACAAACAAAAUAUGUGGACGAAUUUGAUAAAGUACAAGAAAAAAAAAACUGCAACUUAAGUAGAUGACGUGAUUCUUCACCCGGACAACAAGGAAGAAGACAUGAAAUCGGGAACACUGGAUGACGAAGUACACAAAUUAAACUUAUCUAAUCCAUUUUAAUAAAUUGUUACAGGGUGGCCAGUGGUCGGGAAUAAAUCACAGACUCGCAUUUCAGAUACCUCACGAACUUGAUUUUUGUUACUAACAAAUCACAUGAAGGUGACCAAGAGAAGGUUGAAAUGUCAUUGUGAGACGUCUUUCUUACCCUCGAAAGAUGAACUACCGUAAUGAAGCCACCAACUCAUCUUUUUAAAGGAAAGAAAAUCUAAGCCGUCCUAAUACAUGUUGUCACUCAUGGGAAUUAGAGAAGAAAUAUUCGUUAGCCACUUACAGUUGGAUGCUUAUUAUAUUAACUAGUUACAAAGUCAAAGGUUUUUCAUUGAAUGGAAUCAUAAGAUGUAAACAUCUAGGAUUAAUAUUUGGAAAAUAAUUAAACUCAAUCCCACCGCGUAGUUCUGUAACAAGUUUAUAUGUCUAAUAGAGUUUAUAGAUCUAAUAGUUAGUUAAGAGUAUUCAUUCUUACUCUUGAAGUUUUUUUGUUGACACUCUCUCUUUUAACCAUUUCUUGUAAUCAUUACAAGAAUUUGGAUUCUUUUAAUCCUAGGAGUGCAAUACUAAUUCUUAAUCUUUGUGUUAACCAUAAUAUCAUGACACAUAUCACCAAGUAUGAUCAGCAACUAGGAGAACGAGAGAAGAUGCGUGACUUAAGAAAAUUGAUGUGAUUUUGGAUUUUUUUUUACUUUAUGCACGCCCGCUCUUUAAAAAAAAAGAAAAAAGAUAUGUGAAAGGUGAAAAACAGUUGUUUCCGACAAACAUAAUUCACUUUCUAUAUGUGUACUUUGUAUUUUUUUUCAUCAAGUAAGGAAAUGGUGAAAAGAAAAAUGUACAUUAAUCGUAUCAUAUGAUAUAUUGUUCUUCUCAAGACAACUAAGAAGCUAAACUUAAUGUCAGAGAUUAAGACGUUUUGUUGGCUUGUCAUUCAAGGAAAGCUUAAUACAUAUAAUAUAGAGUUGGGAAGGUUAAUUUGUCCGUAUCUUGUGUAAAACAUGAUCUGGAUUUCAAACCCCCUAGACUUUUUGUUGUCCUACUCACGCAGCCCAUUCCCAAGUUCCAACCCUCCCAACAACCCUAUCCAGGAAGGCCAGCGCAGAUGUUAAGGCUGUGACCAGGGUUGUAAUACCAUCUCCAAUGGAUAAGUCAAAUCAUAAGUGGAAUGUCGCAUAAUUAAAUUUAAAAGUAAAAAAGAAGUUCCAACCGAUAGUUUUUCCGGAUCCUGAAAGAGUGGAUAACCGUGACUUAUCACCACUUGUCUUAUUUUUCGAAGAAAAAAAAAUGUCAAUCCUAUGUGAAUUAACAUGAGUUUUUGGUAUCAAAAUUGACAUGAAAAAUGUGUUGGCAAUUAAUUCUUUAGUGAUUUUAUUGUGCGGGUUUUAUUAAUGGACCAAUUCUAAAGCUUAAAAAUUAUUUUAAUUGAUUUCUUUUUCAUAAUGAACCUACGGAUAUUAAUUAUAAAUUUGACAUUACCACAUCAAUCGUUAAAAUUAACAUUUGACAUUCAUUUUUUGACUUUUCCAUUGAAGAUGUUCCAAUUAGCUUCAAAUGCCUUCGAGUUGAACUCAUGUUUGGGUCGUUUUAGGCAUGUUCAAUCUCUACUUGCAAGUAAAAGGAGUCGGGCACGAACAUAAUAUUCAGUUCGAUACAAAGAUGAGAUAGAAUUUUAGUAUGAUCAAAAGCUCGUAAAACUCUUAACAUCCCAUAUCAUUUUAUAUUGGACAUGCAAUCAUUUGAAAGUAUAGAGCUAUGCUUAAGCACAAAUUAUAUCAUUUGAACCAAGCACCUGGUACUUGGCGCGACUCAUCAACGCAGCUCUUGCAUUUUGUCCUUUGAUUUCUUCAAUAUAAAACCAUAAAUAAAUAGAAAUGUGCAAGAUAAGACGAGUCUGAUAAGAUUUCAAUAGAAGUGUUCCAUACGAACACUGUGCCAAGCACUUUUCAGCUGUUGGAUCGACGGAAUUUUACCACUGCUAGGCUAACAAUAUAAUUUCCGUUCGAUCUCUUUCAUAAACGAAACACUAAAACAUGAAUCGAUUUAUCAAUCACCCGAUUAACAUACUCCAAGAAACAGGAAAACAAUCAGUCACAAAUUACUCGCAAAUCGCAAUUAAAACGAAAGAAAUUGAGAAAUCCGGACUAGGCUACAAGCACGUCAAGUCAAGAUCGGCAAAACAUUUAAUAAAACACCAAAUCUGUCAUAUUUUCUGACCUUCCAAAUAUUCAAGUCCAUAACAGAAUGAACAAGCUGAAAACAGCAGAUGAAAUAUGCACAAAGGGAUACACCAAACGUACCUCCAUCGCGAGAAAGAUACACUGCGUUUUGUGAUCGCAUCUACACCAAGCGCUUCGUCCGACAAAACCAUCACUACACAUAUAGGUAUAGAAAAUAUCUAGCAUAGCGUCUUCAUCUCAUUUCUCAAACAGACAAUAUUAUACAAUGACAUUCAACUGGGUGUUUGCUUCGAUGAGUUCUACAACAGACAGGAAAUCAGAUCAUCAAGCACUAAUCACUAAUGACAUCGUCUCUUGAGCAAUCUCUCUAAUUUUCUCUUUCCUUGAGUGUACAGUAUAACCUCUAUAUUCAUAUGAGAAACAAACGAAAAAAACAAAGCCUCAUCCAUAUCCCAAACACCUAAAAAUGAGCCGGUCAGAAUGUUGCAAAAAGAGAAGUUUCGGGUAUUUCAGAAAUUUUCUGAGUCGUGUCAUAACUCUCAAGUGCCAUUGGAGGGUUCUGAAAUUUCCUGAGAUUUCAUGCAUUUAGUUCAGUGUGGGGCUGAGAGCCUGAUAGAACAAGGGAGAACCAAACAUCAAGAAAGACGAGAGAGAGUGUCCUACCUGGACUUCUUGGAGGAGAGAUUCAAGUUGAGCUGUUAUAUCGGAGAAGGAAGGCCGAUUGGAAGGAACUGAAUCCCAGCAACUCUGCAUUAAUUCCAAAACCUUGGGGUGUCCAUUAUUCGGAAUUUCCGGUCUCAGCCCCUGGGAAAUAGAAUGUCAAACAAAACAUAACUAUUUAGGCACAAAAGAAUUUGGAUAAAAUACUACGCUGAGUGAACAGCCAAACCAGUUGGUAUGUACCAUUGUACAUGAUUUCAGAGGCAUAAUUUAUACUUAUUUAUAUUAUAAGCAACAAAAAUGUCAUCAGAAGAUACAGAAAUUUGUUAUUCACUAAGUUUUACCCUUUUCUUGCGUUUAUAAAAUAUAUGCCUGCUUUGUAACAGCUUUUUUUAGUUUGAAUGGGAGGAUAUUCAGACCACAGGGUUACAAACAUAAACUCAGGCACGUCAUCAAUUCAAACUUUAAUUCGACAUGUAGAAUUGUCAACAUCUGUAAGAUACACACAUGGCAGGCAACAGGACGAAACACCAUAGAGGAAAAUUUAUAAUCAAGUUGCAUGAACUGUGGAUUAACAGGAUUUCUUAAGCAGCAAAUACAAUGCGGGCUAUAGAAAACACGUCUUCAUUCAUCAAUAUUCAAUACACAGACGAACAGAUAUAAAUAAUACAUAUGUAUUAUAAAUGGAUAUACGAAUAAACAAUAAACCUGUCUAACUCCCAAGGCAGCUUGCAAUGGAGUCAUGGUAUCAUAUGGAACCUGCAAUACAAAAUCAUACGAGUUUGAAAAUAAAUAAAUAAAAAAAUCUUAAGAAGUUUGAUAAUGUCCACAUCCAAAAUUCCCAAUACACAGAGGAAGCAUACUUUGGCUGUUACUAGCUCCCAAAGUACAAUUGCGAAACUGAACACAUCUGCUUUCUGAUCAUAUGGUUGAUGGUUGAUAACCUUGCAAAAUACAAGAAACCAAUAAGAUAUUGAAAUAAGAAUGUAAAUCAAUGUCGUCAAACUACGGUGCAUCUGCUAUGGUAAUGACGCAGUAACAAAACCAGAAUGUUGACAUCCAAAAUGCAAUUAACAAAACAGGAAAUUCAAUGAACCAUAGCCUGCUUGCCAAAACAAAGGGAUAUUGAUAAUUGUUUAUGAUAAACUAAUCAAUCCAUAGAUCACAACAAAGGACCAAUUUGUGAACCAAGUCCAACGGUUUAAGAGUUGACAAUAAUUUUCACGAAGAGACAAAGCAGGAAAAAAAAAGCAGAGGAAAAUAUUGAACCAGAAGAAUCGGACCUCAGGUGCCAUCCAUCGAUAGGUUCCAGUCUCUGCUGUCAUUACUCCCUCUUGAUUCUGAAACCGAGCAACACCAAAAUCUGCCACCUUUACAACCUGAAGGCAAACAAGAAAAUGAUUUUCAACUGUAAAAGAAAAGAAAAACCUAUUUGUUUUUCCUAAACAGAAAAAUAGAAUAGCCAGGAUGUGAGAGGAGAUUUCAACCAUUUAUACUUGGAAAUCUAACCAGGAAACAGUUUACCCAUUAUCAUAAACAAAUAAUGCUGUGUUUAGCUUUGAACUUUACUUAUAGUUAUUAAAAAAUAUAAAUAUACUUGUCGAAAGUAGAAUUGCAUUACCCCACAUCUUUAAACACAAAUCUAACUUCAUCAUUCAUGACAUCCUGAAAGUAUCAAAUUCACCAUCGACAAAAACUCAGAAGACAUCAAUUCCAGUAUGUCCAUGAGAAUUUUGGUCGAAUUGAACUUUUGACAUGCAGAUAUACUUCUCCCAUAAUCAAACUUCAUACCUCAAAGCACAACGCACAAUUACCCCAUACAAAACAAUAGACGGUUUGGUUACUCAAGUCCAAUAACUACAACUUAUAUCAACUAAAGCAGCAAUAGAUCCACUGAAGACAUUAGCCCUUUUAAAAAAAUUACAAACAAAUCUAUUGAACUUUAUCGUUUUCCUGUCGCCUAAGUUAAGCUGUAUAUGUACAAUGACAAAUUAAAUCAAUAGAGUUAUCAUGAAUAUGCGUAGGUUACAUUUUGCAGAAAGUGAAGCUGCCAAACAAGCAAACAAUAACCUUUAAUUCUUACAUUGUUAGUGUCCAUUAGCAGAUUUGCCGUCUUUAGAUCCCUAUGAAUUAUGUUAUUAUGAUGCAAAUACUCCAUUCCUUUACAGACAUCAAUUGCAAACUUUAGCAGUUCUGAAAGCUUCAAGAUGUUAUGAUUCUUAUGCAAAUAAUCGUAAAGACUUCCACCGGGCAUAUACUCUGCAAAAAAUAAAAAACAAAUGAAUUUUCAUAAUUAUGGUAAUAGUACAAUACAGCAACAAGUCGGCACUGGACUAAUUAUACUCAUCUCAAACUACAAACAGAUCUAAACAGUAAAGUUUUACAUAAAGAAAUCAAGAUGAAAUCAACAAUAAAGCUCUAACCAUAAAAAGAUACCCUGCCAAAUACUAUCCCAAAAUUCUCAAGAAACAACAUCCAAAGGUAAUCCCAAAACAAAAUCUAUCCCACGAAUGAUUACAUCCUUCAACUCCUAACCUACAUGAAGCUUCAUAAUACGCACCAAGUUGCCAAAGGCUGGCUGAUUGACAAAUUACAUAUAAUAGGGAAUUCCAAUAUGCACGACAUCCAAACAGCUUAGAGGAAUUUAAAAUAUAUAACACACAAGUAAAAUCUUCCUAAAUGCUGCAUACUCAGAGAAGAAGUACUAGCGCAUCCAAAACUUAAAAGAGUAUAAAUAAUGUGUAAGUAUGUUCCAACAACAACAACAAGGCAUUUUCCCACUAAGUAGGGUAGGCUAUAUGAAUCCUAGAACGCCAUUGCGCUCGGUUCUGUGUCACAUCUUCUGUUAGAUCCAAGUACUCUUAAGUCUUUUCUUAUAGUCUGUUCCAAAGCCUUCCUAGGUCUUACUCUACCCCUUCGGCCUUAAACCUCUGUCCUGUAAUCGCAUCUAGUGUAAGUAUGUUCCAAGAAAGAUAUUUUUAGUUCCAUUAAUACUUCUCCUGAUCCUAAUAAAAAUUUUCAAAAAGAUAGAAUGAAAACUUUGGUUGGCUACACCUAUAUUGGUGGAAACCAUCCGAUGUCAUUGAUUUUUUGUAGAAUGAUAUCCUUUGGUCCAUAAAAGAUAUUUUAUGAGAUCCGUUUUGGCGAAUGGUAAAAGGGGAUAGCUUUUAAGAAGGGAAAUGUGAGUGUGUUGGGGUGGAUUUUCUCCCUUUUUAUGUUCCUUGUAAAAGAAUAUACUAUGCUUCACUAACAAAAUUAAAAAGUAAAAAAGAAAACUUAUAAACAAUCUGAUGCUUAUUCUUACUUUUCUUAGUUGCACUGCUUCUAAAAACAUCUCCACAUGUAAGAUUCUGAUACAGAAUGAACAAAACCUCGAAAGAAGCUAACUUAACAAAUAUAGUAAAUGUUGGAGGCAACCAACAGGAGAGUUCCAUACCUGUCACUAUGCACAAAUGUGGAGACUUUGUACAUGCACCGAUAAAGCGCACAACAUUACUAUGAUGGACCUCUCUGCAAUCAUAAAACAAAUAUAAUAUAUAUCAGUAUUGCUUAAUAGCAAUACGCAUGCCAACAUAACCUAUAAAAUGGAACAACAGUUUUCUUUUCCCUUGAAUAAGAGACAAUUUAUUAGUAAAGAAUAAGAUACAGAGAAGACACUAUGAAAAACUAGAAACAGCAAAAGGUGGAACCUAGCCAUGAAUUUUAACUGCCUAGAUGUGUGAAAUGCAGCAUGGGCUAGCUGCAUUUUACUUAACUAUCAGAAAAUUCAUUCACUUUAUGGGUUUCAAGAAUAGUUACAGCUAAUAUACCACAAAAUGAAAGACUAGCUGCAUUAAAUGUGAUUUUUUAAAUGACACAAUAAGACAUGUUUCUUGGUUCCAUUUGUAAUUACAUUUGGCAUAUUCUUCCAAAGCCUCGUCGAAAUAAAGACCAGCAACCUGGAUAUUCAACCAGCAAUCCUGGAUAUUCAACCAGCAAAUCCAGAAAACGUGAAGCAUUCUCUUGUCAUUCCCAGAGAUUAUAGGAAUUGUUCUUGUACAGGCUAGUAUAGAAGUUCAUUAUGGAGGAUGUUGGAAAAUAAUGGAAAAAUCUUUAAAAGUUUACAAGUGGAGAAGAGCUCUCAAUAGAAAUGAUAAGAGUGAUUUCAUAUGAACUCCCCAGCAGGGACCAGCCUAGAUUAAAAGAAGAUAAAGAUAGAAAAUUAUUCACCUUAAAAUUGCCACUUCUUGAGCAAACUCAUCCUCUAGAGCAUCAUUCAAAUGUUCAGAUCUCAAAAUCUUAACAGCAACAUCUUGACCAAGAUAAAUUCCACGAUACCUGAGAAUGAACAGUAAUAUAAAGUUAAGCAGCAGAGAAGACUAUAAACGAAUAAAGGAAUGCCAAAAAUAAAACAUAUCUUACAAAUCUCCACAUGACCCAGAUGCAAUUCUGUCUCCGAUCAUUAAUAAUCUUCGGUCUAUUUCCCAGAGUCCUGUCUUUUCUUUCACCGAUAAUUCUUUCUCCACAGCCGAAUGAGAAUGUGAAGAUCUUGACCAUGACCCCUAAAUUACCAAACAACAGAUACGUAUUACUAUCUUAUAAUUCUUCGAUUAUUUUAGCAUUGUGACGCAAUAUACCUCACUUCUAGCAAUUGCCUUUUCCAUAGCUUCAUACAGACCAUCUGUAUCCUGACCACAACAUUGCAAAGUCAGCAACAUUUGAACUCAGCACAGUUGUCAUAAAAUUAAUAUAAUCACAAUUCCCCUUAAUGUAUUCUGAAGACAUUUUCUUGGAGGAACUGUAGCUUUUUCGACUUGUCCAAUUUGAUAAAACCCAAUAUUUAUAACAAACAUAUUGGGAUGCAUUAGAUCCAAUAAUUGUAGCAAUGCCAUAUUACAGCCCAGAGAUAAACACUGACUAAAAAGCGUUCAUCCAUGCAUAAAAAGAGAAAGCACAUAAACAGCUUGCAGUAUAGCAAAAUCCAUAGCCAACAAAAAUAAGCAUAUUGUAGUAGCAAUGUACCACAUAUUUUAAGAAAGGCCAUCCAACGUUUCGUGUAUUGGAAAUUACUCAUUUAUAAUAUAAUAACAUGCAAAAUUUCAAGAUUCAAAACUCUGACAGUAGAAAGUAAUCUGUGAAUGACGAUAAACACAUUAUAUAGUAAAAGAAAACUACCUCAACAGGCCAUCCAUCUACCACAAAUACAUCUAAAGAGUAGCCAUCGCUCGUCGAGAAGACAUGUGCUUCACGGAUGUUAAGUUCCAAAUCCGAAAGCAAGGAAGAAAGCUACAGAAUGAUGACAUAAGUUAGAAAGAUGCGACCACAGUAUGGUUACACUUCUGCAGUUAUCUUGGAUUCUACAACAUAAACAAUGCAUAUAAUAUGUAUCAAAUGUACUGAAUAGUCCAUUGCUACCUUUAAAUUCAUUUUCCAAUUGAAUUUGAAGGCUAUAGAUUUUCAACUUUAUAUUAAUGAAAGAAAUCAUAAUGAAAAAGAACUCUUCCAAUACAACGUCUUCUCACAAUUAUAUUUAAUACCCAAGCUUACUGCAUUGAGGUGCCAGCGUGUGAGGUCUAGACACUAGAGUUGACACAAAACAUCAGAUGGAGAACCAUAAAACAUGAAUGACGGACCAUCACAGUGUCACAUGAAAACAAAGAUAGUUGCUUGAGUUAUAAACAUUAGGUAUUGAACACACAUUCAUAUUAGUGAGUACCAAGAGAACUGCUUAAGUGGAGACAGAGUAUUACAGGAUAAUGAAGCUAUCAAAUGAUGUCAAAUUUCAAUACCCUUUAACAUUGAAGAAAUUAUGUACAUGUGGACACUAAAACUACAGAAAUACUAUCACUUGAUGCUAUUCAAUCAGAUGAUCCUUUUGAUUAUUAAUUGAAAAAAGGAAUGCUGAAUCCAACUUCAUGAUCCAGAAUGUAAGUGCAAUAUCAGAUAAGUUUGUCCACUAUCCUAUCAUACUAAUCUUAUAUGACCCCUUUGAGAUAUAACUCGUUGAACAGUUGAACUUAGUUUACCAAAUAGACCUUCAGCUUUAAUUUGCAAACACGUAAGGGAACAAUCAGCAGAUUUUCGGGCUUCAAACUCUGAUUUCUUUUCAGAUUCUAAGAAUAUUUUGAAACUGAGAUCGAGGUAAACUCCAGGUGGUAAUACCAAACUUGACAACAAACGAAUAAAUUAAACCUUCUCAGUCAUACCUGGCUAAGAAGCUUAGGCUUGUCAAUAGUUGAAAAUAUUACUUCAUGAAUGGGAACAUGUGGUAUAUCUUGCCUGCGUUAUACAGCCCAAUGGUCAAUAUCAUUUCUGCAUAAUUAUACAUGUUUUUUCUUUAAAUGAGAAACAAAGUUUUACUAAAGAUACUCAAAAACACAGUACAAGACUCUGAACAAACUGGUCCACCAACAAAAUGAUUCAACUAAUGAAAAACAAAUCUGAAUUACACCUAUGACAAUGUAAUGGAACUUUCAAAAUUACCCUAUAAGAGCUUCCCAAUCUAAUAAGAUGUUAGAAAUUGGUAGAUCCCUAAAGGGUGGAGAAAAACAAGCUGAUAAGCAUAAAUGUGAUCUCUCAAAUAUACGGGCACAGUUCAUAUAAAAACUGCACAAUUAAAAUAUAAAGUAUAUGAAAAAGACCCGGAUAAAGGAGGAGGGGGAGGGCGUCAGGUAGUCGACAGCCGGCACUCCAUGAUCACGUCGAAUCCUUAUGAAAAUGAAUCCAGAACAAAAUCGCGCUAAAGCUAGGGCGUCACCCGUAAGUGGCGCGCUGUGUGGCCUGAGCACAGUGAUAAGUGAGCAAGGGUCGCUGUAUCUCCAUCGGCACCCGGAUGCAGUGUUAAAUGAGCAAGGGGGCCAUAGAAACUUCUUUUCGAACGACUCCACUCAAAGUUGUUUGGGAGCAUAUGCUCCUAUCAACUUUACCCGGGACACACAAAAGAAGUACUUUGAUCCUAUUAGACGGGGGAGGGUGAAGAAGCUAGGACAGAAGGGUAGAGUUCAAGAGAGCAAAAUGCGUUUAGGAACGUGGAAUAUAGGAACCUUAACGGGAAAAUCUAUGGAAGUAGUGGAAGUUAUGGUGAGGAGAAGGAUAAAUAUUAUGUGCCUACAAGAAACUAAGUGGGUUGGUAGUAAGGCAAAGGAUCUAGAAAACUCAGGGUUUAAACUUUGGUAUUCGGCACAAAUAGAACGAGAAACGGUGUUGGCAUCAUCGUGGACAAGACCUUGGUACAAGAUGUUGUAGAUGUCAAGAGGGUAGGAGAUAGAAUCAUGGCAAUCAAGAUUGUAAUAGGACAAGAACUUAUCAAUGUGAUUAGUGCGUACGCACCUCAAGUAGGGUUGGAUACGAGUUCGAAGGAGAAAUUUUGGGAAGAUCUUGGAGACUUGGUGCAAGGAAUUGCUCAGACGGAGAAGUUAUUUAUAGGAGGAGAUUUAAAUGGACACGUGGGCAGGGAGACAGGCAACUAUGGAGGUUUUCAUGGUGGCCAUGGUUUUGGGGAGAGAAACGAGGAUGGGGAAGCUAUCUUGGAUUUUGCAAUGGCAUAUGAUCUCUUCUUAGCCAACACCUUCUUUAAGAAGAGAGAAGAACAUGUGAUCACCUACAAGAGUGGGUCGUCAAAAACACAAAUAGAUUUUCUUCUAAUGAGGAAAGGGGAUCGUAUAACUUGUAAGGAUUGCAAAGUUAUACCAGGAGAGAGCGUGGCUAAUCAACAUCGCUUGUUGGUGAUGGAUGUACAUAUCAAAAGAGUAAGACAAAAGAACAAGACUUGGAAGUGCCCAAGGACUAGAUGGUGGAAUCUAAAAGAAGAAAAACAAGCCAUUUUCAAAGAGAAGGUAAUCACCCAAUGUGUGUGGGAUAGAGAGGGGGAAGCUAGCCAAAUGUGGGAUUCCAUGGCUAGUUGUAUCCGAAAAGUAGCAAAAGAGGUAUUAGGAGAGUCCAAGGGCUUUGCCCCACACCAAAAGGAAUCUUGGUGGUGGAAUGAGGAGGUACAAACAAAGGUGAAGGCUAAGAAGGAAUGUUGUAAAGCCUUAUACAAGGAGAGGACUGAUGAAAAUGGUGAAAGGUAUAGAAAAGCGAAGCAAGAGGCGAAGAAAGCUGUCAGAGAAGCUAAGUUAGCGGCUUACGACGAUAUGUAUAAACGACUAGAUACCAAAGAAGGAGAGUUGGAUAUCUAUAAACUAUCUAGAGCAAGGGAAAAAAGAAGACAAGGGACCUAAACCAAGUGAGGUGCAUCAAGGAUGAGGAUGGAAAGGUUCUUGCUACAGAGAACGCGGUUAAAGACAGAUGGAGAGGUUAUUUUCAUAAUCUUUUCAAUGAAGGACAUGAAAUGAGUGCUUCUUUAGGGGAGUUGAGUAACUCAGAAGAGUGUAGAAACUACUCUUUUUAUCGUCGAAUCCGGAAGGAAGAAGUGGUUGUAGCUUUGAAGAAGAUGAAGCAUAAAAAAGCAAUAGGCCCAGACGAUAUACCAAUCGAAGUGUGGAAACUUUUGGGAGAGACAGGUAUAACAUGGCUCACUGACCUUUUCAAUAGGAUUUUGAAAACGAAGAAGAUGCCAAAUGAGUGGCGAAUGAGCACUUUGGUGCCUAUCUACAAGAAUAAGGGCGACGUACAAAAUUGCAUGAACUAUAGGGGUAUUAAGCUAAUGAGUCAUACAAUGAAGCUCUGGGAGAGAGUCAUUGAGCAUAGAUUGAGGCAAGAGACACGGGUUUCGGACAACCAAUUCGGGUUCAUGCCAGGGCGCUCAACCAUGGAGGCAAUCUAUCUCUUACGAAGAUUGAUGGAAAUAUAUAGAGAUGGGAAAAAGGAUUUACACAUGGUCUUUAUAGAUUUGGAAAAAAGCGUAUGAUAGGGUCCCAAGAGACAUUCUUUGGAGGAUUUUAGAGAAGAAAGGAGUAGUACGAGUAGCAUAUAUCCAAGCUAUAAAGGAUAUGUAUGAAGGAGCAAAGACUGCCGUAAGAACUCAUGAAGGACAAACCGAAAGCUUUCCCAUAACUGUAGGAUUACAUCAAGGCUCAUCCUUAAGUCCUUACCUUUUUGCGUUGGUAAUGGAUGAGUUAACACGACAUAUUCAAGAUGAUAUUCCUUGGUGUAUGCUUUUCGCAGACGAUAUAGUGUUGAUAGAUGAAACUCAGGAAGGGGUAAAUGCAAAGCUUAACCUUUGGAGAGAAGUGUUGGAAUCUAAAGGUCUUCGCCUAAGCCGAUCAAAGACAGAAUAUAUGGAGUGCAAGUUCAGUGCAAAUGGAGGCCAAAACGAGUUAGGGGUGAGGAUCGGAGAUCAAGAAAUACCAAAGAGCGACCGUUUUCGUUACCUAGGAUCUAUCUUUGCAAAAGAACGGAGAAUUAGAUGGAGAUCUCAACCAUAGAAUACAAGCUGGAUGGAUGAAGUGGAAGAGUGCAUCCGGCGUGUUGUGUGACCGCCGUAUGCCACUGAAGCUCAAGGGAAAAUUUUAUAGGACGGCAAUAAGGCCGGCGAUGCUGUAUGGCACAGAAUGUUGGGCGGUGAAACAUCAACACGUACACAAAAUGGGUGUAGCGGAGAUGAGGAUGCUUCGUUGGAUGUGUGGGCACACGAGAAAGGAUAAGAUUAGGAAUGAGGAUAUCCGGGGUAAAGUAGGAGUAGCCGAAAUUGAAGGAAAGAUGAGAGAAAAUCGGUUACGGUGGUUUGGACAUGUGCAAAGAAGGCCUACUGACGCUCCGAUUAGAAGAUGCGACUAUGGGACAGAGGUUCAGGGCCGAAGGGGUAGAGGAAGACCUAGGAAAACUUUGGAAGAGACUCUAAGAAAAGACUUAGAGUACUUGGAUCUAACGAAGGAGGACAUGACACAGGAUCGAGCACAAUGGCGUUCUAAGAUUCAUAUAGCCGAUCCCACUCAGUGACUUGGAUUUUCCAAGUCUCCAACCGAGAAGUUUUCCUCACUCGGGAAAUUAAGGGAACACUACCCCAACCUACAUGCUCCACUCAGAAAGCUUCAACAUACAAGCUUCAACAAAAGAAAAUUCAAAGAACUUAGCGAAGAAGGCUUUGGUGUAUUUAACACAAUACGUUGAAAUGAAGGAAAGCUUAUUUAUUGAUAUCCCCGAUAAGCUACAAAUAUGUACAUAUACAUGAGUCAAAAUAAACACAAGAGGGAGCCUUCACAAAGGUUGCUUAGGAGAAGUCUCAGCAGUCGGUAGAGCCCCAGAAAGAGAAGGCACCGGAGGGGGAUCAUUUGGAGCCUCAGUACUGGACAGAACCCUAGAAGGAGGAGGCAUCAGAGGUUGAUCAUUUGGAGCUUCAUUACGCGGUACAGCCCCAGAAGACGAAGGCAAUAAAUGCCUUUGGAACAAACCCACAAAUCUCUGAUGAUCAAGUAAAACCUGACCAUCAGUUUCCUUCAUCUGGUCAAGCUUCCUCUUCAUGUUUGUAGCAUAGUCAUGUGCGAGCCGGUGCAACUGUUUAUUCUCAUGCUUGAGCCCUCUAAUCUCCUGUUUGAGACUCAUCACUUCAGCCGCCAAUGAUUCAACUUGGCGGGUUCGAGCAAAUAGGCGUUGGGCCAUAUUAGACACAGAACCUGCACACUGAACACUGAGAGCCAGCGAAUCCUUAACAGCUAACUCAUCAGACCGUUUGGAAAGUAGUCUGUUAUCUUUGGGAGUGAGAAGGUUCCUGGCCACCACCGCAGCGGUCAUAUCAUUCUUCAUCACGGAAUCCCCAACGGUAAGAGGACCAGUAGGGGAGACGAAGGAUGGGCGCCAUAUGUUGUCUGGAGAAGGCGGGGCUGCCUCUUCAACAAGGUUCAAGUCAAAACGACGGUCGGAGGGGCCAGACAUUUUCAAAGGUGUUGAAGAGAGAAGAGGUCGGACAAAUCAAGAUCUUAGAAGUGCAAGAAUGAAGCUUCUACUGGUGGAGAUUCAAGUGUGCUUUGGAACUUAAUGCCAGCCCCUAUAUAAAAAUCUGCACUCGACGAAGCUUUAGAAAUCGAAGAGGCGCCUGCUCAGAAAUCGAAGAGGCGUUUGCUUUCUCAAAAGCUGGGCUGCUUAGAGAUCACGAGGGUUGAUCUCAGAAAUCGAAGAGGUGUUUGCUUUCUCAAAAGUUAGGCUGCUCAAAGACCACGAAGGCCGAUCUCAAAAAUCGAAGAGGCGCUCGCUUUCUCAAAAGCUGGGCUCCCCAGAGACCACGGGGGCCGAUAUCAGAAAUCGAAGAGGCACCUACUUUUCCAGCCUUUUCCAGCCUUGUCAGCACCUGUCACACGCACACUCAGUUUUGCGGAAAUUAUGGGCAUUCUGUCAAAGACUUCUGGGGAAGUAGAAAACACAUGAAUCUUACUGUUCAAUCACCCACUUCCCACACGCAACAAUAGCUCAUGGGUACCACAGAUAACUUUGCCAAAGUUCUCUGCCAAAGUUGAGCACGUGAAGCUUGCAGCUCCUACUACAUCGCUCUGACCAAGAAGGGUAAAAGAAUAGCAAAGAAACAGCACUAACAAAGUUUAGACCCAUAAAUUUUGAAGGUCUAGCUACCAUAUUAUUACCCACAAGGGUAAAGGAACAGUACCACUGCUGGAUAAUUGGAAAGUCCCUGUGUGUCAACCUCUGUGCUUCGUGGCAAGGUAGACUAGCAAACAUGCCCAACCUUUACUCACAUUCGAGAAAACACUCCCAAUAAGAUUGCUUGCUCCAAAAUCGAAGAGGCACCGUCCUCCGAAUCUCGAGAGCCAGACUCCCAACAUGACUACUUUCUUAAAAAUCGAAGAGAGAGGGUAAAGGAACAGUACCAUUGCUGGAUAAUUGGAAAGUCCCUGUGUGUCAACCUCUGUGCUUCGUGGCAAGGUAGACUAGCAAACAUGCCCAACCUUUACUCACAUUCGAGAAAAACACUCCCAACAAGAUUGCUUGCUCCAAAAUCGAAGAGGCACCGCCCUCCGAAUCUCGAGAGCCAGACUCCCAACAUGAUUACUUUCUCAAAAAUCGAAGAGACACUGCUCCCCGAAUCUCGAGAGCCAGACCCCCAGCAUGAUUGCUUUUUCAAAAAUCGAUGAGGCAUCGUUCUCCGAAUCAAUCGAAGAGGCGCUCGCUUUCUCAAAAGCUGGGCUGCUCAGAGACCACGAGGGCCGAUCUCAGAAAUCGAAGAGGCACCUACUUUUCUAGCCUUGUCAGCACCUGUCACACGCACACUCAGCUUUGCAGAAAUUAUGGGCAUUCUGUCGAAGACUUCUGGUGAAGUAGAAAGCACAUGAAUCUUACUGUUCAAUCACCCACUUCCCACACGCAACAAUAGCUCAUGGGUACCACAAAUAACUUUGCCAAAGUUCUCUGCCAAAGUUGAGCACGUGAAGCUUGCAGCUCCCACUACAUCGCUCUGACCAAGAAAGGUAAAAGAAUAGCAAAGAAACAGCACUAACAAAAGUUUAGACACAUAAAUUUUUGAAGGUCUAGCUACCAUAUUAUUACCCACAACUGUAAAGGAACAGUACCACUGCUGGAUAAUUGGAAAGUCCAUGUGUGUCAACCUCUGUGCUUCGUGGCAAGGUAGACUAGCAAACAUGCCCAACCUUUACUCACAUUCGAGAAAACACUCCCAAUAAGAUUGCUUGCUCCAAAAUCGAAGAGGCACCGACCUCCGAAUCUCGAGAGCCAGACUCCCAACAUGAAUACUUACUCAAAAUCGAAGAGAGGGUAAAGGAACAGUACCAUUGCUGGAUAAUUGGAAAGUCCCUGUGUGUCAACCUUUGUGCUUCGUGGCAAGGUAGACUAGCAAACAUGCCCAACCUUUACUCACAUUCGAGACAACACUCCCAACAAGAUUGCUUGCUCCAAAAUCGAAGAGGCACCGCCCUCCGAAUCUCGAGAGCCAGACUCCCAACAUGAUUACUUCCUCAAAAAUCGAAGAGACACUGCUCUCCGAAUCUCGAGAGUCAUACCCCCAGCAUGAUUGCUUUCUCAAAAAUCGAAGAGGCAUCGUUCUCCGAAUCUCGAGAGCCAGAUACCACAGACCACUUUUUCAAAGUGCUCUGACAGAGUUAAAACAUGUGAAACUGGCAGCUCCCACUACCGUGCUAUGACCAAGCAGGGUAAAGGAAUAGCAUUACUACUUGUUGUUAGGGAGACUCCUAUAUAUGUCGACCUCCAUCCCCAACGGACAGGCAGACCUGCAAAAAUGCUCAACCCUUCAUCAUAUCUGAGAGGGCACUCCCAACGAAGCCUUUCGAAAUAUUCAGCUUUCUUUCCCCCCGAUAAUACCUCUGCAAACAAGCUAUACUAGAGCAAGAAUAUCUCAUAUCAUCAGGGUUAAAAGCAAGAGUAUCCCAUAUCAUGCUUUUUCCCUGUCUUUUCUUUUUGGCCUUGUUUUUACCUGCAAGACAAGGAGAAAGAGAGCAAUCAGUCAGCACUUGGAAUCAAGCUUCCAGCCAGGAACUGACUGCCUGGAACCCCUUACCUGAUUACUUACCUGGCAUUGCUCUCGAGUACUCAUCUUCAACAUCUUAUGUUUCCAGGGAAGAUUCCGCAUCUGCUUGAGGAACAGAUAGGGCAAGUGCGAAGGAUACAAGGAAGCAUGUGGAGACAAGCGUAACAGCACACGUGCCGAUACAUUCAUUACUCUGUCAAAAGCAAAAGUAUCCCAUAUCAGCAGGGUGGAACGUACUCUAGAUUUGAUGGACUUGUUUUGACCCUCAAAUUCUUCAGUCGGCCUUAUACUCUGGAGAAAACCAGAAAACCCUCCAGCUCAGUUCAAGAAUAAGCCUGUGGAAAGUUACUUCUUCAAAAGCAAAAGUAUCUCAUAUCAUCUCUUCUCAUUUUUCUUCUCUUUUAUCCUUCAUGCUGCUGCAAGAUGGGGAGAAGGUGAACAAUCAGUCGGAGCUCUGAUUGCUUACCUUGUCUGUCACCUCUUUCAGCAGACCCCUAGCUCGGCGACUUGGGGGACUCCUACUACAUGGUUUGUAUCGCGCUUGACCAAGCCUGAAACUACAAGUAAGCUUCAAGUGAAAUUGAUACAUUACCUUGUGCAUCUCCACCAGUUAAAGAUAUCCACCCCUGGAUGGAGGAAGAGUACUUCCAGAGAAGAUGCCACAUCUACCUAUGAGACAGAUAAGGCAAGUCAAGACGACACCACACUCCGAUACUUAGAAGUUUCGUGAUUACGAGAUCAUUCUCCCACAAUAUUUCCUAAUGUCAUUUGUACUAAAAUCAUUCACUUGUACUCACUAAAUGAGAGCUUGAACCUAUGUACUUGUGUAAACCCUUCACAAUUAAUGAGAACUCUUCUAUUCCGUGGACGUAGCCAAUCUGGGUGAACCACGUACAUCUUGUGUUUGCUUUCCUAUCUCUAUCCAUUUAUAUACUUAUCCACACUAAUGACCGGAGCAAUCUAGCGAAGAUCAUAAAAAGCGAUCGUUUUCGCUACCUAGGAUCUAUCUUGCAAGAGAACGGAGAAUUAGAUGGAGAUCUCAACCAUAGAAUACGAGCUGGAUGGAAAGAGUGCAUCCGGCGUGUUGUGUGACCGUCGUAGGCCACUGAAGCUCAAGGGAAAAUUUUAUAGGACGGCAAUAAGGCUAGCGAUGUUGUAUGGCACAGAAUGUUGGGUGGUGAAGCAUCAACACGUACACAAAAUGGGUGUAGCGGAGAUGAGGAUGCUUCGUGGGAUGUGUGGGCACACGAGAAAAGGAUAAGAUUGGGAAUGAGGAUAUCCGAGGUAAAGUAGGAGUAGCUGAAAUUGUAGGAAAGAUGAGAGAAAAUCGGCUCCGGUGAUUUUGAACAUGUGCAAAGAAGGCCGACUGACGCUCCGGUUCGAAGAUGUGACUACGGGACAGAGGUUCAGGGCCGAAGGGGUAGAGGAAGACCUAGGACAACUUUGGAAGAGACUCUAAGAAAAGACUUAGAGUACUUGGAUCUAACGGAGGACAUGACACAAAACCGAACGCAAUGGCGUUCUAGGAUUCAUAUAGCCGACCCCACUUAGUGGGAAAAGGCUUUGUUGUUGUUGUUGUUGUUGUUGUUGAUUAAGCAUUAAUAUCAGCAUAAAGAAAAAUUAUUUUCUAUUUUUAAUUUGGAAAAUAAGACCUUUAGCAUAUUACUUCAUAAAUAUGUGUAUUUACUAUUUAUGCGUGCAUGCAUAUGUUUGUCUUUAUACAAUUUCAUGAUCACAUUGUACACUUCUAUGUAUCAUGUCUACCCUUUAUACACAUGAAAUAUCAUAUACAGUAAUUGCUUGUCAACACAUUCAUUAGAGCUUUACAAAUCGUUUAUCUAAUUUCUGUUUGAUAAGAUACAACAAAUUUAUCAGAAUAAAAUUUUGAUAAAAAUAGUGCACAUUAAAGCAAGAAGAAAGUAAGUUUUAAACAAGUGUCUUCCAACCUAUAGAAAGAGGGCUUCUCAAAAUUCCACCCAAAACUUUAACACUGAAAGCCUAUAAUAAGGCAACAUACAUUAUUCUACCCCUAAUUGCUACAAAUUCUUGAUGCUUGACCCAUAGCAAUUUUUCAGUGUGCAUCUCAAUAUUAACUUAGUCUUCAUCAUCCCAAGUCCUCAAAAAUGUAUACGCAAAAUAUGAGAAGUCAAAUGAAGCAAAACAAUAACUAACUUCGCUGCACAUAACAAUCUGCUCCAUAACUUAACCAAUGCAUAUGUUCAUCCAAAAGAAAAUGAUGCAUCUAUUCACCAUUCUUUCUACUGUUAAUUCACCAUUUACGAUAUAAAGAAAGGUCUGACUCACCUUCGAAGAAAAUUACUAGUGCUAAAUUUUUCAUAAGCUUUGCCCAAGGUAAAAGUUAACUUUCCUAGGAACCAGUGGAUUCCAUUAAAUCUUUAGGAAAAAAACUGAUAGAGUGACAACCAAUCAACCUUCAGAAUAAAGAGUUCCUACAAAAGAGUUCCUCAAAAUAAUUAGGGACCAAAGCCAUUAUGACUUGUUGCUCUUGAUAUGCAAUGGGUUUCUAUUGAGCACUUUCAUUUUGGGUAUUGUUGGUUAGAGACCAAAAGCUUGCAGCUCACUAAGAUAAAGUAAACGAGUAAACCAAUAUAUUGGUGGCAAUUGAUGUAUCAAAUGGUAAGAAUUAAUCUGACAAUGUGAAAAGGAUGGUGAUUUUCACACCCCAUUUACCUCCCGCACACUCUUUCGAUUUUUUAAUAUCUUUUUGCUCUUCCAUCACUUUGUCUUUAUUUUAGAGGUGGGCCUUCACCAAGAGCAAACAAAUAUUAAAAUUUUGAAAAUGUGUGGGAAGUAACAUGGGGUGUGAGAAAAUCACCACCCAUGUGAAAAAAUUAAAAAUCUUGUUAUAAUGAACCCAGUAGUGCUUAUUCUAGAACAGAAAACAAGCCAACAAACUUUGGUUGAGUACCUUGUGGGAGAAUCCUUGGUCAGAUGUCUUCCGUCCAUAUCCUUAGCAUUCUUUCUAACAUCCAAAUUUAGGUCCCCGAGCUUAGAGCAAGGUUCAAAGUCAGCCGCACAAUUCCUAGUUUUACUCAGAGAAAUGAUAUAAAUAAAUGACAACCAAAAAAGGUCCACAGAUCAAUAUCCAGAGUCACCGAAACCCUUGUUGGGAAAAACUACGGCAAAAAGUUUAAGCACUCAGAGACAAAGUACAACACAGAUAUAAUAUGGUUAUUACCUAUCAUGUGACAGAGUAGCUCCUUCACUAGUUUCAUCACAUGAUGACCUUGGGGUUGAAACAACACUUGUACAUUGUUGAACAUCAUCAUCUUCGUCGUCUGUCCCCAUAGAAGUAUUCUGAUCAUAAGUACAUAAAAUGAUGAACAUAAGAGGAACUUAAUGAUAAAUAAAAGGGUAAAUCGCCAAAAUGGUCCCUGAGAUUUGCAUAACUUAUCACUUUGGUCCCCAAGAUUCCAAAUCGAUAAAAGUGGUCCCUGAGAUUGUCCACCAUCCAUCAUUUUGGUCCUUCCGUUAAGUGUCCCAGAGCUCUUGGCCAGAAGUUUGGGCAAUUUUCAAAGCUUCGUAACUCAAUCGUUUCUUAACCAAAUUCGAUCCAUAAUAUAUCAAAAUGAAGAUAGGAAAGUGUAGAAUAAGAUUAUACCUAUUUCGAAGCCCAAUGGUUGCCGGAGAUGGCCGGAAAAUAGCCUCAAAGUUGACUGGUCCGAGCGAAAACUUGAAAACUCGCCGGAAACUGGGUAAACUUUAAACGUUCGUAACUUCUUCAAUACUCAACGAAAUCAAGUGAUUCAAAAACGAAAAUCAUACUUCUCGAUGAGACAAAGAGAAUGGUCUAGGUACCAUUCUCUUUGUCUUGUCGAGAAGUAUUUCUCUUUGUCUCGUCGAGAAGUAUAAUUUUCGUUUUUGAAUCACUUGAUUUCGUUGAGUAUUGAAGAAAUUACGAACGUUUAAAGUUUACCCAAUUUCCGGCGAGUUUUCAAGUUUUCGCUUGGACCAGUCAACUUUGAGGCUAUUUUCCGGCCAUCUCCGACAACCAUUGGGCUUCGAAAUAGGUAUAAUCUUAUUCUACACUUUCCUAUCUUCAUUUUGAUAUAUUAUGGGUCGAAUUUGGUUAAGAAACGAUUGAGUUCCGAAGCUUUGAAAAUUGCCCAAACUUCCGGUCAAGAGCUCCGGGACACUUAACGGAGUUUUUAAUGGAAAAUGAUGGAUGGUGGACAAUCUCAAGGACCACUUUUAUUGAUUUGGAAUCUCAGGAACCAAAGUAAUGAGUUAUGCAAAUCUCAAGGACCAUUUUGGCGAUUUAGCCUAAAUAAAAUAGAAGGGGAAAAAAGAACUAAUGUCACAUUGGAACACCACACCACCAAAGUUUCUCAUGCUUUACAAGAUUCUGUAAGAUCUUAUUUUCAAGUGUAGUCAAGGCUUCUUUAGGUAAAGUGACAGUCAGUACAUGCAACAGGAUUCAUACAUUACUACACAUCGUGAUUGAUCCAUAUCCUGGUCAACAACAUUGUGAUAUCACAGUUCCAACAUUUUUUCCCAGAACCCCACAAUGUUUCCAAUAAAACAGCUAGUAAGAAAAUCCGAAUCAGACUAAAAGAAGGUAUAGUUGAAAUGCUAAUUAAUGAUAAUAACACGUAAAUAUCUAUCUGACGUAAUGACUUUUAAUUUUACUCUAAGAGACUAACCAUGUGGAGAAUCUUAUUGAAAGAAACUUGUAAUGACUUUUAAUUUCAAUCUAAGAGACUAACCAUGUGGAGAAUCUUAUUGAAAGAAACUUGUAUCAUUAAUUUAUCAAAGCAAUAUUAUUUCUGAGGUUAAGACUAAGGGCCUAGGUAAGGGAACUUUUGUUGAGUACUAACAUAGUGAAUAUCACAAGCAAAACUAGUGCGAAAAAUAGUCACCAAUUCGAGAUAAAUUUUUUAAAUGAACCUACAAGAGUUACAGUGAAUGUGCUAUAAAAAGGUUAGAUUAGAAUUUGGUUUUUAAGAACUUCACAUAGGCUGUCUCGUACACUUGUGAUGUAGACUCAAGUUUUCAAACCCAAAGCGCACAAGUUUGCAUUAAUAGGCAAGGAAUUUAUAGUCCUACAUAUUGGAACUUGAAAUCAUGCACCAACUUUAUCUUCUUCUUCUCGACUGAAGCCCUUUACCUAGUGCAAGCCAGAGACAAAAUAAAGUAGUAGUACUGAACCAUUUGUGUUACUUAUAACCUUCUUCUUCUCCGUUGAAACCACUGCUCUAUACCUUUUAAGGAUAACAUUUUCCCAAUUAUUCCAUCAUUUCUCAAAGCUAACCAUGGUUAGGGACAUUAUGAGUCAGAGUAAUUAUCAAGGAAGUCAUUGAUACCCCAUCCUUCUUUCCCACUCGCGAUUACUACAUAUAUGAACCUUUUGUGGCUUUAAAAGGAAAUAUAGUAUUCAUCCAAAUAAUUUAAAUUUUUUCUGGAAAAUAAUGAUUACGUGAAUGCAAGUUGUUGCAAACAAUCUAAAACGUGGCUUUUUAUAACAACAGGAAAUAAACUAAUACUUGGUUUAGCACUGGGACUCAAAGAAACUCUAGUUCAGAACAAGAUUCCAAACAUAAAAUACUGAAGCAAAUGAUGCGGAAUACCUCCAUGAAACGGAUAUGAUACACGGGCCGCUUCUCAGGGUCUUUUGCCAAUGCAAGAAGCUUUUGAUGUAACAAGACAUCUUCCACUCUAUCCAAGUUAACAUCAAGUCCGUAACUGCGCAGAAAACAAAAUUAGUAAAAUAAAUAAAUAAUGUAGAAUUCAUAGAAUUAGGUUCAUCAUCCUCCACAUCUAAAGAAAAAUGAAACAUUCAUGCUAUGGCUCUUAUGAAGUUUUACAGUGGAAAAUAUCUUGGAAAAUAUAGUGAAUACUUUUCCCAGUAAGGUUUUAAACAAAGCUUCAACAUAACAUAAGGUCUGGAAAGGUUGGCCUUGAAAUAACAUUUCUUGACAGACCUAAGGAAAAUUUUGUGCCUCCUGGAAAGGUACUUCCAAAAAGAAUUGACUGCGAAGUGCGGAACUAAUUUCAGUCCAUACACACAUUGCAGAGUUUCAAUUGUAAACCUUUACACUAGUCACAUGGUCAAACCGACCAACUCUUACAGAAAUAAUAGGCAAGAAAACAACACUCAAACAGCACUGCCAGCUCAAAAAAUAAUCAGGUCCAUACAGAACAAAUAUUAGAUCACAUAACCAAUUUGAUAUUCAAACAUAUGCAUAAACUUAUUCGUGCUCAAACAUUAAAAACUUCACUGAUACUGCUCCGAAAGCAUAUUAACUCAAGAAAUCAAUCAUGUUGGGAUCAUCAUUUGAGACUCUAAGAGCUUCAUAAGGGUUCGUACUUCAAUAAUACGGUUCGUACCAUAAUACACCAAUCCCAAAACUACGGAGCACUGGUUAACCAAAUAUCUUCGAAGACCUACUGAAGGGUUCAUGUUGAGACACCCCUACCUAAGCACAUGAGUUUCUCUCCAACCAGGAGCCCAAUCACAAUGCUAAAGCUUCUAAAGUCCCACAUCAACCACAGACGAAAUAGGCAAUUCUCCUCAACUAUAAAAGGAGAUUGUUCUCCCACAAUUGAUCCCUGAUGAUCUUAUUUUGCUUAAUCCACUAUUAGAACUCACUAAGUAAUGAUUCUGUCUAAAUCCUUGUAUCAUGUAAACUCUCUCUACAUUAUUUAUGAGAACUCCUCCAUCCGACGUAGCCCAAUUUAAGGUGAACCAUGUAUGAUUGCUGCCCUUUUAUCCCUUAACUCUGUACAUACUCUCAUCACUAGGUGACCGAAGCAACUUAGCAAGGAUCGCAUAUUGACACUCUACGUUAUUCCAAAGUCAACCCAGUUUUGUGCAUCAACAAAUACAAUAAUGUUUUGUUCUGAAAAAACUAAUUCCAGAAAUAAAUCAAUGGCGGAAGUUCGUUAAAAUUAAAGAAUAAAAAGAAAUGAAAUGAAAAACAAUCUUAUAGAGGAAAGCGAUCGAAGGGGAAUACCUAGGCGGCAAGCGGUUGAAGUGACCGUCCAACUGUUCACGGAAUUCGGGCAGAGUCAGAGCGUCUUCAUGGCCGCUCUCCACCAAGCGGUUGUAGACAUCGUUUCGGACAUCGUAGUUACUGAAGCUGACGAAGCUUCUCGGCGGCGACGAGCUCUCUCCGACGCCCUCGGUCAAAUCCAUAGGGGAAGCUCAAGUCAGCAGGUUUUCCACGAAAAUACAGAAGAGAAGGAGGAGAAAGCGAGCUCGGAGAGUUGUCAAUGAUAAGCAGAGGAUCUUUGACUGUUGGUGGAAUCCGGGAAGAAGACGAGGAUCUGUUGGGGAUUUCGGGCGGAAAGCAGAGGGCAAUUUCGUCAUACAAAAUCACUGUAGCAUCGUGAAGUUUCUCGAGAGCGAAGGCUAGUUUGGAGGAGAGAAUGUCAUGGUUGGAGUGAGUGAGUAGAGAGACAAAAGAAGACCUCCGUCUCAGCAAGAGAAAACUUUUUCCAUUUUUUAAUUUUUUUUUUAUAUAUAUUAUAUAUCAAAUAAUGUGGAUUGGAUAUGGUUGAAAAUGUGGGACAAUAUAAUAAUGUUUUGUAGUUAAGAAAACGCCUCGGUUUUUGAUAGAUUUUUUUUCAAUGUGAUCGUAUAUACGAAACGGUAUGUUAUAUGUUGUUGUUAAAGUAAAAUAAAAUUUUAUUUUAAAUUUAUUCUCUUAACUUAUAUAAUAAUUUAUGAUAUAUGUAACCGCGUUUUGGAUAUAUUGAAAAACCACUCUUAAAUUUUGGGCACAAUUUCAUGUGAGUCACAUCAUGUUGUAUAGGAGAAAAUAUGGCCUGCUGUUUACAAGUAAUCACAUAAAAAAGCUCAUACCAUAAUUAUGACGCAAUUGUAUAUUUAUUCUUUCUCUAAUAAUGGAUUCUCAUUUUGUAGAGAGGGAAAUGUUAAGGAGACUCAUAGUUUUUUAGGAUUGUGUUAUUCACACAUCCUGUUUAUCUUUCACAUAUUCCUCUUAGUUUUUACAAUCGGACCGAAUUAAUUAAAAAAUAUUAAAAAACAGAAAUUAACAAAAAAUGUGUAGAAAGUAAAAAUAAGAUGUGGAUAACACCACCUUUUUCUUAUUGUGAGUAGCAUAUCUAAUCACUAGAAGCAUUAGAUAUAUCCUAUGGAAGUUGAAAGCAAGUGUUCUGUUUAUAAGUGCUUACAAAAUUAUUUUUUAUUUAUUUAAUACGAAAAAGAGAUUACAAAGUAGAAGUGCUUAAGAGAAUAACACACCAAAACGAUCAAAAAGCAUCUGGCACAUAUAAAGGUACCAUUAUUCCACAACUGAGAAACGUGGAACUUUAUGUCCUAGGGCGUCCGCUACAAAGUUGACCACGAAGAAAGGAAUGAGAGUCCGAAUGUCUUUGAGUAAAGUAACGAGCGUCCAUGGAAGUUGAAUAUAGUGUAGACAACAAUCAUGACAUCCCCUUCAACUUUGACAUCUCUCCACCUAUGAGUGAAGGAUAGAGACACACUUUGAUCCAGAUAUCCAGGUAGACACUAAAAUUGAGGCAUGUUGACUAACAUUUAGAAGAUCACGAAGUCAUAACAUGUAAAUAAUGUGUAGAUUGUAUAAAUAAAUUAAAGAUUAUAAAUGCAUGUAAUGAAAAGAAGAGUAUCUAAUUAUACACAGCCAAUAUUCAAAACAUAUAGGUAUGUACACGCAAUUUAAAAUUAAAAAAAAAAAAGAUUCUGGAUUGUACUUAAAAGUAACAUUCGCCUUAAAACAUUCAUAAAUUCAUGAAAAUAUGACUUGAGCUUCUCCUAUGGACAUGGAAGAUAUGUUUGGUGAUGCAUUAGAGUAUGAUCCGCAUACAUCUUUGCAUAUAAAUUGGCCAAGAUAGGAAGUCUUUGACGGAUUAUGCCGUUUACCGCAGUAGACUUCGAGUUUUAGAAGACCAUCACACUCUUUGUAAUGGUAUGGUCAAUCAGAUGGUCGAGUAAAGAGUCACUUAAUUAAUAUUGCUUGUUCUUAUGUUCCUUUAUUUUUAUUUUUAUUUUUGAAGUCGGGUAUGAUUUAAUUUACGUAAUUGUUUAAUUUUAUUUAUGUAAUUGUGUGUUUUUAUGUAAUAGUGUGCUUUUAUUUAUAUUCUCAGUAUAACAACAAGUAUAAGCACGAAGAUAAUUAUCAUUAAGAAUAUUGACAUUAAAUUACAUAAAAGCAUUGAGUAAAUAGCAAUCAUAAAAAUAUUAACAUUACAUGAGCAUAAAAGAAUUGAGUAAAUAUAAUCAUAAACGUCACUGUACGUGGCAACAUGCUGCUAGUUGAUGAUUCAGUGGUUAAGGACGGAUUACAAGGCUUUCUUCAAACUAAAAAUUGGAGGUAUCGGGUCCGAACCUUGCUACUGGUGUGGACGCUAGACUUGUGACCAGGAGGAGGCUAAAAUGUCUCUGUAAGUCUUCCCGGCCCUUGAAAGAGAUGGAUAACCGUAGCUUACCAAUUGUUAUCCGCUCUAUAACCAACGGGGAGCUCUCCGUAGCUCGUUUGACUUCAGCAGUGAAUGAAUCAAAUAUCCACGUCGAUCUGCUUGAGGUAGCUAGAUCACCCUAAUCUAUGGAAGUUUAUUAUUUCCAAAUCUAUCUACGAUUAACCCCCAAUAUUUUCAAACAUAAUAAUACUUAACGAAGUGGAAUAAAAAUAAAUAAAAUAAACUUUGAAUUUUGCUACAGAUACUCGAGGUGUACAUAUACAAUAUGUGGACAUAUAUAUACCUUGACGAGAAGCUUGAGGCAAAUAUCAUCAGACUGGGCUGCAGAGCCCUUGGUCGUUUUGUUCUUAUUUCUGGCAAAAAGAUCAACCUCCUAUACAUCAGUACAUACAAUAUUAUUAAGUAAUAUACAUGCAAUACAAAAACGAGAUAGAGAGGGCGCUUGGAGCGCAAUUGCUUGGUUGCUGCUAAUGCCGAUGAAGCAAAGGUUUUUAGAAGCUUUAUAGAAUAAUGGAUAUAAUGGAACUUGAUGACAUAUGUGAGAAUAUGAUGAACGUUAUAUUUUUGAAGCUCUUUUUAUUAUGCCGACAAAUAUAUUAAUUUAUAUUUCUGAAAUGGUUUAUAGUGUGAAUAUUGUAGAGUAAAAUUUUGGUGCAUCUGAAAAACCAUCACGUGUUAUUAUUUCAUUCAAAACUAUAACACAUGUAUUUUCUUUUUUUAUUUAAUAUUCCUAAAAGACUAACAUUUCAACUAUGUACCAAAGCUACGGAAGUUUGUAGUUUCGAAUAUAUUGGUAGCUAAAUCACCCAACUCUACAACUUCAUUGCUUCGACUUUCUUUUGGCUAACAAAACGCCAAGCCAAACGACUUUGGAUAAAUCUUUAUCCACCUGCUAACCAAUCAUUUAUGCCCAGCUCUACCAUAAGAAGGAGAGGUUGUUCCGAAAGAGAUUUGCAAAAGGUUUUGUUCCAAUAAGGAUACUACUGUUCAACUCUCCACGAAGUUACACACAAAAAAUAAUAAUAAUAAUAAUAAUAAUAUGCACUUGUGAGAAGUGCCAACACUGUGCCACGAUCCCACACAUUCAUGUUAAACCUCUUAGAAGAGCAUAGGACCAGGUUGACGUAAGGAACGUCGCUAAUCAAGACGUCUCAAAUUACUACGGUUCUAGAGUCAACGUCUGCUCUUUAAAACUAUGAGACUAGGUGUUGAAGAAGAAAAUAUCAAAUAAACAAGACUCAAUUGUGAGUACACUUGACAUGAAUUGGGACAGACCAUACGAGAUCAUUGACAUAUAUCGCCCAGGCACAUACAUACUUAAAGAUGGCAGAACACAUGAUCAUCCAUGUAAUGUUGAUCAUCUAAAGUAUUACUACAAGUAGACAGUUCAACAUACUUAGUGAAGAGUCAAUUCAGACAAACUUUGUCUCAACCUGACACCUUAAACAAUCGUACUUAGCCAAACUUUAAAACAAACCAACAUUAUAACUUAAAAGCUCAUCCAUACAUACCUCAAUGAAGUUUAAAACCACCUUCAAAAAGGAACAUGAUUCAUAAGAGCAUCAACAUAAACUUUAAACAUGAUAAAAAUUCCACGAAGACAAAUCCACAAGGUAUCCAAGUCAAUGAUCAAUCAUAUUUAAAGCCAACAUUAGUACAUAAUUUUUUUAUUUUUAAAGUCAACAAGAGAAUACAACCUAAGUUUAGGACGCAACAAUCAACAUUCUCAUAAUAAAACUAAGAGACCACAAAUUCAUUCUCAAAGCAAAGUCAAGAUGCAAUAAUCAUCUUACAAAACCAUUUUGUUUUUUUUUUUCAAUAUAUUGAAUGAUGAGGUGUAACAACCCGUCCCAAAUUUUACAAUUUUAUAAAUUUUAAAAGUGUGAAUUGAUGAAAAUGCCCUAGAGGCAAGGAUUUUGACUUCCGUUGACCAUCAAUUUGAGAGAUGUAUGACUUAUUCUUUUAGCGUAAUUGUGUAGUACUCGUUAGUACGAACGCAUAGGUGAAGACCGUUUGCGAGUCUGAAUUAUAAUGGUAUAGAUAGGGACAUUUGAAAUUGUGUUACUAAACUAUAGAUUUAAAUUUAAUUAAGCUUCCCUCAAAUGUAUGUUAAUUAUGGGACCAAUUAGAUAAAUAUUUGAGGGACCAAUCAGCAUGGGUAACGAAAAGGGGAUCAGCCAAUCAGAAAAAAAAAAAAAAAAAAAAAAAAAGAGGGAGGGGGGUGGACUCCCAACUUUCCCGUGCACCCUUGAACCAUCCCGAUUUCAAAUCGGCGAACUUUCGCCAGUUUUUUGUUGAUCACCACCAUCCAUCACCUGCAACAUCUUUCACAUCUUCCCCUCUACUAUUUCCACUCAAAUUUGGGAUUUUUUUUAAGGUCAAAACCUUGUAAAACUGUGAGGGGUGGCCGAAAGUGUUCCACGGCGAUUCUGCCGUUCCGGCGAGUUUCACCACUCAUCACCACCUCUAAUCUACUCCCCUUGGACCCAGGAACAAAGCCCAAACAACCUUGGAGGCGUCGGAGCACCGGUGACGACGAAUUAAAGCACACCCAUUCUAGGGUUCUGGUGGGUUCGUGGAAAAUUGAGGCUCUUCCAGGUCAAAUUGGCCUUGGUCAUAGGUAUGAAAGUUGCUCCACUCAUUGAGAUCUUCAUUUCUGUGAAGUUUGAGAAUUUUUAGAAAUAGUUGGAUUUUCCGACGAGUUGGGGUGGCCGACCACCACCCACUGCGGCGCGUGCGGCGGCACGUGGCCACUUUUAGGCUAAAUUAGAUGUCUUGAAUUCAGUUUUGAUAUUCGUAUAAUGUAGGUUGAUCGUUUGAAUCUAAAUUCAUUACGAUACGUUAUUUGGUAAAAAUGUGAAUCGACGAUCCAACCGUUGGAUCGUCACUAAACUUUAAUACAUUCUAGUACAUAAUAUUUAAGGACCAUAGAAACUUACGGAUUAGGAAUCUGAUGAACAAAUCUUCCUGAAUUGGAUUUGUAAGUUUAUAAAAUAAAUGUUAACCGUCAUUUAGUUUUGGCAAUUGACGGAAGUCCGACCGUUAGAUCGUAAUGAAAUUUUAGUAUGUUAUUCUAGAAGCAUAAUUUGGAUCUUUAGAAGUUUCGGAUUGGAAAUCUGAUAUGCGGAUCUUCCGAAGUGAGUUUACAGGGUUGUAGACCCAACCGUCGAUCUUUGAUCGACGGUUGACUUAUGGUCAAUGGGUCUCAAACUAUUUUAGAAUGUCCUUGAGAAUGUGUUUUAUGUGAAUUACAUAUUCUAUUGAUAAGAGUUAUGAGAUGUGAUUAUGUAAUUGUUCUAGGCGCCAAUUAUUCGAGACGCCUCAAUGCAAGUGCUAGAGAAUCAUAGUGUGGACUCUAGGUGAGUGGGUCUUUUCCUUUUAUCAUAGGUAUAUAAUUGAUAGUUCCUCAAAUGCUUCUAAAGUGAAUUAUGCAUGUUACCUACAAUUAAUUAUUGUGAACUACGAAUGGCUUAAUCCCUAUUUAGGGUACAUAGGCAGUCUAACGAUACGUUAGAUGCAGCCAUACAAUAAAUGAGACUAACUAACUGAGACAAUAGUCUUGUUUAGGGAAUUGAGUAAUGUGAGGGACAUUGGUGGAAAAUAUAAGAUUUAACUUUAUGAUUUGGUGUUUAAAUAUUGGUCAUAAAUCAAUGAAUGAAGAAUCAGGAAUUUGAAGUAAGGAAACGUAAGUAAUGAUGGUUAAUUAAACUAGUAUCUAGUAGGGCUUACCAUUGAUAAUUAUCUCCGAAAAUAAGUAGUUCGGGAGUAGGGCGUUAUAGAUUAUGCAUUUCACACCAUGUUAUAUAUAUACUUGAAAAUACUAUGUUAUAGUUGAGUUUUAAAUUGCAUCAUGACAUAUUUAUAUGUGUAUCACCUAAACCUAAUUAUUGUGAAUGCUUCGAAGUGCCAAAUGAUGUUGCGGACGCCCAGGUAAGCUUCAGGUGAGUACACGUUGAUGAUAGUGAUGGUAGUGAGAUAUGUGAUGAGAUAUUAAUUGGCUAGCAUGUUGAUGAGAUAUUGAUUUAGCCGUACAGUUCACGUGAGGUGACUCUGGCUAGUAUAUUGAUGAGAUAUGUGAUGAGAUAUGGAUGAUGAGAUAUUGAUUUAGCUGUACAGGUCACAUAAGGUGACUCCAGCUAGUAUAUUGAUGAGACAUGUGAUGAGAUAUGGAUGAUGAGAUAUUAAUUGGCUAGCAUGUUGAUGAGAUAUUGAUUCAGUCGUACAGGUCACGCUAGGUGACUCCGGCUAGUAUAUUGAUGAGAUAUAUUAAGAGAUAUAAAUAAAGUUGUACAUGUCACUAUAAGUGACUCUGACUUAUAUGCUAGCAAUGAUUAAUAAGAUAUAUGAGGAGAUAUAAAUAAAGCUGUAUAGGUCACUAUAAGUGACUUCGGCUUAUAUGCUAGGAACGAUUAAUGAGAUAUGUGAGGAGAUACGGAUAAGUUGUACAGGUCACUAGAGGUGACUCCGACUUAUAAGCUAGCAUAUGUGACGAAUAUGUGAUAAGCUAGCAUAUGUGAUAAAUAUGCGAUGAGCUAGCAUAUGUGAUGAAUAUGUGAUAAGCUAGCAUAUAUGACGAAUAUGUGAUAAGCUAGCAUAUGUGAUAAAUAUGUGAUAAGCUAGCAUAUAUGAUGAAUAUGUGAUAAGCUAGCAUAUGUGAUGAAUAUGCGAUGAGCUAGCAUAUGUGAUAAGCUAGCAUAUGUGAUGAAUAUGUAAUAAGCUAGCAUAUGUGAUGAAUAUAUGAUAAGCUAGCAUAUGUGAUGAAUAUGUGAUAAGCUAGCAUAGGUGAUGAAUAUGUAAUAAGCUAGCAUAUGUGAUGAAUAUGCGAUAAGCUAGCAUAUGUGAUGAAUAUGCGAUGAGCUAGCAUAUGUGAUGAAUAUGCGAUGAACUAGUAUAUGUGAUGAGAUACAGGUAAGUCGUACAGGUCACCAUAGGUGACUUCAACUUGGGUACUAGCAUGAGUUAUUAAUCACAUGAUUAUUUGAUAUUGCUAACGAGAUGCUGUCUUGUGGUAUAUUUAUGAUAUUUUCUGAAAAUUAUACAGGUGUUGUAGCGAGGGGUUAUAAUGUUUUAAAUGGUUUCUAUUAAAAUUUAUUCACAGGGCUACUCACCUUUGUCUUGUCUUCACCCUCCAGGUUUUAUUAGCUGAGUUUUCUUAUCGUUGAAGAUUCGUGGCGGUUCUUGGUAUUGAAGAUUAUUUCGAGGGUACAAUUCUUAAUUCACUCUUAUGUACUUGCUUAUGCUCUAACAUUACGUGUGAAGUAGAUUCAUUCCCGCUCACCGGUGUACUCUGGUAUUUAGGCACUCUUAGGUUUUAAAUUAUUCACAUUUUUCCACAUCAUCACACUUUAUGGAUUCGUCACCUUCCAGGUGUCGGCCAGCACAGUUCGAUUCGGAGUCCUAGUAAACAUUCCGGGUCGGGGUAUGUUAUGAGGAGUGGCUAGGUUAAAGUUGUGGGGCAAUAUGUUAUGAAAGAAGCAGAAGCGAGAAUGUCAACUUGAGUAACAUAAACAUUGGUGAUGGGUUCUCCAUUAAUUUUCAUUUCUUCUAUGCAACGCGGGAUAGGUCAACAUGGUAGCUUGAUAUAGAAGAAUAUAUUUUGUGUUUUAGAAACAAAUUUUUUGUGAGUCACGUCGUAUUUUAUACAAAAAAAUGUGGGCCAUGAACUGCUAUUUACACAUAAUCACAAAAAUAAAUAAAUAAAUUCAUGCCAUGAUUAUGAUGUAGCUCCACAACUAUAAGCUUAUCUGGGAUGCAUUCUGAUAAGCUGACGAACUAGUGUACACAAUUGUAUUUUCAUUUGUUCGAAUAACUGGAGUUGAAUUUUGUUUAGUAUUAUCAUGUUUAUUUUUAUUUUUAUUUUUUACCUUAAGUAGCAUAUCCGGUUACUAGAAGCAUUACACAUAUCUUAUCUAUUUUCAUGUAAUGAGAGUGUGAGGCAAGUGUUUUGUUUAAGAAAAUGUUGAUAAGACAACUUUAUUUGGUACGGGAAAGAGAUUACAAACGAAAACACCUAGGGCGUAAUAAAGGGUAGAACUUGCAUAGGAAAAUUCUAUUCGAACCAAAAAGUUAUCAAAUAUUCUAUCCAAUUUAAAUAUGAAUCCAUGAAGUUUCGAAAUCCGAAAAAUUAAAAAAUACUGGAUAAGAACAGGAAUACAAUUUGCAAUUUGUAUAACAAUCUGUCCUUAAUUUUAAGAUUUUAUUAAUUUUAAAUGUGUGAAUUAAUCAAAAUGUUCUUAAAGGUUAGAUUGUUGACUUUCGUUGAUCGUUAUCUUAUAAUACAUACAAGCUACUAUUUUACUGUAUUUGCAUAUUACUCAUUACUACGAAUGUACAUGAUAAAGAUUUUACGAAAUUACGAAAUCAGGAGGUAUUUUAGCAGAUUCACUAUUCUGGAUAAUUUUUUCCUUAUUAUUUUAUAUUUUUCUGGUGGAAUUUUGUGUCUUGUGGAACCCAUACCCCACUUCUUCCUUGUCCCCGUGUCCCAUUUUCGCCAUACUUCUUGGUCUCUCUCAUUUCAAUCUCUCUCUUUGCCUUGUCACUCCAUCUCUUCUUCUGCCACCUUACCACCACCUACUCUCUCUCUCUAAAAAUCUCUCAUCUCUCACUCUCCAUUUAUUUGUCUCUCGGCAAACACCGAAUGGGUGCAAUGGCAACGCCAUCAUCGCCGCUAACCUUGUUACCCUGACGAGAUUUACGAGUUUUCCAGCCCAGAAACUAGGAUCUCAUACUGCCAACUCAACCCAGACAUGAACUUGCGCUGCUAGUGGUCGCUGCACUGUUCACUGUGUUCUCUGGCGAGGUUCUCAAUUUUUUUCGACUAAGGUGUGAUAAUACACCACUAAUAAUACCUUCGAAGAACUCACAGAAAGAUACAGAGAUCAAAGAGAAAGAAGAAGAGAAAGAAUAGAGAAAGAAACUGUAUUGAUUUGUGUAUAUUCCUUACUGAAUUACAAUAUCUGUUAUUCAGUUAUUUAUACAUGGAAUCCAAACUUAGCUAGUAAGCUAUUCACGUAACUAACUAACUAACAUAAGCUGAAUUGGCUGUCUAUCUGACCCUUGAAUGUUGUAAUGAGUUGGCAGUUCAUCUAGCCAUUGAUUUAUGAUACUCAACAUUCCCCCUCAAUCGUGGCUGGGGUACUCAGCCUAAGAUUGUAACAAUGUCGAAGAAAGGCAAGGCUGUGAAGACCUUUUGUAAGAACAUCCGCAGUUUGAUCUUCAGUUGGAAUGUAAACCACCUUCAGAUCUCCUUGUUGAACACGUUCUCUCACAAAAUGAAAGUCAGUAUCAAGAUGUUUGAUACGAGAAUGAAAAACAGGAUUUGCAGUAAGGGCAAUGGCUGACAUAUUAUCACAAUGAAUUAUGGGAGGUGAAGGCAUACACACUUCUAAAUCCUUUAGGAUUCCCCUUAUCCAAGCAACAUCAGCUGCGGUAUGGGCAAGAGCCUUAUAUUCAGCCUCAGUUGAGCUUCUUGAUACUGAACAUUGUUUCUUUGAUUGCCAAGACACGGGAUUGUUGCCUAGAUACACUACAUAUCCUGUGAUUGACCUUCGAGUAUUGAGAUCAGCUGCCCAAUCAGCAUCUGAAAAAGCAGUGAUUGUCCUUGUCGUCAUUUGAUUAGCUGAAUAUAAUAUCCCAUGGUGCAGUGUACCAUGAAGAUAUCUGAGUAUUCGUUUCACUGCUGCAUAAUGCCUUUAUGUCGGAGAACUCAUGAACUGACAUACUGUAUUAACCGCAUAUGCAAUAUCGGGCCUAGUCAAGGUCAGAUACUGCAACGAUCCGACGAUACUCCUAUAAAGCGAUGGAUCAGACAUUAAAGAACCAUCAGAAAAUAGCAUUUGAUCAUGAGGUUUGCAUGGAGUAGCAGCAGGUUUACAUGUGUCCAUACCUGCCUUAUGGAUCACAUCCUUUAUAUAUUUUGAUUGAUGCACAAAGAUAUCCCUAUUAUUCUUAUACGAGAACUGCAAUCCCAGAAAAAAUGUCAAUUGUCCCAUAUCCUUAAGAUCAAAGACUUCAGAUAACUCAUCAAUCAUCUUUUGAAUCUUGAUAGAAUUGGAACCGGUCAAUAUAAUAUCGUCAACAUAAAGGAGAAGAAUAACAAUAUCCCCAUCAUCCUGCUUGAUAAACAAACUUGUAUCAGAAACUGAAGCCUGAAAAUUCAUGGCAGUCAAGUAAGAUGUGAACUUUGAAUUCCACACCCUUGGAGCUUGUUUCAAACCAUAUAGGGAUUUGAUUAAUUUGCACACAUGAGUGGGAUGGGAUGCAUCGACAAACCCUUGUGGUUGUUUCAUGUAAAUCUCUUCUUGCAAGUCACCGUGCAAGAACGCAUUUUUAAUGUCAAGCUGUCGAAGUUUCCAAUGGUUACUUGCUGCUAAGGCCAAUACAAUCCUCACCGUAGUAUGCCUCACUACCGGACUAAAGGUAUCCAAGUAAUCAAUACCUUGUUCCUGAGAAAAUCCUUGAGCCACAAGCCGUGCUUUAUACCUGGAAACACUGCCAUCAGGAUUUUUCUUCACUUUAUACACCCAUUUGCUGCCAACAAUAGAUCUGUCACUUGGAGGUGGUACUAGAAUCCAAGUGCCUUGACUUCGAAGGGAAUCAUAUUCUUCUUGCAUCGCUUGCUGCCAUUGGGGUAGUGAAGCAGCUUUUCUAAAUGUAUUUGGUUCAGAGGUAUCAGUGAUGGCAGAAAUAAAACUAUAGCCUCCACUAAAACAAUCGUCUUCAGUGAGCUGCAAAGAUUGCAACUCAGGAAAUGAUGUUAUAAAUGCAGUAUAAUCUCGUCUUUGAAUGACACCACUUUUCAACCUUGUUACCAUCUGGUGAACAGACUCAGAAGGAUUUAUAUUAUCAGAAGGAUCUGUGGUAAUGAAAGAUUCAUUUUGCGAUGAAAAUGGCAAGAUUACCUGAAGUUGGGAAUCUGAAUGGACAGGCAACACUGAUGAUGUACCAGAGUGAUGAUGAGGGGAAUAAGACUCUUGAUCUCGCUGUGAAACCAAAACUGACUCCCUAGAAUCUCUUGAUUGUGACUCAAUUACAGUAUUCAUAACUGGUGUAGCCGAUGACACUGAAUUGCCUUCUUCUGGAAUACCAUGAUCAUCAUGCUGUACAUUGGGAGUAUUUGAAGCUAGAUGAGGCAUUCGAAUAGCUAUAUACUGUUGAUGAGACUUUAGAGAAAUUCCUGAAUUGACACCUUUGGUACAAGAAUCUAGUUGAAAAGGAUAAACAUCCUCAUCAUGUAUAACAUGCCUUGAAAUAAUGAACUUCCUACUAUGAAUAUCAUAACAUAGCACUCCUUUGUAUCCCAUUGCAAAUCCAAGAAAAACACAUUGACUUGAUCUAGCUUGUAGCUUAUUUCGAUUAUAAGGUCUAAGAUAUGGAUAUAUUGCUGUCCCAAACACUUUAAGAUUGUGGAUUGCAGCAUUGUCACCAAACAAAAUCUGAUAAGGUGACUUAUGAUCCAAACCUUUGCAUGACAUCCUAUUUAUCAAAAACGCAGCAUAUGAACAAGCAUGAUACCAAAACACAAUAGGAAUUGAAGCUUCUGUCAUCAAACUUAAAGCAGUUUCAACUAAAUGCCUAUGCUUCCUUUCUGCAAUGCCAUUCUGUUGAGGUGUAUAAGGACACGAAAUCUGAUGCAGAAUACCUUUUUGAUCCAGAAAACCUUUCAUCAUACUAUUGGCAUACUCACCACCACCAUCAGUUUGAAAACAUUUAAUUGAACUGUUAAACUGUGCCUGAACAAAAGCAUAAAACUUGGCAAAAAUCGGAAACACAUCUGAUUUAUUUAUCAUUGGAAAAAUCCAUACAAAUCUUGAGAAGUCAUCUACAAAGCUGACAUAAUACCUAUACCCUUCUAUAGAUCUCUGUGGAGAUGGUCCCCAAACAUCUGAAUGUAUCUUUUCAAAUUUAUGUGUUGCUCUAGCUUGUUUUACAGAAAAAGGUAAUCUACACAUUUUCCCUGAAAUACAAGCUGUACAAAUAGUAGAAGAGAAAUCUUUAUGAACUGAUAUACUCGCAUUUUUCAACAUUGUAGACAGUACUUCUUCAUUUGGAUGUCCCAAUCUCUUAUGCCAUAUUGAACUUGUCACUUUCUUUCCAAGAAAUGCUCCACAGUGCUCCAACUUUGCAGCAAAUGAACCCUUAAAGACAGAUACUGGUAUCUUGAACAAUUCCCCAUCAUCACUCUUUCCUUGGUACAAAAUCACUCGGGUUGCCUUGUCCUGUAUAAAGAACACCAAAAUCAUCACAAAUAAACCAACAUCCAUUAUCUCUACAUAAUUUCUUAACUGACAACAGAUUCAUGGCAAUAAGUGGAACAUGUAAUACAUUAUUUAGCACAAAGGUAUGAGUAUCAGUAACAAGUUCAGAAGCACCAAUAUUCUUAACAUUCAAACCUUCUCCAUUUCCUAUGGUGAUUUUAGAGUCACCAUUGUAAGGAGUGGCCUGAUUAAGAUGUUCAAGAUGAGCUGUCAUAUGAUGAGUGGCUCCUGUGUCAACCACCCAAGUAUCGGCAUUAGAAAAACCAUGGACAUUCUGACUUGCUUGUGGCACAUUUGAUGUUUGAGCAGCCAUUCCCACAGGUGUGAGAUUCAAUGAUUGUGGUGGAGGAGGUCCUUGAUAAGAGUAAUUAUUCCUGUGAUAGCACUGUAUAGCUGUAUGACCCUUCUUACCACAUAUCUGACAGAAAAUGGGACCUUUAAAAUUUCCUUGAGCACUAUCUGUCCUGUAAUAGCAAUUCGGUGCAGUAUGGCCUCUUCUUGAACAAAUUUGACAUUCUGGAGAUAUGCCAUAUUUGUAGUUUGUAUUGCCAUGCCAACUGCUUCCUUGGUUAAAUCCACUUCCACUUGAAAAGUUACUGGAACUACCAUAAGAACCCUUUUGAUUGUUAACAGAACCAUUGAAACCACCACCUGAACCAUAAGAAUCACUAAACCCAUAAGACCUAUUCCCAAAGUUGGAAUAAGAUCUUGAAUUAUUGGUAUUACCAUUGUUUCUCCUAUUACUGUUAUUGUUGAAAUUCGACCUCUGUUGGAAAGAUAUUCCACCAUUUGCAGCAAAACCUGAACCCCCAUUAAAAUUGCCUGGACCAUUAAGCUUCUAUGCAUUCGAGCUUUCACCUUGUUCAAAAUUCUGAUAUCUUCCUUGACCUCCUUGUCCAUUUGGCAAAUCACCAUUAACAUACAUUGCCGACAUGGUUCCAGCAAGAUUAUUCAUUCUUGUUUCAAAAGAACCCUCAACACCAAUUAACUGAGCCCUGAAGUCCUUUAGAGAUAUAAGUGUAUCCCUAGCAAGAAUUAUAGUCUUGAUAACUUCAAACUCUGGUGGCAGUCCAGAAAGUACAGCAAUCAUCAAAUCAUUAUCAGUUAUCUUCUCCCCUGCAGCCACAAGCUGAUCUUUAAUAGCCUUCAGCCGAAACAAGAAUUUAUCAACUGAAUCAGAACCCUUUUGUGCAGUGUGAAACUCAGUUUUCAACUGAUUGACCCUCACAACAAAAAUCGAGGCAAACCGUUCAUGUAACUUCUCCCAAGCCUCCUGUGCAGUCUUGCACCCUAUCACAUGAUACAUCACUUCAUCACUUAAUGUAGCAAUGAGUAAACUCAGUAAUGCCAAAUCUUGCUGAAUCCACUGUUUGUAAGCCUGAGAUAUCUCCUUUGUAACACCACCUUCAGCCGUAAUACAAUACUUCGGAGGACAUUGUGAUUCCCCAUUGAAAAAAUCAAACAAAUCAUAUCCACGAAGAACAGACGAAAACUGAUAACUCCAUUUCACAAAAUUAUCCUCAUGCAAUUUUACAGUAAUCAUACCAAGUAGACCUUCAAUCUUUACUGAAUUUAUAGCCAUUUUGCAAACACCAAGAAGAAAUACAAAUGCAGUACCCGAAAUUCUUGAUUAACAGACAACCAAUCUUGAAUCUUGACACACAACUCUCACUUCUGACUUCGGCCUUCUAUGAAGUAAGAAACUCAACAGACAAAAAAACUCCGCAUUCUUUCAAUUUUUAAUUCUUCAGCAAUCAACAAUCUUUCAAUUAAACUUCUUCUUUCAUACUUCUAAUCUUUUAAGUUUGCAGCAAUCAACAAUAUUUCAAUCAAACUCCUUCGUAAACAAUAUGCACCCAACAAUAUUUCGCAUCCACACCAAGCAAUUCAUAUAUUUUCACUGAAACAUUAUAUCAAACAGUUCAUCUAGCCAUUGAUUUAACAAAAUUAUCCUCAUGCAAUUUUACAGUAAUCAUACCAAGCAGACCUUCAAUCUUUACUGAAUUUAUAGCCAUUUUGCAAACACCAAGAAGAAAUACAAAUGCAGUACCCGAAAUUCUUGAUUAACAGACAACCAAUCUUGAAUCUUGACACACAACUCUCACUUCUGACUUCGGCCUUCUAUGAAGUAAGAAACUCAACAGACAAAAAACUCCGCAUUCUUUCAAUUUUUAAUUCUUCAGCAAUCAACAAUCUUUCAAUUAAACUUCUUCUUUCAUACUUCUAAUCUUUUAAGUUUGCAGCAAUCAACAAUAUUUCAAUCAAACUCCUUCGUAAACAAUAUGCACCCAACAAUAUUUCGCAUCCACACCAAGCAAUUCAUAUAUUUUCACUGAAACAUUCUAUCAAACAGUUCAUCUACAAGCUUCAAAACACAAAGAAAGACAAGGAUCGAGAAUACCCGAAAGCCGAACUCCUGAAACAGAAUGAAAAUUCCAAGAGAAAUCCAGAACUUCUUCACAAUUACACCUCCUGAUGCUCAAAUCUCAGCGGAAGAACCCAAAAAAAAAAAAACACCAACCAUGGCUCUUGAUACCAUGAUAAUACACCACUAAUAAUACCUUCGAAGAACUCACAGAAAGAUACAGAGAUCAAAGAGAAAGAAGAAGAGAAAGAAUAGAGAAAGAAACUGUAUUGAUUUGUGUAUAUUCCUUACUGAAUUACAAUAUCUGUUAUUCAGUUAUUUAUACAUGGAAUCCAAACUUAGCUAGUAAGCUAUUCACGUAACUAACUAACUAACAUAAGCUGAGUUGGCUGUCUAUCUGACCCUUGAAUGUUGUAAUGAGUUGGCAGUUCAUCUAGCCAUUGAUUUAUGAUACUCAACAAGGUGAAGAUAGGAACUCUCUAAUCUGUUCUUUAUGGUUAUAUUAGUUUGAUUUAUGGAUUAUUUAUGCGAUUUGAUGACGUCUAGUGCAGUUUCAACCGGGGAAGAUUUCCCAAAAAAUUGGUGAGGAAAACCGUGGCCAUCAAGCCACUUGUAGACGUUUUUUCCUGCUAUCUCCGGCCUCUGUCAAUCCUCGAUUUUGGUAUAGACCUGUUCCUUGAUUCCUACCUUCACUUUGGCUUUUAAACCAUUAAAUUCAGUUGAGAAUUGAGCUCGAAAUGAGCUCUGAAAGUCUGAGAAAAAACCUGCAAAACUGCAGGAACUCGUGAGGAAGACGAGUACAAGCGUACUCGGGGGCACAUGGAUGCAUGAGGGUGGUCGGCGCAUGCAGCGCGUGGCUGCUGUGCAUCCACGUUGUGACGACACGUGGCUGUCUAUGCAGCCACCUUGUGACGGCGCGUGGAGGAAUCCGAGAUCCCGCCUUAGGUUUCUCAACGUGCAGAAUCCGAAUCCGUCUUUUGUUUUCCAAAUUUGAUCGUUUUAAAAUAAUUUCUUUAUUAGCCAUACUUUGUAUGAAUACGCGAAUUUACAUUAGUUUGUUAUAUAUUUACAUGAAUGGUUUUGUUUCUAGGUGAAACGCGUCACAAGGAUCUUCAAUGCCCGCGAGGCAGGUUCGAGCCGACGACAUGAUUUGUGAGUGGGUCUUUGUUUUGGAAUAUUAUAUAUUUAUUUAGUUUCCACAUAAAUAUUUGAUAAAUAAUUUUUUACGUUACGCCUAUAUUAGAUUAAUAUUUAUAAGAAUUAGCAUAUUGACGGAAUUUGCUAAAUCCUACGGGAUGCACAUGUAUGCAUACUAUUAUGAGAUUUUAUUUAUGGCCAUGUUUAAUAGUUUAUUGAAUAGUAUUAUGUCGACUAGAAUUAUCGAUUUGCCGUUGUAUAAUCAUAUUUACAUUAUAUGCUCAUUGUGUGCUACACUGGUGUUAGUACUCACCCGGGCUAGGGUCAGUCUUCACGUGUAUGUUCACAUCGUACCGUACGCUCACUUUGGAUCCAUUGUAGGUGACAAUCCUGUCCUAGAUUGCUAUAGGCAAUUAGGACUCGUGUGUUAUGAGGAUAGCGCCAGUCUUCAUGUGAUUAUAGUACUAAAGCGUAAAUCAUUAUUACACCCAAUCAUAUUUAUGUCAAAAUACCUCUACAUAAACUUGUGUGUUAGCAUAUGUCAAUAAGCACUCGAUGUGAUGUGUUUAUUUACCAAAUAUUGUGAAGUAGUGCAUUCUAGGGAUAUUAUGGUUUACGGUCAGUAUUUUCAUACUAUACGUAGUAUGUUAUAUUUGGAAACUAUAUUUGUUUUACGGUGAGGGGUUAUUACAUUUUCGAAAAGGUUUUACAAAGCUUUAUUUUGAUGCUCACUCACCCUUGUUUUUCACCCAUUUAGGUUUUAGUAGCUAAGCUUUUGUGCCAAUGAGGAUUAUUGACAAAUCUUGGUAUCGGUGAUUACCUUCGAUGAUAUAAUUCUCAUUCUACCUUUACUAUAUUUUACUUAUACUCUGACAUCACGUGUGAAAUAAGUUCAUUCCUGCUCACAUGCGCACUCUUGCAUUUAGGCACUUUUAAGCUUAAAUUCAUUCACAUUUUCCAUCUCAUCACACUUUAUAGUUUCAUCACCUUUCAGAUGUUGACCAGCAUAGCUCGAUUUGGAGUCCAGAUGGACAUUUCGGGUCAGGGUGUGUCAAUUUGAAUAUUCAAAAAUAUUGAAAAAUAAGGAAUGUAUUUGAAUAUUUUGAUUCAAUUUGAAACUUGCCUAAAUCUAUUACAUACACUUGCUUAUAUACUUGGUUUUAUUUUAGGAAAAUUUUAUUUGAACUCAUACAACCUCUAACUACAUCCAACUUACUCUCUACACCCAUAUUAAUUUUAAUUCAAGAAUCAAUAUAUUUUUAAAUCCAAAUUUACUAACUAAAAUACCCUCACGAACUCAAUUUAAUAUGUAAAUUUGACUUUACACCUAUUUGAAAAAUAAAACCCUAAAAUUAAACAUUUGUUGUGUAGGUCAUUAAAGUUAGAAUGUUAUAUUGUAAUUCCUCGAGACAAACCAAAUAUUGAGCCUUAUACAUUUGGAAAGAUCUAGAUGUCUAGUUUACGAAGAAUUUUACGGUUCGUGAUUCCGAUUUUUCUAGGAGAUGUUAUUAUUAUUUUAGUGCAGACAUCACAAAAUCAAAGAUUUGUUGCGCAGAUCAGUGAAGUUUGAAUAAUUAAAUUGUAAUUCCUCGAGAUGAACCAAAUAUUGAGCCUUAUAUGCUUGGAAAGAUCUGGAUGUCUAGUUUAUAGAUAAUUUUACAGUCUGCGAUUCCAAUUUUUCUAGGAGACGUUAUUUUAGUGCAGACAACACAAAAUGAUUAUUUCCUACGAAUUUUGUUGAGAUUUUAGAAAUUUAGUUGCAUCUAAAUCAGAAGGCCAACGAGUGUUGUUUCCUUGAUCAUGGAGUAAGAUUAUCUUCCCUCUUUUUUUCCCUCUCCUUCCCUCCCCUCUUAUUUAAACAAUCACAGUUAAGUCACGUCAACAUAAGAAUGAGAGGGGAGAGAAUCCAAAUUACUUGAUCAUUGGGGAGAGAAUGUUUGAAAGUUACUUGGGCCUCAUUACCCAUCUCAUAAUUAUACGAAGGAGAGGGGAGAGAAUCCUAGCAGCUCGAGGUGACCACAAUAUUAUUUAAUAUUUUAUUAUACCUUUAAUCAUUAUUUAAAGUGGUAGGAUUACAUAAGCUACACUAAAUUGCAUAUCAUUGUCGCUCCCCGCAAUGUAAAACCAUUAUCACUAAACUUAAAAAUCAAAUCAAAUUGGAAUCUUAAACAACAAUGUUGAAUUUUGUUAUCAUUUUUCUCCAUUUAAAACUAAAGUUUCGAAUUUUACGCAAAGCCUCCAUCAACCAACCAUUCUAAAGUAUUAGCAUUCAAUCCCUCUGUCUAACAAAAAAAAAGGCCACGGUAAAACUUAAGAUAAGAGCACUUUUAUUAUGAAGUCUCCACUUUUCACUUUGAUAUUGUCGGCCAAGAAAGAAACCCAUCAUUAUGUUUUUUCAAUAUCAUUAUCUAUCUAAAUAUUUUAUUAUUAUUAUUUUAUGAUAUUUGUUAACGUGUGUCCUAGAGUAUUGUGACUACCAUUAAACUAUGUCACUUAUACAACAUGUGAUUUACCACACGAUUGAAUAAAUUAUUUAUUUAUAGAAGGCACAUAGUACAAUAUUUUGUCUUGACAAACUUUGUCAAUUUGAUUUAUUCAUUAUACGGUUGUACUUAUACUAUCAUUUAUAGGAAUUAUUGAGCAACUAGAUCCACUGAUCAACAUUGUUGCUGAUUAAAGAAGUCUACCAAUUUAUAGACUGAUGAGCCACAUGCUCAUGGUGACAAAGAUUCAGUCCGGACGGUGAUCUCUUGUUUGACCGGACACCCACUUGCUCGGACAUUCGCUUAUUGGGACACCUAUGUGCCUGGACCCAACUCGAUGACCCUACAGAUAGCCCCAACUCGAUGACCCUACGUAUGGCCUCGACUCAAAGACCCGACUUGCGUACCCGAUCCGCGGAUCCGACGCAUAGACCCAAUAUGCGAACCCAACAAGCGGACCCGAAUCAUGUAGAAUCAACUCAUACUGAGUGCAUGUCGACAUAAAGUAGAUACUUGCAAUGAGGAAUACCACAAGCCGAGCCGUCUCGUAGUGAGCAUAGCCUUUAGCCAAGCCGCCUCGCAACGAGCAUCGCCUCCAGCCGAGCAAACGCCUCGCCGCGAGCAUAGCUUCUAGCCGAGCAGCCUCGCAACGAGCAUCACCUCCAGCCGAGCAAACGCCUCGCCGCGAGCAUAGCUUCUAGCCGAGCAGCCUCGCAACGAGCAUCGCCUCCAGCCGAGCAGUCUCAUAACGUGUGAUACCUCUAGCCGAGUAUUGCUUUAUGUUGAGCAUUGCCUUGGGUUGAGUACUGGUUCAAGACAUCUAGCCACUUUGGCCCUUACAUGGAUUGGAUUUCAUGUCUCCAGCCAAAAGACUCUUUUGAUUGAAGACUUGGGAGACUGCUGUUGGUACCACACAUAUUGGGCCUCAGACUUUGACACAUUGGGCCUCAACAUUUGGACCUCAUUACCCAGACCAUAAUUAUGUAAAAGGAAGAGCCCCUUAUUCUAUAAAAGGGGACUCCUCCCCCCUCACAAAUUAGACUCUGGGAUACCCCCAAAACAUACAAGUCUCAAACAACUCAGAGACAACACUCUCUUCCUCAGGGGGACUCCCCUUGAGCUUGUAAUCCAUACAUACAGUUACAGAGAAAUACAAUCAACAUCAGUGUGGACGUAGCCCAAACAUUGGGGUGAACCACGAUACAUCUUUGUGUUCUUGGGCGUUUGCAUGAUUCACGGUCAAGUUUACGUUGUUCCAAGACCUUCCGGUUUUAUGCAUCAACAAAUUCCACAGAUCGUGAUCCACCAUAAUCAAAUUUAAUCAAACAUUAUGCUAAAUAUAUUAUACACCAAUAAAAACGAAUUCUACUUCAGAUGAGGACCAAGAAUUUCUCCAAUGGCUAAAAUGAAUUUAAUUUAGAAGUAAAAGAUGCAAUUUAAAGGAACAUACACUUAUUUUUCUUUAUGAGAGCUCUUAGGAUUUUAGUGAGGAUGAAUGUGAGAUAAAGAUUGGUGAUGGUAGGAUUUGAUUAUUGGAUAUGUGUUUAUUAAUAAAUUUUCAUUUUUUUUUGUUAAUUUCAUCAUGUACUUGAUGAUAAUUAUGCAAUAGGGUAAAAAAUGCAAUUCACAUUUAAAAUUUAAGUUGAGUGUAGAAAGAAGUUAAAAUGGGUUCAACUAAAAUUUUCCUUUAUUUUAUAUAUGUUUCAUUUGUUAUUUGUUAUAGAUAAGACUCAAGUAUGAUUCUAACUUUUUUACAAUUAUAUCUCCCUUAAAUAUAUUACAUACAAAAGAGAGAACUAAAGAUAUAUAUAUUAUGUUUGGACACAACCCACAACAAAAGUUGGCUUUCCAAAAGAUAUGUUUGAAAGUUACUUCCUCAAAGAAAGAAAUAUACGAGGCCGAAUAUUUUUGAGAAAAGCAAUGAGUUCAUGGUUGUUGAAUCUACGGUCAAGUGACUCUUACAAUAGUGCUAUUACUUGUAAUAAAAGAAGGAAUGCUACAAUAUAUAUAUAUAUUAUAUACUUUGAUCUAAUGAAAAUAUAAAAUAGUCCAUAAUGAUUUUUUUUUGUUGGUUAAAAUCAUAUAUGUUGUUAAUCACCAAAUCAAUUGAUCUCCCAAGACCAUCUCCAAUGGUAAGCUAAAACCUGAAAUUUCUUCCCCCCCCCCCCCCCCCCAACAAAAAAAAAGCCACUUCAACCCAUGACCUAAAAUUAACCUAAAACCUAAAACCCAAAUGGAGGGCAAAUACCGGCCCAAUUAUUGGCCACAAAGCAAAAUGGACCCCACCAAUUGAGACUGAAACCGGGGCUGUGAAGUCCACUGCCCACUCCCUACUCGCCUACGCGUUGUACGCGCUAGGCUUUCUCAAAAUUUUGUACCAACCCACGUGGGGUUGUUCCCCAUUGUCACACCACCAACACUACCACCGCAUUCUCUCUCCAUCACCCACACCACCAUGACCACCAUCACCGUCAAUCCUUCACCAUCGUCACCACCAAUGCCACCACCUCCCACCACCAUUAUCGCCACAACCACAUCCUCCACUACCAUCACAGUUGGGACCAAGGCCACCACCACCUCCAC